AGGAGGUGCAGUUUGUACAUCUAAUGAGCUUCAAGGACACUAUAUUGGAGAAAGAGGACUCUCCUACCCACUCCGGAAACCUUACACCUCCAUAACCAUCAAUCUUAAGAUACUGCACAUUUAUAUGUGGCUUUAAUUUCUCGAGCGUGCUUGUUACGUGUUGCGGGUCAUGAGUGUCACCAUCCCAUGUAAACCUCAGCUUAUCAAGGUGCUUUUUACCUUUCAAAUUUGCCUCACCAGCAUCCCGAGCAUCCACCACAUUUUGAAGGUUCCGAAUAUGAAGAUCUCCCUGUAGAUGUCGUAGCUUUCCCAAUUCUUUAAUGCUAGUCUCACUCUGUCUUCCCACGAGAAAGUCCGUCAACGUUUGGAGCUUUGUCAGUUGACCUAUAUGUGGUGGCAUCUCUUUCAAAGGGGUGCCUGUGAUGUUAAGAUACCGCAAGUUGAUUAACCUUUCCAGAGAUUCAGGCAACCUUUCGAUUCCUGUUCCUUCAAGAUUCAGAUGUCGUAAGUGCUUCAAAUUUCCAAGAUCAGGUAGACUAGCAAGUUGUUUGCAAUCUUUCAAGAUCAACGUUUGCAAAUUGAGAAGAGCACUCACUUCUUCAGGCAACGUUACUAAAGAUGACCGAAAGAGAUUCAAAUACCGCAAAUGCUUCAACUUGCUAGUUGAACGUAACAUAUUAGCUCCAUCUCUACAAGCAGACAUGAUUAGCACUCGUAGGCGCCCAAGUGUUGACUGAAAGAUCUCAUUAUAAAUUUCGGGAGGACACCUCAAAUAGCGUGAAAAAGGUCGGAAUGUGCGUAGAAGUUGGGCUUCACGGAUGUUUUCUAAUUUUGUGCUUGAAAAAACACCUUCCGUAUCUACUACGAGUGAUAAAUGUCGAGUCCUUCUGCUGGCCUUGGAAGAAUUAUUUUCCCCCAACCUGGAGCUGAAGCAAAAUUGACCGGACACAUGGGUAGCCAAGUCAUGCAUGAGAUCGUGCAUCACAAAUGAUGAGCGAGAGGCACUUGAUUUCUGGAAAAAGGACCUUGACAAGAGAUCAUCAAAGCACUCAGCACCAGCUCUUUCCAUCUCAUCAUCUUUAGAGUGGACUAAGAAGCCCUCUGCCAUCCACAGGAGCACUAAUUCAUCCUUUUUAAACUCAUAGUCUUUUGGAAAUAUGGCACAAUAAGCAAAACAUUGCUUCAGAUGUGGCGGUAGAUAAAGAUAACUUAAUCUCAAAGCUGGGAGGAUAUUGUCUUUGGGUAAAUCCCAUAGAUUGCUUUCCAAUAUCUUCUCCCACUCCUCGACAUCUCUUUGGGUGCGUAGCAGACCUCCGAGUGUUACUGCAGCUAGAGGAAGGCCUUUACACUUUCUCGCUAUUGCUCUACCAAUUUCUUGUAACUCUUCAUGAGCAGUGGGAUUUUCACCACGAAAUGCAUGUUUGGCAAACAAGGACCAGCAGCUGUCUUCCGUCAAUUCUUUUAGAUGAUGAGUUGGAAGAGUUCUCAUGACCGAUGCUACACGUUCAUUGCGAGUUGUAACAAGAAUCUUACUCAUCCCUUGUGCUCCGUACUUCAGGGGGGUAAGCAACUUGUCCCACUCAGCAUAAUCUUCAUUCCAAACGUCAUCUAAAACAAGCAAGAAUCUCUUUCCCUCCAAUCUGUCCUUCAACAGAAGCUGGAGCUGAUCCAGAUUAUCAGAAGCAGGCUUUGAACCGAAGGCCUCAAGGAUAACAUUGGUUAACUUCAAAACACUGAAAUCUUCUGAAACACAAACCCAAGCUUUGAGAUCGAACCGCUUCUGUACUCUGCUGUGAUUGUAUACAAGCUGAGCAAGCGUGGUUUUACCAACCCCGCCCAUUCCCCUAAUGGGGACGACACCAGGGCUUUCUCCAUUUGCAUCCUCUGAUAGAAGCAACGUCAGUAUUGCUUCCCUGUCAUCAUCUCUACCAUAAACACCAGAUCCAUCCACGAGAGAAGUUGUUGGUGUUCUAUGCGAUGAUGGAUUUUCUACAUUGCGGUUGUUCAAACCAAGGGCUGCCAUUCGUUCAACUAAGGGAUCUAGAUCCUGCAAGAGGACUUUUAAUUUUUCUUCGAUCUCUCUCGACCCCAAUAUUUCAAGUGGGUUAAUGAAAGAAAGAAGCUGACUUGUGAAGGUUUGACCUUCAGCUUCCAACUCCCCCCGUAGAGCUUCAUAUGCAAUCUCAUCCAAGAAGUCGUCAGCUUUAUAGACAGCGUCUUUAAGCUGGUCCAGCCAAUCCCGCACGGCUCUGUUUGUUAUCUGCUUCUCCUCGGCAUCGUCAAGCACCACCCUGAGAGAUGUCAUUGCUGUCUCCAGCUUCUGCAGCAGACUACUACCGUUGACUUUUUGGCCUCUGAAGAAGGCAACCACCUGGGGAGAGGCCAUCCUGUCGAACAACACAUUAAGGAAAGAAGAAAGAAAAGCUCCUCCGACUAAAGCCCCGGCCAUGGUUUCUCCUCUUUGCAAAGUAACGAAGGAAGAGUAAACAAACAAGAAGAAGAAGAAGAGGGGAUUUUGUUCAGGUGACAGAAGGGGAAAGAAUUUGUGUAAAGAACUGGCAAAAGCUUUUUCUCUCUCGGCUUUAACUCUUAACUUGUAAAUGCUUAGGAGUCCAUUUAAGUGGUGACGGUUGUCUCUUAUUGUUUUUUAUUUAAAAAUAUAUUAAAAUAAAUUAUUUUUAUUUUUUAUAAAUUAUUUUUAAUAUUAAUACAUUAAAAUAUCUAAAAAACUAAAAAUUUAUUAAUUUAAAAUAAAAAAUAAUAAUUUUUAAAAAAUUAUUUUUGAAACACGUAUCCAAGUCGCAACUGAAUCGAUAUUCCAUUUUUCUCUUCUUUUGGAAUUUUACUCGGUUUGUCUUUGAUUUAUUUUUCUAGAAAUUAUAAUUUUUUAAAAAAAGGGUUUGAUUGGAAAGACUUCACUAAAUGCUAAAUUAAAUAAAUAAAUCAUAAAUUAUACUUUAUAUUAUUAUGUUUUAUACAAUUAUUUGAAUGAGUGUUACUAAAUGCUAAAUUUUUUAAUGAAUGUUUUUUAUUUUACUAUUACUUUUUUUUAUUAAAUUGUCUCAUUUUUAUAACAAAAAUUAUAAAUUUAAUGGAUUAACUCAGUUAACUUGAUUUUUUUUAAUUAACUUUUUUUAUAAUUUUAUCUUUUAAUAUUUGAUUAAUUAAAAAUCAAGUUUUAUAUUUUGUUUUGUUUGUUUUAUAUUAGAUUAUUCUAACCUCGUAACCCGUAAAUAAUACUUCACUUGUUAACCUAAGUUUACUCAGAUUGUAUUUUAUGUUUUUUUUAAUUGAAUUUUUUUUCCAACUUUAUCAUUCGAUAUUAGGUCAGUUGGGAAUGGAACUUCAUAAUCUAUUUCAAAUUAUUUUCUAUAGGGUUAUCCUAGUCUCAUGAUUAGAGGCGAGGGUUUUGACAUUUUAAUCCAAAUUCAAUUGAGUUGUUUUUUAAUUUUAAGAUGUUAUCUUAGUUUCAUGACCUGGAACACGAGUCCUUCAAUAGUAAAUUUGCUUUUUAUUGGGUCAUUUUUAUUUCAUAACCUAACUCGCAAGCUUAGUAAGUUAACAUGAUUGACUCAAUUUUUUUUAAUUACCCUUUUUUUCUUCAAUUUUAUUAUUUAAUAAUAUGUGUUUAUCAGGAAUUAGAUUUCAUGGUUUGUUUUGAUUUUAUUUUUAUUAGGUUAUCAUGGCCUCACAAUCUAAGAAUGAUGCUUAACGGGUUGACCUAAAUCAUUUUUUAUGGUAUUUUUUAAUUCAAAAUUUUAGAAAUUGCAUCAUCACAUCGGGUUUGAUAUGGUCAAUUAGGGAUUGCACUUUUUAAUGUAUUUUUAUUUACUUUUUAAGAGGUUAUCUCGGUCUUGUAACCAAAGACACAAAUUUGAUGAGCUAGAUCAUGUAAUUUUUUUUACAAGAUUAUCUCGAUCUCAUGACGAGUUAGUUAUGGAUUUGGUGAAUUAACUUGAGUUAUUUUUAUGUUCUUUUUAAAUUUGAUUUCUUUUUAAAAUUUUAUCCUUCAACUUUUAGCUAUUUAAGAUUGAAUUUCAUAAUUUAUUUUGAUUAUUCUCUAUAAGAUUAUUCUCUAUUAUAAUUUAGGUUAUUUUUUUAGGGAGACUUGACAUGUUAGCUCAGUUCAUAUUUUUAGGUUAUUUUUUUAAUUGAAUUUUUUUAAUUAUAUCAUUCAAUAUUUGAUUGCUUAAGAAUUAUACUUCAUAGUCUCGUACCCGGAUAAAAAAGUUUACAAGUUAACUCUGUUCAACCCAAUUCAAUCUAUUACUUUGUUAUCUUCAUAUUAAAAAAAAAUGUCAUUUUGAAUUUUUUCUAAGUCAUAUUAUAUUUUUAUUAGUUGUUUGUAUUAAUUUUGAACAAGCUAAAUCAAUUAAGUUACAUCGGAUCAACCUCCACAUGAUUUAUUUAUUUAUUUUAAUUUUAUUUUUUAAUACUUGGUUGGUUGAGAAUUAAACUUAAUAAUUUGUUUUUUACGUGAUUAUUAUAGUCUCAUAACUCUGGUUCUGAAUUUCAUAAAUGAGUUCACCCAAAUUAAUUUAAUUUAUUAUUAUUUUAAUAUUAAAAAAAAUAUACAUAAGUUUUUGUGGCGUAAAGAGAGAAAGGUUGAAGGAAAGUGACAAACUGCAUAAAAAAUCAAUAAAAAUAAUUUUAUCGGUGGUUGAAGAAGUCUCUCCAGUCCAGUGUCAGGAACAUAACUGGGAACAUCACAGAAAUUUCUUAGUUGGUUUAUAUUUUAUUUUAUUUUCGUUAUUAUGUAAUUGUACCAUAAGCUUUAAUUGAAUGCAGAUAUUGUUUGAUCGGCUACUUGUUGUUGGAAUUUAAAGUGUAAGAUAAAAUAGGAUUAAUAUGAUUAAUUAAAUUUGAUAUUGAAAUUAAAUAUUAAGAGAUAAAUUAAAAAGGAUGUUUAAUUAAAAAAAAUAAUAAAUAAAUAAAUAAAUAAAAAUAAAGGUCAUGUUUAAUAAAAAAAAAAAAUUAAAUAAAAUCAAACGAUAAAAAACAAAAUUAAAAAAAAACAAAUCUACAAAAAAUAAAAAUAAAAUAAAUAAUAAAUUAAAAAAAAUUAAAUUAUUUAAAAAAAAAACCUUUUGUAUUUGACAAGAAGAGAGAGAAAAAGAGGUUGAGAAAAAAAACGUUUCAGUAAUAAAAAUAUUCAAAACUAUUAAUUUUGCCCCAAAUACAACGUAUUAUACACUUAGAAAGAUUCUUUCAAUAACAUGAUACUCUAACAUUUUACAUCGAUUAAAAAUUAAGAGUUUAGAUCAUUUAUAAAUUUUACGUAUCACUUCUCUUCUUUAAAAGAGAUAUCUUUUUUAUAACAAAAUUCUCAAAUGUGUUGGAAUUUUUUUAAGAAGGAAGCUAUGGAGAGCAACAUCUUCUCACGCCGUACAAAUUUGACAGGUAAAAUUCAUGUUGCAUCCCAAAACGACACUCCAGUGAAAAUUACUUUGUUCUAACCACAAAUGUUUUCAAUAGAAAAAAAAUACUCUUCUGGUAUUUUAUUUUUUUUUAGAAUGAGAAAUGUACGAUAAUACUAAUAAAAUCAAAUUAAAAAAUUAAUUAUAUAGAAAAAUCAGAAAAGUUAAUAUUCAAGAAAUUAACUCUAAAUUCAUAUACAGAAAAUAAAAAAUCUCAACAACAAGCUGAGACUAUUUAUGGCGUCAAACAAGCAGCUGCGAGAAUUGACAAAAUGAUGGAGAACAAAAUUUGCUUGCCCUAAUUUAUUUCGCGAAAAUCACAGCCGCACUCUGCAGCCAUUGGCUUUCUCUCAGCUCCAUCAGCCAAGUACAAGCGGACCAUUCUGGAGACGAGAGCAUUACCAGUAUCAAUGGUUUGAUCAUUUGUUUUUUUUUUUAAUUUAGUUGUAACAAUAUUUUGAAUCAUAAUGUAUAUAACUCAUGUAUUAUGUAUGUAAACUCUGAGAUUAAAAUUUUAAAAAGUUAUUUAAAACAUUUUAAUGGAUUUAAAUAAGUAAUAACUGGACAGAAUAAUUUUAGACCUCUACGAGUUUAUCAAAAAGAGGUAAACAUUGACGUAAGAAAUAAAAAAAAUGCUAUUAAUUGAAGUGAAUUUUUUUUAGAGAUAAAUUGAGGAAAUAUUGAUUAUUUAGACUUUUAACAGUGUUAGAAUAGUACCGGUAGCUGGGCAAUGACACAAAAUGACAUGGACACAAUAAGUGACCGCAAAAUUGUAAAUAAUUUGAAAGCUUCAUCUCCUCCCUUUUUAUAUCCGGUCGCCGGCCAUAAAAAGAGAAAACAAGGGUCCAUCUUCUUUUUCCUGCAUUUCCUGUUUCAAUCUCGGCUCUUGUAUGCUCUGGAUUCCAUUUUACUCGGUUUGUCUUUGAUUUAUUUUCCAAGAAAUCUCUGGAUGUUACCAUAUCAUCAGAUCAAUCCGUUAAAUCAAUCCAGCUGUCAAGUUAACCUGUCAAAGAUCAAAUUUUAAAAUAUCGUAUUUUCUACCGUGUCCAAGUGCUUGUGGUGCAAAGAGAGAAUGAGCAAAGAAAAGUGACAAGUUGCACAAAAAGUAAUUAAAAAUAAUUUGAUUGGUGGUUGAAGUCUUUCUGUCAAGUGUCAACAACAUAGUUGGGACCAGCACAGAGAUUUCUUAGUUGGUUCCUACUUUUCUCAAGUACAUCCCUCUAACAUCAUAAUUCCAUUUCCCACCAAAUUUUUUUAAUAUUAAACUUAUUUUUUAUUUAUUAUCUUUAUUUGUGCAGCAGAUUAACCAGUUAAUUUUUAUUUAUUUUUAAUUAAAUUUUUUUUAAAUUUUAUUAUUUAAUGUUAUAUUUCAUUAAGAAUUAAACUUUGUAUUUUAUUUUAAUUUAAUUUUAUUAAAUUAUUAUAUCUCAUUACCUAUAAAUAAUGUUUAAUAGAUUAAACGAGGUUGAUCUGACUUAAUUUUUAUAUUAUCCUCCUCCUUCUCUUUUUUCUUCUUCUUUUUUUAUCAAUAGUUCUUAAACUCGAACCAACCUAAUAGAUCAACCUAGAAUCCAGGGACUGGAUUGGUCAGGGCUUGUCAAAAAACUGACAAAUGCAACUACCAUGUUGACCGGCCAGCGACCCAAGCUAACUCGGACGAGACCUGGUUUUUGUAUUAAAUGUGAGAUUUAAAACCCAUUAAUAUAUAUACACUUUAUGUUCUCAAGAAAAAAAUUAUGUGUUUAAAAAAAUUUUGGUUUAAAUAUUUCAACUUAAAAUGAUAACAUAAUAUCUUUUCAAUGUGGGAUUUAAAGCCAUUUCGUAUAUAUAUUAUAUGUUCACAAGAAAAAAAUUAUGUUUUUUUCAAUGUGAGAUUUGAAACCCAUUAAUAUAUAUACUGUAUAUUCCCAAGAAAAAAGUUAUUUUUUCAAUGUGGGAUAAAAAACGUUUUUGGUUUAAAUACUUCAACUUAAAGGGUUAACAUUGUAUCUUUUUAAUGUAGGAUAAAAAACUUUUUAAAAUAUUUUUUAAAACUUCAUUAUUUAUAAUAAGUAUAACCUAUAUUUACAUGGGUUUUUUUUCUUAAUUUUUACAUAUGAAAUAUCAAAACUUUAAAUAUAUAUUUUUAAUUUUUACGGGUUAAUCUGAGUUGACCCAUGAAACUCGGGACUUAACUCCCGGAUCGAGUUUAAUAACUAUGUUUCUAUCACUUUUCAUUGAUAAAGUAGAUUAAUAAAUUAUAAAUUAGCUGGUGACCAUUACUAUGAGUAUUGUAAAAACUUCAUUGCACAUUCUAGAAUGUUGCUUGGUAUUUGUUUAACUCAAAAAGAUUUGUAAAGCAAAUUAUAUAUAAAAAAUUAUUUUAUUAUUUAAAGACCAGUAAUUUUAGAUAAAUGGAUGUGAUUUUUUCAAAAAAUAUAAAAACAAUCAAUGUAGUAACUCUUCACAGUAAAUGAGAUUAUUAUGAGACAUAAUUGGUUUUUAUCUUCCACCGUUUGACCCUUUACCUUGCUUUAUAUAUAUAUAUAUAUAUAUAUAUCUUCACAUGAACAAAUUUAAAAUUAAACUAGAAAAACAUUGAUGCGGUGCAACGAUGUUUACCUUAUUAGAUUUUGAAUGAUCUUAUAAUUAGACAAAACCUGAUUUAAAUCUAGUUAAAUCAACAUAAAAAGGAUUUAUUUUAUUUUUAAAAAAUAAACAAAUAUUAUUUUAAUAAAAUAUUGAUAAAAGACCCAUAAUUUAAUUCAAUGAUCUUAUCUAUUCGAUGACAUUAUACCUCCAAGACACAUUCCAAGUAAUCAAAUUAUACGAGAAGCAUGUGCUUUGAUUAUGGUUACUUCUUUUUUCUGUGCAAGAUAUGGGUUAUAAUUAAUAACUAGUGACACGAUUGUUGAGAUUAAGUUAAAAUAGGUUUGAUGAUAAUUGGAUCCUUGUUUUACACUAAUGUGUUUGGGUUUGAUCCUUUUAUUUAACUUUGUUGAUGCUUAUACUGGUUACCAAACAUAACAUAGUGUUUUAUUGUAAGUCUAACAUAUAAACUUGAAAGAAUUGGCCUAGUACUUGAUUAGGAAAUGGAUGUUUCAUGCAUGAAUCUUUAAGGUUGCCUUUGGUUAAAUAUUACUAAAUAAAAACGAUAGACAUUGAAAUGAUAUAAACACGUUUGCUCAAGGAGAUGAAAAUGAAGAUAUAAAAUAAAUAUGUAUUAAUUUAGACGGAUUCUUGUAUUUUCAAGGUAUAAAGUACAUAAAAACAUGUCUGUUUCAAUUUUUUAUGUGCUGAGAUUAAAAUAAAAUGAAUUUAGCUUUAAUUAAUAUACCCAAAUUCUUUUAUGCUGAAUCCUCGAACCGUGUCUGAUUUCAAAAAAAUAACAGUUCUGCACAAAAUUACCGAUACUAAUAAAGCAAAUUAACAAGUCACUUGCGAGGAAAAGGGUAGGAAAGGAGCCUGAAGUACCAUGGAGUGCUAAACAGCUAAUGUCCAUUAAUCAAUCAAGUGGAUGACUUUUAGCCUACCAGAAUUGACUACAACAGUUGGUUGUUAAUGCAGCGUGACAAUCUCAGCUCUUUGAUAAACAUCCUCACAUUUUCGAGACUGAUUAUCCUUAAGUUAAAUAAACAUAAAAAGAGAGAAUAAUUAUUCUAUAAAAAAAAACGUUACAGGUAAAGAUCAUGCUACACUAUCUAAAAUACCCAUAUCAUCCUACAGAAAGUUGGUGGUAAUUACGCUCAAACUGAUAAAAAGGUACCAAUUCAAGGCCUAUAUAAAUCAACAUUGGAAAUGCAAUUACAAACAAAGCUAAAUAUAAAAAAAUAUAAAUUAUUUGACAAAAUAAAUAAUUUUUUCCUUAUCACCUAGAAAGUACAAUAGCACGCAUCAACAACACGAGCCCAUGAAACACAAACAUCAAAUUACAUUCUGGUUAUUACAUUUUAGGAUGGUGCGGCAGGACAAAUAACCAACCUUUCUCAUUGAUUUGUUUGAACUAAAAAAAAAGCUUAAUUUAAUUUUUAAAAAAUUCAGAAUUGUUUUUUUUUUAAAUUAUGAAAAUAACAUUGGUAUUAUAAUCUCAAAAAAAAAAGGGAACGUCUAGGAUUUGUUUAAAAAUAUAAUUGUAAUUUUUUAAAGUUUUUUAUUCGGAAAAAUAUUAAAAUAAUAUUUUUUAUUUUUAAAAAAUAAUUUUUGGUAUUUUUAUAUCAAAAUAUCAAAAAACAAUUAAUUAAAGUAAAAAAAUAAAAAAUUUUUAAAAAAACUUUUAAAAUAUAAAAAUAAAAAAUGAUUAACAGCUAUAUACUCUUCUCUGGAGGCACUGGAACAGAAAUAUCAAAUUAAUUUGAGUGUGAUAGACAGACACUUGUUGGGAGUUGUCCUGGUGGACGGGUUCACAUGCGGCCAUUGUAGUAAAUCAACGCCGGGCAAGAUAUCAAUCCCGUAAGAUCCGUUAUGGCAUGAUCUUCUAGAAGCAAGAAACAACCACGAAAUGGAUCAUGUGGCUCCCAUUAGCCCUACCCCCAUCCAUCGAUUAUCAUGCCAUGCCUAGUCUUUAGCUAUGAUUGAAAGAGAAAACACAAAAACAGCUGAUGUCACAACUGGGUCCCAUACAAAAACAUUCCAAUCAGCUACUCAAGUGGCUUGUGAAUUGUGAUAUCCAUAAAACAGCACAACCACCGGUGGUGGCACGAUCAUUGUUUUUUUUAGAGUUUUGUAUUGUGGGGAUGGUAUCUUUUUAUUACGGAGUCAAUUAAAAAAUUGAUUUAAAAUAAAAAAAUAUAAAAUUUUUAAAAACUCUUUUAAAAUACAAAAACAAACACUCAACUAUUCUAAUAGCCAGAGUUUUAAAACCCGGCCCGGCCCGGUGGGUCGAUCCGGGUCCCGACGGACCCGGGCAUGGAACCGGUCCGGGUGGAGGCCAAAACCUGCUUGGGAAUUGGUCCGGCCAGACCCGGUCGACCCGACAAGACCCGGCCUCAAACCCAUUGACUUUUGUUUUUUUUUGUUUUUUUUUUUUUACUAAAACGACGUUGUUUUGAUUUUUUUUAAAAAAUUAAAAUUGUUUUUUGACCCGUCCGACCCAGCAACCCGGUCGAGACCCGGUGACCUAGCGACCCGGUCGAAACCCGGUGACCGGUCAAAACCUGGAACCCGGGUCUUGGACCGGGCGACUACCGAACCGGAUCUUAAAACUAAUAGCUAAGGUUUUUGGAAUUUGACAGCAAAACCGCGUAAGAGAGAAUUUGGUUAUAUGUGAAUUUGACAGCAAAACCGCGUAAGAUAUUUGGUUACACGUGAAUUUGACAGCAAAACCGUGUUUAUGGUGCAAAGAGAGAAGGGGCGAAGGAAAGUGACAAAGAGCACAAAAGGUCAAUAAAAAUAAUUUGAUCGGUGGUUGAAGUCUCUCUAUCCAGUGUCAGCAACCUAAUAGCCGCGACCACCACGGAAAAAUAUACAGAACUCUCAAAAGCCUUCUCUCUGGAUCACACAGUUUCCGAGAAAUUCCAUCUUUGAAAAAAGUUGGUUUGAUCCGAAAAACAUCACUAAAUGCCAAGCUUUUCACGUGAUGUGAUCAGGCAGCAGAAGACUUCACUUUAUUUGUUCUCUCUCCCUCCUUCCAUCACUUUUCAUUGGUAAAGCAAAUCAAUAAAUUAUAAAUUAUAUUAUUAUAUUUUAUACAUUAUAUUUUGUUUUCGUUUUUUUUAAUUUAAUUAUUAAGGUAUUUCACUUGCAUAACCUCUGCGUUUGGCUAUAUUCAAAGGUUUAAGCCGAAAUAGAUUAUAUUAGUAAAUUUAUAUUGAAUUGCUUAAUUAUAUCAUGAAUUAACAUGUUUGGUAUCAAUGUCAAUAGAAAUAAUUGAAUUGACGCAAUUAAUUAAUUCUUGAUAGCAACUUUAAAGGUAAAUGCAAGACAGUUACCUUUAAUCAGGAAGCAACAACGGACUUUAUUGUAAUGUACCGUAUUCUCAAAUACGAUCUAAAAAAAUAUAUAAAAGCGAUUGUAAAGAAUUUAUAAAACAUUCAGCGUGUUUGAUAUUCUUUUACAAAUUAGAAAUAAUGAAUCUAGUUUACAUAAUACUUUCUUGAUAAAAAAAUCAAAGCAAUCUGAAUGCUUGUAUAUAGGAAUUACAUACAUAAAAAGGGUAAAGAACAGGUAAAGAAGGUAUACUUCUUCAAAACAAUGCUGGGUGGGUGCUAGGAUUUAGAACUCUACACCGUUCAUGGCCAUAGCUAUUGCUAGCUUCUUUACAGAUUUCAGAGAACAAUGAUUACGAGAAUUUGCCAAGUUUUGGUUGCAUCAUUCCAUAGAUGGAAUUUGGAUGUUACCCAAGAUAGUAACCUCUUUUGUGAAACACAAGAAAACCAUUGAUGGAAGCCGGAAACUGGAGCACAUCAGGGAACUAACGUUUUUUUAUUUUUCUGAAAUACCUGUAUUGUUUCCUAUACUCUCACCCAGGGAGAUGAAGGCCGCCACAACCUUACAUAGCUUUCCGUCUUUUCUGAAAUUUGCCGUAAACUAUUUCCUGAUCAACUUUACAUUGAUUUAUGUAAAUUGCCUGCUUGAACUUCGACUCUUGAAUACAAAAGCACAAAAGAAAUUGAAAAGGUAAAAUCCGAAAAGGAGAGCUAAACACACACAUCCAAGUAUAAAUGAGUGGCACAACAUACAUGAUAAAUUUUGCUAGAUUUAACUAAGAGAGAGAGAGACAAAGAUUGUUCAACAAGUGCAAUAAGUUUAGAUAAACAGGGCAAAAUCAUUAAGUGCCUGCUCUCUUGAGUGACAUUGACCACUUUCACUUGCUUCUGAAUUUUGAUUCCAAAACGCGGAUGCUUCCUUGUUAUGAACUAUGGUUAUGUUCACUUGCUUCUGAAGGCUUGGGUUGUAGGUUUCUCAUGUCAAUAGAAGCAAUUCCAAGUAAAUCCAAAGAACAUUGGAUUUUCGUUGCUGAUGUUUCAGUUAUCAGCUUCUUUUUUAUUUAAUUUUUUGUUGUUAAUAAUUCAUAUCAUUUUUUUUAGUAGCCAGUAACCCUUUAAUUGCUAAGCCGGUCAUCCAAUUUAAGAACUUAGCCAUUAGCCAUUCCACUUCUUCUUCCUCUUUUCUUCAUAGAUCCAAACGAACAUAAUUUACUCCAUCUGAAAUCUCCUCAUGAGAAAAUUUAAUUUAAUUUAUUUAUUUACGAAACAAGCACGAAACCCAAAUAUCCCUCUCUCAGAUCACUGGUUUACGAAUGGUACGUAAAGAUUUAAAUCCCAAUUUUUCCUUUGAAAUCCCAUAUCUGAUGAAGGAAUUUGCUUUGCUUCUUAAUAAUUUUACCAAAAUGAUCUCUCUGUAUGUAUGCAAGUUAACUAGAGAGCGGAAAUGGCGGAUUAUAUGAAAAUGACUAGUUAUAUGAACAACAGUCUCCACGAUGGAAGGUGUCGCGGGGUCUAUUUUUUCACUCAAAUUUUCAACCAAUAUUUUCUGCUUCGUCAAGGCAAUGUGCUUUUGUUAGUGCACCAGCACCUAGACCUCUAACAAAAGGCUUCAUCCUUUUACCUUUCCAACCUCUUGGCCAUCCUCCUCUGCUUUAGCUUUCUCUGGUUAGCACCACCUCCUGAAGAAAACACAUGAACAAAUAAAAACAUUUAAUUUAUUUCCUAGAAAAAAAACAUCAAGAGGUCGUUAGUUUUCUUACCUGGGUUGUUACAAGCAACAGCACUAAAAUGACUAUCAUCUUGAUCGGCAUUUUGUCAAACAGCUAGGGUGUGUUCUUUAACUGCACUCCUACUCCAUUAUUGCUUGAAAAGGUUAAUGGCCCAAUAUUUGUUCCCGAACAUAACACAAGCCAUGUACAUUUAAAUGAUGUCGGGCAACGAAACAAGGGAGUGUUGAUGAGAGUUGAAGCAAAACUGGAAUCAAACGAAUGAACAAGCCCUUCUAUCAAAGAUUGGACAAGGCAGGGAAAACUUUCAAGCUAAUAAGCGACUUGACAAAUGAACUAAUGAAAAAAAAAAAAAAAAGAUUUGAAAAGACAGAAAGUAAACAGUUUUUUUGAUCCCUCGCUGUUAUUUUGGGCAAGAUAAUGAGUCAUGAAUUUUAUAUUAUCUUUUCUUUAUGUCUGUUUUUUAUCAAAGUAAACUCCAAAAAAGAUAUGACUUACAUGUACUGCAAAAUCAUUUUUUAACUUCUAUUUGAUAUGGAAUAAAGACAAUUUAAGUUUUUGAAUUUUGAAUUUUUGGAGAAGGGAAAACAGACUAGAGAAAGAGAUGGAGAAUUUUUUUUUUUAAUUUUUUAAUAUGCGGGGAAAGAGAAAAAAGAGAAAGGAUGGGGAUUUUAUAUAAUUAAGGACAAUUGUUUUUUAAGGGUGGUGCUUGCAGUUCAAAAUCUGAAACAGAAUGAUGAUUAUUAUUUAUGGAUAUGAAUGAAAGACAAUAAUUAUGAAAGAAAAUAUCUGUAUUUCAACAUACAGCAUAUAAAAACAUACAGCAUUUUGGACAAUAUCUCUAUUUCAUUCAUCCACAUUUUAACUGAAAUUGCCUUUGAUUAUUGAAAAGAAAAUAAACUAUUUAGUAGCAUUACCUCAAAAAAUAUGUUGGACGAUUGAAAGAAAAGCUCCUUUUAACAUUCUCCUCAAACUACAUCUUUGCUCCGCUGAUGUUGGGGGCCAAUAUAUAUGUCAGGAAUGUGAGAAAUUUUGGGCCAAUCUUUACCUUUUUUAUUUUUUUUAAAUUGUUUUAUUUUUUAAAAAAAUCUCUUAAAAUGAUACCAUUAUAAAUUUAAUAACUUACAGAAAAGGGAAAAAAAAUAAGAUUGUUAGUCAAUCCAUGCCAGACAUUUUGCUAAUAAAAACAUAAAACAUGAUGUUUUUAUUGUGGUGUAACAUAUUAUCUUUUCUCUUAAUGUCUGUUUUUUAUCAAAGUACACUCCAAAAAAGAUAUGACUUACAUGUACUCCAAAAAAGAUAUGACUUACAUGUACUCCAAAAUCAUUUUUUAACUUCUGCUUUAUAUGGAAUAAAAACAAUCCAAUCAAAGUUAAAUAAUAAAUAAAAGAUAAAAAAAGUUUUUGAAUUUUUAAUUUUUGGAGAAGGAAAGAGAAUAGAGAAAGAGAUGGGAAUUUUUUUUUUUUUUAAUUUUUGAAGAUGCGGGAAAAGAGAAAAGGAGAAAGGAUGGGGAUUUUAUAUAAUUAAGGGUUUGAUUUAUCUUUGGAAUCAGUUGCAGAUUUGAUGUUGCCAAGCACGUGAAUAAUAAAAAAUCCGUUGCAAAUUACUUACAUAAUUUAAUUUUUUUAAUCCUUUUUAGCAAUGGAUUUUCUAUUACUAAAUUCUUUGUUGAUAUUAAAAAAAUCAUAUAUACACAUUCUUUUGUUAAAUUAGCAAAAGAAAUAUUCUGUUGCUAAAAUUCGAUAAUAAUAGCCCCCUGUCCAAAAGGACUAAGGGUGGUGUGCUGGCAGUUCAAAAUCUGAAGCAUGUGAUGAUCCUCCAGCUCGAUAUAUUGAAACAGAAUAAUGAUUAUUAUUUAUGGAGAUGAAUGAGAGACAAUAGGAAGAAAUUAUCUGUAUUUCAACAUCCAACAAAUAAAAACAAUACAAAAUGGACAAUAUCUGUACUUCAUUCAUCCAAAUUUUAACUGAAAUUGCCUUUGAUUACUGAAAAUAAAAUAAACUAUUCAUCCAAAUAAACUGUUUGGGUAAAUAUAUAUGUAAGGAAUGUAAGAAAUUUUGGGCCAAUCUUUACCUUUCUCCCUUUCACAACUUUCACCCAGCAUAGGACAGCUGUUAAUUACAAGAGAAGAAAGGGAGGAGGGCAACUCUUCUUCUGGCAUUGACCCAAUCAGAGGACAGUAACUUAUAUCCAAUUCUCUAAGAGAGGUGAGGUGUUGAAGCCCCUUGUAGUCAAGAGAUUUCAGGUGUUUUAGGGAAUAGAUGUGAAGAGAUGUAAGACUUGAGGGCAGAAGCAUCUCUUCAGGGAAGGAUUCAACAUUUUCGUUCCAACUAAUUUUAAAGUGUGAAAGAGAAGGGAGCGAUUGCAAGCCCCAUUGCAUGCGGCCUGCAAUGAGUUUGUUGCAAUCCGAAAUCUCAAGUGAUUGUAAUGCGGAGGGAAAACCCCCUUCUGGACACAACUCAACUUCUGAACAACCAUUUAUUCCCAAACGGUUAAGGGAUGGGAGGAGGGAAUGCAUACUCUCAGGCAACAGCUUCAGGUUGCUGCAACCUUCUAAAUGAAGUCCUCUCAAGACUGGAGCAGGUAACCCUCCUUUGGGAAAUGAAACUAAUUUAGGGCACCCAUAGAUUUCCAUAGUAUGGAGAGAGGUGAGAUCAUUGAGAGGUCUUUCAUGUGCACAUAGUGAUUCCAGAUUUGGACAGUCAGAGAUAGAAAGAAAAUUUAACUUGGGGAGCAAGUCCAGUGCGACGCCUUUGAGAGAAGCGCAGCGUUUGAUUAUAAUUGUCCCUAAAUCAGAGGGUGAACAACCCAUUUGAUCAAUUUCCUCGGGUAGGGACUCUAGGGAGUGGGAUCCAGAAACAUCGAGCGAGUGCAACCUAGGAAACCUAGGAAGUGGAGUCGCGAGCUGCUCACAUCCUUCAAUUCUAAGUGAUGUUAAACGGGGAAGGUUGUGACCAGGUAGGGCCUUUGCAAGGUUGGGGCAUUCUUUGAUUGAAAGAAACUCAAGAAGAGGGAAGGCUUCCCGGCUGCCUUCGUGUGAAAUCCACUCGCGCCACUCUAGCAUCCUUCUAAAAGAUAAUGUUUUGAGGGAUUCAAAUGGCUUCUUCAUAGCAGUACAAUUCCCAUAGAACUCGGAGCCCACAGUCACAACUUUAUCGAAUCUUUCAAUGGAGAGACGCUCUAAAGAAGCUAAUUGCCCGAGCGGUGGUAAGGAGGUGCAGUUUGUACAUCUACUGAGCUUUAAGGACACUAUAUUUGAGAAAGAGGACUCUCCUACCCACUCCGGAAACCUUGUACCUCAACCAUCAAUCUCAAGAUCCUUCACCUUUCUAUUUGGCUCUAAUUUCUCAAGUGUGCUUCUUACGUGUUGUGGGUCAUGAGUGUCACCAUCCCAUGUAAACCUCAGCUUAUCAAGGUGCUCUUUACCUUUUAAAUAAGCCUCAGCAGCAUCCUGAGCAUCCACCACAUUUUGAAGGUUCCUAAUAUGAAGUUCUCCCCGUAGAUGUCGUAGCUUUCCCAAUUCUUUAAUUCUAGUCUCACUCUGUCUUCCCACGAGAAAGUCAGUCAACGUUCGGAGCUUUGUCAGUUGACCUAUAUGUGGUGGCAUCUCUUUCAAAGGCGUUUAUGAGAUGUUAAGAUACCGCAAGUUGAUUAACCUUUCCAGAGAUUCAGGCAACCUUCUGAUUCGUGUUCCUUGAAGAUUCAGAUGUCGUAAGUGCUUCAAAUUUCCAAGAUCAGGUAGCCUAGCAAGUUUUCGGCACCUUUUCAAGAUCAACGUUUCCAAAUUGAGAAGAGAACUCACUUCUUCAGGCAACGUUACUAAAAACUGUGAAAAGGAAAGAUCCAAAUACCGCAAAUGCUUCAACUUGCUAGUUGAACAUAACAUCUUAGCUGCAUCUUUACAACCAGACAUGAUUAGCACUCGUAGGCGCCCAAGUGUUGACUGAAAGAUCUCAUUAUAAAUUUCGGGAGGACACCUCAAAUGGCGUGGAAAAGUUUGGAAUGUGCGUAGAAGUUGGGCUUCACGGAAGUUUUCUAAUAUUGUGCUUGAAAAAACACCUUUCGUAUCUCCAUCUUCGGUAUCUUCACCAUCCGUGUCUUCCGUAUCUACUACGAGUGAUAAAUGUCGAGUCCUUCUGCUGGCCUUGGAAGAAUUAUUUUCCCCCAACCUGGAGCUGAAGCAAAAUUGACCGGACACAUGGGUAGCCAAGUCAUGCAUGAGAUCGUGCAUCACAAAUGAUUAGCUUGAUUGCUGGAAAAACGACCCUGACAAGAGAUCAUCAAAGCACUCAGCACCUGUUUUUUCCAUCUCAUCAUCUACGGAGGGGACUAAGAUGCCCUCUGCCAUCCACAGGAGUACUAAUUCAUUCUUUUGAAAUAAAUAGUCUUUUGGAAAUAUGGCACAAUAAACAAAACAUUGCUUCAGAUGUGGCGGGAGAUAAAGAUAACUUAAUCUCAAAGCUGGGAGGAUAUUGUCUUUGGGUAAAUCCCAUAGAUUGCUUUCCAAUAUCUUCUCCCACUCCUCGACAUCUCUUUGGGUGCGUAGCAGACCUCCGAGUGUUUUUGCAGCUAGAGGAAGGCCUUUACACUUUCUAGCUAUUGCUCUACCAAUCUCUAGCAACUCUUCAUGAGCAUUGGGAUUUUCACCACGAAAUGCAUGUUUGGCAAACAACGACCAGCAGCUGUCUUCCGUCAAUUCUUUUAGAUGAUGAGUUGGAACAGUUCUCAUGACUGAUGCUACACUUUCAUUGCGUGUUGUGACAAGAAUCUUACUCCCUUGUGCUCCGUACUUCAGGGGGGUAAGCAACUUCCCACUCAGCAUAAUCUUCAUUCCAAACGUCAUCUAAAACAAGCAAGAAUUUCUUUCCCUGCAAUCUCUCCUUCAACUGAAGCUGGAGCUUAUUCAGAUCAGAACCAGACUUUGACCGACCCCUCAAGGAACCUUGGUUAACUUCAAAACACUGAAAUCUUCUGAAACACAAACCCAAGCUUUGACACCGAACCGCUCUUGUACUCUGCUGUGAUUGUAUACAAGCUGAGCAAGCGUGGUUUUACCAACCCCGCCCAUUCCCCUAAUGGGGACGACACCAGGGUUUUCUCCAUUUGCAUCCUCUGAUAGAAGCAACUUCAGUAUUGCUUCCCUGUCAUCAUCUCUACCAUAAACACCAGAUUCAUCCACGAGAGAAGUUGUUGGUGUUCUAUGCGAUGAUGGAUUUUCUACAUUGCUGUUGUUCAAACCAAGGGCUGCCAUUCGUUCAACUAAGGGAUCUAGAUCCUGCAAGAGGACUUUUAAUUUUUCUUCGAUCUCUCUCGACCCCAAUAUUUCAAGUGGGUUAAUGAAAGAAAGAAGCUUCUGCGUCUGACCUGUGAAGGUUUGAUCUUCAGCUUCCAACUCCUGCCGUAGAGCUUCAUAAGCAAUCUCAUCCAAGAAGUCGUCGGCUUUAUAGACAGCGUCUUUAAGCAGGUCCAGCCAAUCCCGCACAGCUCUGUUUGUUAUCUGCUUCUCCUCGGCAUCGUCAAGCACCACCCUGAGAGAUGUCAUUGCUGUCUCCAACCUCGUUAGCAGCCUAUCGUUGACUUUUUGGCCUCUCAAGAAGGCAACCACCUGGGGAGAGGCCAUCCUGUCGAACAAAACAUUAAGGAAAGAAGAAAGAAAAGCUCCUCCUACUAAAGCCCCGGCCAUGGUUUCUCCUCUUUGCAAAGUAACGAAGGAAGAGUAAACAAACAAGAAGAAGAAGAAGAGGGGAUUUUGUUCAGGUGACAGAAGGGGAAAGAAUUUGCGUAAAGAACUGGCAAAAGCUUUUUCUCUCUCGGCUGUUUAACUCUUAACUUGUUAUGCUUAGGUGUCCAUUUAAGUGGUAGCGGUUGUCUCUUAUUUUUUUUAUUUAAAAAUAUAUUAAAAUAAAAUAUUUUUAGUUUUUAUAAAUUAUUUUUAAUAUUAAUACAUUAAAAUAUCUAAAAAAAUAAAAAUUUAUUAAUUUAAAAUAAAAAAUAAAAAAUUUUAAAAAAAUAUUUUUGAAACACGUAUCCAAGCCGCAGCUGAAAUGAUAUUCUAUCUUUUUCUUUUUUGAAAAUUUACUUGGUUUGUCUUUGAUUUAUUGUCCUAUAAAUUACAUCUUUUUGACAAAGGGGAUUGAUUGGAAAGACUUCACUAAAUGCUAAAUUAAAUAAAUAAAUCAUAAAUGUCUUUAGAGAUACUUUGAGAUAUUCCUAAAUUGUAAUGAUAUUUUUAUUGUUUUUUUUUAUAUAGUUAUAUACCUAUAUGGAAUAUUGUUGAUACAAGAUGAGAACUUCAACUCCAUAAGCCUUUACAUGCAGCAGCUUAUUAUUUGAAUCAUCAUUAUCAUUAUAAUCCUAAUUUUAAGGUUAAUGCCAACAUUAAAAUUAGAUUAUAUCAGUGCUUAGAAAGGAUGGUUCCUAAUGCAAGUGAAAGGUGCAAAAUUGACUUGCAACUUGAAUCAUUCAAAGAUGCAAAAGGGUUGUUUGGCAUUGAGGCUGCUAAGACAGCAAAAGAUUAAAAAACUUCAGCUCAAUGGUGAGAUUCUUUUAGGGAUGAAUGUCUAGAAUUACAAAGGUUUGCAAUCCGAGUUCUAAGCUUGACUUGUACUUUAUUUGGAUGUGAGCGUAACUGGAGUGCAUUUGAAAUUGUGAGUUUUUUAUUUUAUUAUUUUAAAUGUUGACAUAUUUGAUAAAAAUCUUAUAAAUUUGAAUUGUUUAUUUAGGUUCAUACAAAAUGAAGAAAACGGUUGCACCAGAGAAAAAUAAAUGACUUGGUAUUUUUAAUGUGCAAUCUAAAAUUGAAUAAUAAUCAAGUCAAAAAGCAAGCUGAUGAUUUUGGUGUAGAAGAUGAUCUUUCAUCUGAUGAUGAUUGGAUAACCGAGGGAGAAAAACAUUUGAACAUUGAUUUGCUUGGUGCUAUUGACAGUGCAACACGAAGAAAAAAUAGUAAUGAAGAUGAAAGUGAUGAAUAAGAAAUUCCUAAUGAUGUUGAAAUGGAGAGUCAUGGUACUGAAGAUGAUUUAGAGAUUUAAAUUGAUGAUAUUGGUGUUGGUACUAGUAGUAGCUCUAAUGUUUAUAAUAUUGGUGUUGGUACUAGUAGUGACACUAAUAAUCAUCUUGAUGGUAUUGAUAUUGAUGAAUAUCUGAGGAAUAAUGAGGAAGAUGAAGGCAUUGAAGUUGGUUUACAUGACACACCAGCAGAUUGUUUGUUUUAAGCUUGUUAAUUAUUAGCUAAUGAAAAUUUAUUUAAAUUAUGUAUGAAUUUUUAUUUGAAGCAUGUAUUUUAAGGUGCUUGAACUAUGUAUGAAUUUUUAUUUGAAGCAUGAAUUUUUUGUUAAUGUAUUUUAAAAUUCUUUGCAAUUUUACAAUUUUACGAUCCGAGUUUGUAUUGUAUUUUCCGUGCCAUGUCAAAAUCACAAUUUUAACAAAUCCACUCUUUUUGGGAGGUAAAGUCUACAAGAUAGUCUUGCUUCUUUUGAAUAGAUGACAUCUUUUGACAGGACAUUGGAUUUGGGAUCCUGGGAAGGGGGGGAGAAUUCGUUGCCAAGGAGCCUCUCUAUCCUGCCAGGUAAAAGACGUCAGAUACAAAAAGAAGGAAGUUGCUGAUUUUAAAUCCUCAAGCUAUUAAUUCUUGGCUAACACAGCAAUCACAUAAUAAAAGUCUUCUAGAUGGGUUGAAAUUCUAAAGCGAGAGUGUCCAAGUUCCAAACCUGAUCAAACGCUAUAAUUCUACGUCCAGGUUUGUCAAAUAAGGAAACUCCAGGAGAACGUCAGGAAUUGACUGGCGCCGAAUUACUUCACUAAUUUUAUAGGCCAACAGAGACUUAAGGUCAUGCUAAAUUGUAGAAUCGCAUGGAUUUAUCAUGUGAUUAAUUCUUGUCUAUAUUAAAGAAUUCUAAAAGGCGUGGGAAAACACUGUAGCUUCCCAACGCAUUUUAAUUAUACUUAAUAUAAUAAUAAUAAUAAUUAUUAUUAUAUAUAAUAAUAAUUAUUAUUAUUAUAAUUAUAUUAUAAUAUUAUAAUAUAUUUUUUUCCUAUUCUGUAGCAAUUUUUUUUUCCGUUUUUUUCCUCUUUUUUUUCUAUACCUUUUUUUUUCAUUUUUUUUUUGCUUUUGGUUUUUUUUUUUUCUAAAAAAAAACAAUAUGAAUUGCUACAGUGUUUCUCCUACAUGGUUUUUGUUUUGCUGCAGUGUUUGCCCACAUAUUUUUUAAAAAAAUUAUCUUUAUCGAAUUUAUUUUUUCAAUAUUGAGCUGGCUGAUAAUAUAGCUUUAGCUUUUCCCACAUGUUUUUUUAUUUCUUUUUCCUUUUUUCCAAAAUUGUCAUUUUUUACAUAUAUUUUUUUAUAUAUAAUUAUUUUUGUUGAUUUUAUUUUUUUUGCUAUUGAGCUGGUUGAAAUUUUAGUUUUUUUUUCUUUAAAACAUUGUAGAUUGCUAUAAUGUUCUCAUACAUUGGUUUUUUUUAUGAUUUAUUUAUUCUUUUUUUUUUCAAAAUGGUCUUUGUAGAUUUUAUUUUUUUUAUAUUAAGUUGAUUGAGAAUUUAACUUUGUAGUUUUUUUUUUCUAAAAAAAAACAAUAUGAAUUGCUACAAUGUUUCUCCUACAUGGUUUUUGUUUUGCUGCAGUGUUUGCCCACAUAUUUUUUUAAAAAAUUAUCUUUAUCGAAUUUAUUUUUUCAAUAUUGAGCUGGCUGAUAAUAUAGCUUUAGCUUUCCCACAUGUUUUUUUAUUUUUUUUUCCUUUUUUCCAAAAUUGUCAUUUUUUACAUAUUUUUUUUUUUAUAUAAUUAUUUUUGUUGAUUUUAUUUUUUUUGCUAUUGAGCUGGUUGAAAUUUUAGUUUUUUUUUUAAAACACUGUAGCUUUCCCGACGUGUUUUUUUUCUCGCUUUUGUUUCUUUUUUUUACAUUUUUUUUUCUUUUUUUUUUACCCAAAAUUGACUUUUAAAAAAAAACAAUAGGCUUUGUCAGUUUUUGUUUUUAUAUUGAGCUGGUUGAGAACUUAUCUUUGUAGCUUUAAAAAAAAAAAAAACACUAUGGAUUGCUACAGUGUUUCCCUUACAUGGUUUUUGUUUGUCUGCAGUGUUUUCCCCACAUGUUUUUUUUUAAAUUAUUUUUAUCGAAUUUAUUUUUUUAAUAUUGAGUUGGUUGAGAAUUUAGCUUUAGCUUUAGCUUUCCCCACGUUUGUUUUUUUAAUUUUUCCCAAAAUUUUCUUUCUUCUUUAUAUUUUUUUUCAUAAUUUUUUUUGCUGAUUUUAUUUUUUUAUUAUUGAGCUGAUUGAUAAUUUAGUUUUUAAUUUUUUUCUUUAAAACACUAGAUUGCUGUAGUGUUUCUCUACAUGGUUUUUUAUUAAAUAAUUUUUUUUCAGAAUUAUCUUCGUCGAUUUUAUUUUUUUUAUAUUAAGCUGAUUGAGAAUUUAGCUUUGUAGUUAUUUAAAACACUGUAGAUUACUACAGUGUUUUCCCACAUGAUUUUUUCCUUGCUACAGUGUUUCCCCACAUGUUUUUUUUGUCGAUGUUUUUUUUCCAAAUAUGUUUUUGUCAAAUUUAUUUUUUUCAUACUGAACUAGCUAACAAUUUAGCUAUUUUUCCUUAAAACAUCGUUGAUUGCUACAGUGCUUUCCCAUAUAUGUUUUUUUUUAAAUGGUCUUUGUCGUUUUUAUUGUUUUUGAUAUUGAGCUGGUUAAACAUUACAACUGUAGAUUUUCUUAUGAAACACUAUAGAUUGUUAUAGUGUUUCCAUGGAUUUUUUUUUCCUUUCGUUUUUUUUUUUAUAUUUGUCAAAAUUAUCUUUAUUGAUUGUUUUUUAAUACUAAGCUGGUUGAGAAUUGUAGUUAUAUAUUUCCUCACAAACACUAUAGAUUGCUACAGUGUUUUCUUAAAUUAUUUUAAUAAUUAGCUGGUUGACAAUUUAGCUUUAACUUUCCCCACAUGUUUUUUUUCAUUUUUUUAUUAUUUGUUUUUUGCUUUUUUUUCUUCCAAAAUUGUCAUCUUCUUUUUUUCAUUUUUUUUGUUUUUUUUAUAAUUGUUUUUGUCGAUUUUUUUUUUAAUAUACUGGUUGAGAAUAUAGCUUUGUAGUUUUUUCCUUUAAAAUAUUGUGGAUGGUAACAUUUUUUUUUAUGAUUUUUUUCACAAAUCCACAAUAAUGCACAAGCAUGGCACAAGCCCGCGGUAUCGCGCGGGCAUGUCACGCCUUUUACUAAUAUAUUUACUUAUUAAUAUAUUAUAUUAUUAUAAUUAUUAUAUUAUAAUUAUAAUUAUAAAUAUAAUUACAUUGUAUUAUAUUAUAUUAUAUUAUAUAACAUUUUUUUCCCUUUUUUUCUUUUUAAUUUUUUUAAUGAAUUUUUUUUGUUUGAUUUAGUUUGUUAUUUUUUAUUUUUUAAUGGAUCUCGGAUUUGAUGGGUUAGCCUGAUUUGACAAGUUAUUUUUUUCAUUUAGUUUAGUUUGUUAAUUUUUUAUUUUUUAAUGGAUCUCGGAUUUGAUGGGUUAGCCUGAUUUGACAAGUUAUUUUUUUCAUUUAGUUUAGUUUGUUAAAGUUAAUUUUCUUUCUAUUUAAUUACCAGACUUUCAUACUUUCAUGACGCGUGUCCUGAGCUUGACGGGUUAACCCAGUUAAUUCUGGGUAAACCCGUCAUUUGUUUUUCUAUUUAGUUAUCAAACUUUCAUAAUGUGAAUCCCAGGUUUUACGGGAUAACCUAGUUUAAAGGGUUAACCCAAUUAAUUCAAUUUGUUUUCUUUUUCUUCAUUAGUUUUUUCCUUUAUGUUGAUUUUUUUCUUUGUUUUUUUUUAAUCAAUCUAUUUAAUUAUCACACUUUUAUGACACAACCUUAUAUCUAGACCCACAUCCAAUAUUCUUGGGUCCGGUGUUGCAGUCAGGCUCACUUAAACUUGGGUCAUGCAAGUUUAAUUUUAUUAUUAAUAUUAUAAAUAUUAUUCUUAGGUCAGGUGUUGCAGCCAAACCCAAGUUUCUUGGGUAUAACUUUGCAGAAAAACCCAAAAUUUUUAAAUUUUUAUUUUUUUUAAUAUUUUUAUGCAAAAAAAAUAACCCGCGGCAUCGCGCGGGUCAAGUGUCUAGUUAAAGAACUCUAAAAGGCGUGGGGAAAGCAUUGUAGCUUCCCCACGCCUUUUAAUUAUACUUAUAUAUUAUUAUUAUUAUUAUAUAUAAUAAUAAUUAUUAUAAUUAUAAUUAUAAUUAUAUUAUUAUAUUGUAAUAUAUAUUAUUUUUCAUUUUCAUUUUUUUUCUAUAUUUGUUUUGGUUUUUUAUGCUUUUAUGGUUUUUUUUUGUUUCUUUCUUAGUUUUUUUUCCUUUUAAUUUUUUUUGUUUAAUUUAGUUUGUUAAUUGAUCCCGAGUUUGACGGGUUAACCUGGUUUGACGAAUUAACUAGAUAUUUUAUUUUUUUGCUUUUUUUUCUUUUUAAUUAAUUUUUUUCAUUUAGUUUAGUUUGUUAAUGUUAAAUUUCUUUCUAUUUAAUCAGACUUUCAUGACACGUAUUGCAAGCUUGACAGGUUAACCCGUCAAUUUUUUUUUCUAUUUAGUUAUUAAACUUUCAUGACGCGAAUCUAAGGUUUGACGGGUUAUCCUGAUUUGAAAGGUUAAUAAGAACUCUAAAACGCGUAACUUUUUCACUAUAGCUAAAGCUCUUUUGUUUUUUUUUUGCAGUUUCUUUUUUCGUUUUUUCUUUUGUGGCAUUUUUUUUGUCGUUUUUGGUUUUUUUUUCAUGUAGCAUUUUUUUUUGCUUUUGUUUUUUAAAUGUUUUUUCACUGUAACAGCUUUUUUUUCUUUUUGUUUUUCUUUUUGUUUUUUUUAACGCGUGGGUUUUUUACUUUAGCUGCUUUUUUUUUCCACGCUUUUGUUUUUUCUGUUUUUUACAUAUAAUGUAUCAUUGUGCACACAGUGAUACACUGACUUUUUUUUCGUUUUUUUUUUCAUUUUGCCCAUGGGUUUUUUUUUUUUGCUUUUUUCUUUGUGUUUUUUUUUCUUUUAAUGAAUUUUUUUUUGUUUAAUUUAGUUUGUUAAUGUGAAAAAAAAAAUAAUUUCGUUAUCAUACUUUCAUUACACGGAUCUCGGUUUUUUUUAUAUAUUAAGAUGGUUGAGAACUUAGCUUUGUAGCUUUUUUUUAAAAAAAAACACUAUGAUUUUUGUAUAUAAUUUAGGUUAACUUGGUUUGAUGGAUUACUACAGUGUUUUCCUCAUAUGAUUUUUGUUUGGCUGCAGUGUUUCCCCCACAUGUUUAUUUUUUAAAUUAUCUUUGUUAAAUUUAUUUUUUUAAUAUUGAGUUGGUUGAGAAUUUAACUUUAGCUUUCCCCACGUUUUUUCAUUAUAAUUAUUAUUAUAUUGUAUUAUAUUAUAUGAUUGUUUUUUUCUUUUGUUUUUUUUAAUUGUUUUUAAUGAAUUUUUUUUGUUUGAUUUAGUUUGUUAAUGUUAAUUUUUUUUUUUUAGUUAUCAUAUUUUCAUUAUACGAAUCUCGAGUUUGAUGGGUUAACAUGAUUUGACGAGUUAUUUUUUUCAUUUAAUUUAGUUUGUUAAAGUUAAUUUUCUUUCUAUUUAAUUAUCAGACUUUCAUGACACGUAUCCUGGGCUUGAUAGGUUAACUUGGUUUGAUGGGUUAACCCGUCAUUUGUUUUUCUAUUUAGUUAUCAAACUUUCAUGACACAAAUCUCAGGUUUUACGGGAUAAUCUGAUUUAAAGGGUUAACCCAAUUAAUUCAAUUUUUUUUUCUUUUUCUUCAUUAGUUUUUUCCUUUCUGUUGAUUUUUAAUUAAUCUAUUUAAUUAUCACAUUUUUAUGACACGACCUUAUAGCCAGAUCCACAUCCAAUUUUCUUGGGUCCGGUGUUACAGUCAGGCUCACUUAAACUUGGGUCAUGCAAGUUUAAUUUUAUUAUUAAUAUUAUAUAUAUUAUUCUUAGAUCAGGCGUUGCAGUCAAAUCCAAGAUUCUUGAGUAUAACUUUGCAGAAAAAACCCAAUAUUUUUUUUUUAAUAUUUUUUAUACAAAAACAAUUACUCGCGGCAUCGCGCGAGUAUCAAAGCUAGUAUAUAUAUAAAACAAGAAGGGAAAAGUCUGUUAAAAGGAAUGAAGUUUCAUGCUUAGGGCCCUCCAUCUUGAGAAUUAUCAUGAAGCUGUCUUGUAAUCCUUUUGAGAAUUUGAUGAUAAUAGCCCCCUGUCCAAAAGAAUAAUUUGAGAAUAUUCCCAAAUAUUCUAAUAGCUAAGGUUUUUGGAAUUUGACAGCAAAACCGUGUAAGAGAGAAAGAGCGAAGGAAAGUGACAAAGAGCACAAAAGGUCAAUAAAAAUAAUUUGAUCGGUGGUUGAAGUCUCUCUAUCCAGUGUCAGCAACAUAAUAGCUGCGACCACCACAGAAAAAUAUACAGAACUCGCAAAAGCCUUUUCUCUAGAUCAUACAUUUUCCGAGAAAUUCCAUCUUUGAAAAAAGGCUAGAAGAUUAAAAUGUACAUCGUAACCUGGGAUCAUAUCUUAUAAACUGUACCACUACGAAACAAAGUAUUUUUUUUAACUUAAAAAAAGAAUAUUAUGUAAAAACAAUCUGAGAUACGUCUAAUUGGUUCAAAAAAUAUAUAAAAAAUACAACUACAAUAAAUUAAUUAAAAAAAUAACAAUAAAAAAAAUAAAAAACCAGAAUUCAGCUCUCCCGAAUUAUCAAACAACUCAAUAUUAAAGGUGAAACUAUAAAAAAAAUUAAAAAAACACAAAAAACCCUAUUAAACCAGGUGAACUCACCAACUUCACAACCAUGAAUAUAAGAUUGAGAUAGUCUCAUGGAAAGAAAAGUAUGACAAAAAAUUAAAUAAAAAAAUUAAAAUAAAUUGAUUAAAAGAGAUAAAAAAAAUAUCAUCUCAUGUCAACCCAUCGAAACUGAUGAUUUCUUAAAGAUAGUAACCUCUUUAAUCACCACUUAUGAAUUAUUUUAUUUUAAAUACUAAAAUUUUUAAAAUUAUAAUUUGAGUUUAAUUUUUUUUUAACAGUCAUUAUCCAUUACAAAUAUUAUAAUCCAUUUUAAAAAAAUAUUUGGAUAAAAUUUAUUUGGAAAUAGAGACUGGUAAAGAGGUGAAUGAGCCAAUCUCAUAAUUUACCAUUAAAAAAUAUUUUGCUACUACUCGACCCAUAUCUAUCACCCUAAACCAAUACACAUACUUGCCCAUGUAAUACUUGGAAAAAAUUAGCUUUUCAGUAAUGUUCAUUUUAGUCCAUGAGUUUUUAAAACGUUUUUUAGUCAUAUAUUUUUCUAAGAAAACAUUUUUUUUGUUAGAAUUUUUUUUCAAGUUUUUUUUUUUACAAUAAAAAAUGCAUCCAUCCAACAAAGUUAAUGUUUAAACAUGUAAGAUAUACUCAAAAUUAUUUAAAAAGUAAUUUAAUUUAAAAUUAUAUAUUUAAGAAAACUAAAUAGAAGAUGAGCUUCACUUUCAAGCUAUGUAUAUAAACUUAUUAAAUUAACAAAAAUUUAUUGUAAAUUAAAUUAAAUAUCCCAAGAAAAAAUAGGUAUUAAGGAAACUCCAGGAGAACGUCAGGAAUUGACUGGCGCCGAAUUAGUUUACUAAUUUUAUAGGCCAACAGAGACUUAAGGUCAGGCUAAAUUGUAGAAUCGCAUGGAUUAAUUCUUGUGUGUGUCUAUAUAUAUAUAUAUAAACAAGAAGGGAAAAGUCUGUUAAAAGGAAUGAAGUUUCAUGCUUAGGGCCCUCCAUCUUGAGAAUUAUCAUGAAGCUGUCUUGUAAUCCUUUUCUUUUGGAACUAGUCAAGGCCGGCUACCAUCUCAGAAAGGGUCGUCCUAACUACGAUUUUUCUAAUGCCGACGUAUAAGGCAAGCCAGACAAUGCACCGACCGGUGGUGGCACGAUCAUUGUUUUUUUUUUAGAGUUUUGUAUUAGGGGGAUGGAAUCUUUCUAUUAUUGAGUUAAUUAAAAAAUUAAUUUAAAAUAAAAAAUUUAAAAUUCUUAAAAAUUCUUUUAAAAUACAAAAACAAACACUCAAAUAUACUAAUAGCUUUGGUUUUUGGAAUUUAACAGCAAAACCGUGUAAGAGUGGAAAAGCGAAGGAAAGUGACAAACAGCAUAAAAGGUCAAUAAAAAUAAUUUGAUCGGUGGUUGAAGUCUCUCUAUCCAGUGUCAGCAACAUAAUAGCUGCGACCACCACAGAAAAAUAUACAGAAAAAAUAUACAGAACUCGCAAAAGCCUUUUCUCUAGAUCAUACAUUUUCCGAGAAAUUCCAUCUUUGAAAAAAGGCUAGAAGAUCAAAACACAAAUAUUGUAGGCAAGCAGUUUCACGUCCAAUACAAGCAGUUUCAUUUCUAUGAAAUUGCUCUCGCACACCAUUCUAUUCUUCAGCUACAAUUAUUUAUCUGCUGCUGUUAUAGAUGAACAUCAGACAAUCCUCACUAUUGCUCUACCAAUUUCUUGUAACUCUUCAUCAGCGUUGGCAUUUGUAGCUUUACCCUGGUGCAGCAUCCAUGAGUGCAAAGAUUGUCCAGAAAGAAGAUUGUUCAACAAGUGCAAUAAGUUUAUUCAAGGACAAAUAGAAGGAAAACAAGAUCCAUACAAAUUCACUGGAAUCAUCAAUGCAGAGAACUUGCACAACUUUAGAUAAACAGGGCAAAAUCAUUAAGUGCCUGCUCUCGUGAGUGACAUUGGCCACUUUCACUUGCUUCUGAAUUUUGAUUCCAAAACGCGGAUGCUUCCUUGUUAUGAACUAUGGUUAUGUUCACUUGCUUCUGAAGGCUUGGGUUGUAGGUUUCUCAUGUCAAUAGAAGCAAUUCCAAGUAAAUCCAAAGAACAUUGGAUUUUCGUUGCUGAUUUUUCAGUUAUCAGCUUCUUUUUUAUUUAAUUUUUUGUUGUUAAUAAUUCAUAUCAUUUUUUUUAGUAGCCAGUAACCCUUUAAUUGCUAAGCCGGUCAUCCAAUUUAAGAACUUAGCCAUUAGCCAUUCCACUUCUUCUUCCUCUUUCCUUCGUAGAUCCAAACGAACAUAAUUUAUUACAUCUGAAAUCUCCUCAUGGAAAAAUUUAAUUUAUUUAUUUAUGAAACAAGCACGAAAUCCACCACAAACCAACUGGCCAGCUACAAGCACCUAUGCAUCCAAUGUUGCUGUGUUUCUGCCUCGGCUUGGACAGCCCAUUGUCCCAGCCCCAAUGUCAUGGCCAUUUCAGCACCUAGACCUCUAACAAAAGGCUUCAUCCUUUCCCCUUUCCAACCUCUUGGCCAUCCUCCUCUGCUUUAGCUUUCUCUGGUUAGCACCACCUCCUGAAGAAAACACAUGAACAAAUAAAAACAUUUAAUUUAUUUCCUAGAAAAACACAUCAAGAGGUCGUUAGUUUUCUUACCUGGGUUGUUACAAGCAGCAGCACUAAAAUGACUAUCAUCUUCAUCGGCAUUUUGUCAAACAGCUAGGGUGUGUUCUUUAACUGCACUCCUACUCCAUCAUUGCUUGAAAAAGGUAAUCAAGCCAUGUUCAUUUAAAUGAUGUCGAGCAACGAAAGAAGGGAGUGUUGUUGAGAGUUGAAGCAAAACUGGAAUCAAACAAACUAGUAUAAGAUAUGGAAAGCCAAAGCUGUUACUUAAAUUGCCCUCUUCGGUCAUCCACUUCUUCUUUUAAAUUCCUCGGUCUGAGAACAAGCCCUUCUAGCGAAGAUUGGACAAGGCGAGGAAAACUUUCAAGCUAAUAAGCGACUUAAUAAAUAAACUAAUGAAAAAAGGAAGAAUUAAAAAGACAAAGGAAAGAGUUUUUUGAAUCCCUCGUACAUUCCUCCGUGAUACAAGGCUUACAUCUUUGGGAAGAUAUAAUUAUGGUGUUCAUGGAUAAUUAGUUUAAUCUUGUUAGUUAUUUUGGAAAUUUUAUUUAAAACAUAAAGAGAUAUAACUAGAAAAAAAAUUGUAAAUUUUUUAUAUUUUUUUUAUAGAUACUGAAUUUUAUAUUAUCUCUUUAAUUUUUUUUAUUAAAAUAUAUUUGAAGAAUAACUAAUAAGAUAUUACUGGUUAUUUUCUAAACACCAUAAAAUUCUACUAGAAGGCAAGGUAUGCACUCCAAAAUUGUUUUCUAACCUCAGCUUUAUAAGGAAUCAAUUUUUUUUAAUAAAAAAUAAAUAAUAAAAGAGAAGGAUAAAUCAAAAGUUUUUGGAUUUGGAGAAGGGGAAUAGACUAGAGAAAGAGGUGGAGAAAAAAUUUGAAUUUUUGAAGAUGCAGAAAAAGAGAAAAGGAGAGAACUAGAGAAGGGAUAUUUUAUAUAAUUAAAGGUUUAAUUUAUUUUUUGAAUCAGUUGCAAUAAGUUUAUUCAAGGACAAAUAGAAGAAAAACAAGUUCUUUACAAUUCACAGGAAUCAUCAAUGCAGAGAAAUUGCACUAUUUUAGAUAAACAGGGCAAAAUUAGAUUUCCCUUCUAAUUUAAUGAUCAUCUGCAGAUUCAAAGUAAGGAGGCGGCAACAAAUUCAGGCAAAUUCAAAUGAGUGGUUUGGAAUUUAUAAACAUGAUACGUAAUGUUGCUGUUAGUAAUAUAAAGGGACCUUGGGACAACAAAAUUAAAUGUGUUAACAUGAUUUAAUUUCUAUUUGAUUUAUAUCACUCAAAACUAUUCUAUAAAUAAUUUAUUUCAAAAUUAUAUUAUUUGAUAAAAUUAAGUGGAAGAUAAGCCUCAUUUUCAAGCCAUGUAAUUUACACCUUUGCUAGCAAUCAAUUAACCAAGAUUUAGUUUGAUUAUAUUAUUCUCUAAGAAUAAUUUCACUUCCAAUUAAAAACUUCAAUUAUUGAUUAAGAAACUAAAAAUAUUUAAUGUAGAAACCCAUUCAAUUAAUUGUUGAUGAAUGAUGAUAUCACAUGAUAACCCAUAGCACAAAUUCAAUUCAAUUUCACAAAUUCUACAGCUCAAUCACCCACAAUUCAAAUACUACAAAAACUCCAGCAAAUUACGACACUGCAAACACUUGAAGACAUCACCAAGCACCAUUCAUGAAAAUGACCAAAGGCAAUAAGAUUUGAGGGUGAGCUGUAAUUUUAAUGCCAGGAGAAAACAGAGGAAGCAUCUGACUAUGAGAACAGAGUCGGAGGAUUGCAGUCAGCUUCUACGACCGGAGAAUAGACAACGGCGGGAAACAAACGAUGCCACAACCCAAAAGAUACAAGAGGAGCCAGCAGCUGCCUAUGUAACACCAAAUUUAGCAUCAUUCUUUAAAAUGUCUGGCCACGCAAAUUUCUUAACAAAAUUAUUGAAAAUUUCUUUAAGAAAUAUUUUAUUAAUUGAAAAAUAUUUUUAUAAAAUUAUAUUCACUGCAUUAUCAAACAUACACAGCCUAUUAGCCACGGUCUUUGAGCAUUUCCAAAACUAUCCUCCGAGAAAUGCAGUACUGGUAGCUCUGUUCUGACCCGUCGUCUACUUUGUCAAGCAUUGGUCAAGGAUGAAAACGCUGUGAAUCGAAGCAUAGUUUCCGUUAAAGGUAUUUUUAGUUUCUGCCAUGGUUUAUUUCUGUUGCUCAUUGUCACUCUUGGAAAUUAUUUGUUUUUAUGGUGAUAUAAUUUUUUUUAAAAUAAUAAUAAUUUUUUAAAAAAAAUUGUGUUUUUGAAUUUGUUUGUAGGGUGAUACAGUUUUUUAAAAAUAAUAAUAAUUUUUUAAAAAAAAUUAUAUUUUUAGAUUGUUUUAAUAUGUAAUGUGAAAUAUUAAUUUUUAAAAAUAAAAAAAUAAAAAAAUAAAAAUUAUUUAGAUAUAUUUUUAAAUAAAAUAUAUUUUACAAAAUAAUUACCACCAUAAUAUGUUGGGAUGUUUUUAUAAAAUAGGAUGUAAAACUACUGAGAGCCUACAAGGUUUUAUUUUUUAUGGUAAGUUAGAGAUUUUGUAGGCCCAUUUAAAAUUAAUAGGUUGGAUCGUGAUCAUAAAUAAAGAUUGAGAAUUUGGUCUGAUUAUGCAGAUAACAUGCCUUAACUUGUCUAAAGUUAUGUAUGGUGUUACUAAACCCAGCUCAAGAUAAGUUAAGAGCUUGGAUUGGAUUUUAAAUUAAAUUGGAUAGAAUUUAACUGGAUAUAAUUCAACUUAUUUGAUCAAUCAAAACUCAGUUUAAUUUAAAAAAGAUUCACAUCAUUUUAUUUUUUAUUUUCAAAAAAUUCUUUAAGUCAUAUCACUUUGUAUUGAUUUAUGUUAACCCACUACUUGAAUUAUAAUUCGAGUUGGGUUUAAUAACUUAGAUAAUAUUAUUUUCGUUCGAAAGUAAAGGUAUAAAAAUUGAUGAGGUGCAAGUUAGAGAGGGGAAUUAGUGUGAAUUAUGCUGGUGAACUUCAUAAAUUUAUUUAACUUUCGCAUUGCUUAUUUAUCCUCUAAGGCGUGUGAUUUCUUUUUUAUACUGGGUGGAAAACAACGACGUGGGGUAUUGUGUCAUCUAGUGACCGUUGCAAGAUGUUUGAAUCCUACUAAAUGCACCGCAUGGCUGUUAGACGAUUGUAGGGGUAUUGUGUCACAAAACACACCGUUUCAAUUACCACCUAGACACAUCGUUUAAAUGAUGGUGUUUCUUUUAUUUAGAUGAGAAUCUUGCCACGUGUUGGCUAUUGCUUGAUAAUUGGAAGUUGUUCUGUUAUCCGCUCUUUCAGUUAGUAUUUGUAACAGAAUGCCAGCGUGAAAAUAGAAGAAUGAAAAAUGUUGGCUUAACCAAUUUAUGUCCCUCUUCGAGGACUUUGAGGAGUUUGGGAGGCGAGGGCGGAGAGCCAGGAUUUUUCUUCUGUCCUGAACUAUUAAAUAAACAUAUAAUUUUUUUUAAGAUAAAUUAUUAACUAAUGUAUAUGAGUUUUUAAAGUUAAUAGUAAAGUUUUAAUUCAAAUACAUUAUCUAAAAUAUAAAAAAAUAAAUUUGAAAAUAUAUAAAAUUAAAAUGAAAGUAAAAAUAAACUCAUUAUUAAAGUUACAUCUUUCGAUGUUUUGUGGAAUAUAAUUCAUCUAUAAUCGAAUUUGAAUCGAUAUUGUAACAACCCUUGAACUGGGAUAAAAUAAUAAUCUCAUAUCAACUGAAAAAUAAAAUAAUUAAUUUUUUUCCCUCUCUCAAUUCCUCCUUCCUUCAGUUGAUUCUUCCUUAGAUUAGUAUUUUAUAAGUUGGACUUUGUAAGUUUUCAAGGUUAUUUUCUUACUUUUCUUAUCUUUUUUUCUAGGAUUUUUUUUAUGUUUUUCUCUUACUUUUCUCUCUCUCUCUUGCCUUUUCUUUUCUUUCAUUUUCUAUUCUGCUUCUGCCCGGUCGGCAACAUAUAAAGGAAGGAAAAACUGAUUUGUUUUAUUUUUUUAAUGGCAAAUAAUAAUUUUACCCUUAAUGAGUCAUUUUGCUUUUUUUUGACGUUUUUUUUGUUAGCACUACCAAAAUCUGUUCAUUUUAAAAUUUAAACCAGAUUUUAUUCAAUAUAUUUUAAGAUUCCUUGUAAAAUUUCAGCUCAAUCUGAUGGUCAGAUUGAAAAUUACACUCAAUAAUGUAAAUUGGUCAAAUUAUGAUUUUGUUUUUUAUCAAAUUUCUGAAUUUUUCCAAAAAUUCUGAAAUUUUAACCCAAACUAAAGCAUCAUAUUAGAAGGCUCCACGUAAAUUUUCGGAAUUUUUUCAUGCCUCAAUUGAGAAUCAUAAAUUUUCUUUACAUAAAACUAGUACAAAAAUAUUAAUAAAAUCUUGACCUGAGCUAGAGCCCACCCUAGCCCAUUCAUGCCUCCGCCCUUGUUGGGAGGCAAGAAGUAACUUCGGAAGGUUAUGUAGAAGCUUUGCGUGCCAGAUUUAGAGACAAGAGUAUGGUUAUAUUGGAAGAUUGAUUAUAAGGAGAACUGUGUUAAAGUGAAAAAGUAUGACUUGCAGUUUUUUUUUUAAUGGAUGGAAAUUUUGAAGGAAUUAGGAAUUGGCAAAGUGUUCAAAUGGUGUGAUUCAUUUGGAAAUUAGAUGGAGUUUUCAUAAGUGAUGAGAGAUAUUGAUUUAGUUGAAGAUCAAGGAGUGGUUGUGGUAUGGGAUUUAGGGGAAAGUGAGUGGUUGUGACGAGGAAGAAUCGAUCAGUAGUAUUUGAAUGUGGCACACUGACAAAGAGUGAAGAAAUAAUAAGAAAACUAUUAGAGCUUCUCAAGUGUUUUAAUUUGGGAGUCGUUUUCACAGGCCAUAUUGUAAUGUUUUGAAAUUAAUAAGAUAGGAUAUUACAACAAAGCCCUUGGAGGCUUAAAAGUUGGAAUAAAUGAAUAAGGGGUAUUAUGGUAAUUGAACAAAAAUUGAUAAAUAUAAAUAGGAAGUAAAAAAAAAAAAGAAAGUGAUCUGAAAUUAAACCGUGAGAGAGAGAAGGAGAAAGAAGAAGAAGAGAAAAGAAGGGAAAAAGGAAGAGAUUGGAGGAAAUAAGUGAAAAAGGUAAGAUUUAGGUUGUUUAAUGUGUAUAAUAUGUUAAUUAAGCUUUAAUUUCAGUUUUUAUGAAUGUUAGGGUUUUGAGAAUUUGUGUUUGAUUUAAAUUGAUGAAUUAAAUUGAAGGUUAGGGGUUGAUUGUUGUGUUAAUUGAUGAUUUAGUUGAUUAUGGAAGAUUAUGAUGAUUUUGAGUUAUAGUUUUGUGUAAAUGGUGAAAUUGUGUUAGAAAUCAGGGGAGAACAGUGGGGUUUCUGUUAAAAUCUGGACUGGAGGUUGAAGAUGACGAAAAUUCAAUUUGGUCCCUCAAUUUCCGAAAAUUACAGUUUAGUCCCCGAACUUUGGAAAAUUACAAAUUGGUCCCUGGAGCAUAUUCCGAGAUUCUGAACAGAAUAACAUAUGAAUUAUGGACAUAAUUACUGUAUAGAUAAGAGAAUUUAACACUUUCAAUUUAGUCCUCCAAUUUGACAAAAAGUACGAUUUGACCCUAAAAAUUUAGUAAAAUUCCAGAAUGAUCCCUGAAGCAUAAUGAUACAUCCUGGACAGAAUUGAGGAUUAAUUAAGGUCAGAAUUUCAGUAUAUUCAUGGAUUUAUGACAAAUUUCAGUUUGGUCCUCCAUUUGACAAAAGUUACAAUUUGGCCCUAAAAAUAUGGAAAAAUUCCAGAUUAGUCCCUAGCUGUAAUAUUAGCUUUUGCAGAUUAGUUUGAUGAAUAAUUAAGGGUUAUUUAGUGAAUUAUUACCAAUUUUAUUAGUUGUUUUUAUUAUGGAUUAGAUUUCGGGAAAACCGUUAGAUUUUGGGUUUUUAAGAAAAUUGACUAGUUAGUUCAAAAAAAAAAUAUAGGGUUACGGAAUACACCCUUAGUUAAGUGUAUUAAAUAGGUUAAAUGUUCUUUCGAGUCGUUUUUGAAUAUGUCUCCUUUGUAUUCAGAUAAUCCUGAUAUUCUACCGGCAGGACGUCAGUAGAAUUUCCUUCGGUUUCAGCUUGUGUGUGUGUUUGCUUUUGAGUCAGGUGAGUGGAUAAUUUUCCAUAUGCAUGAGAAAUAUUAUAAAUAUUUGAUUUGUUAAUAUGAAUUGGAUCAUGCUUCUUGAUAAUAUAUAUGCUGAUUAUUAUCCUUGAUAUGAUAAAGCAUGAUCAAUUAUUGAAUCUGAUUUCUUGAUAUGAACCAAUAUGAUUUGACUUCUGAAUUGAUAGCUCCUCAUUUGAUGGAUGUCAUGAGUUGAGCUUUGAGAUAUGAAUAUGUUUGUUUGAUUAUGAUUAUGAACCUAUGGUAUGUCAGUCAGAAUACCCAUGCUAACAGGGUAGUGUUAGUCUUUGUGCACAUCGUAUCUGAACCCUAGUUGGUCGGGGGAGUCACCAACAUGUGUGGAUUGAUCAUCCCACAGUACGGAGCCUCAUGCUCAUUGCAUUUUGAUUUUCUGACAAGUUUUACCAUAUGAUAUUCUUGUUAUGGCCUAUUUGAUAAACCUGCGUAUAAGAACUAAAGCCAUACUUGUAUAUAUAUUUCUCAUUGCUAUAUUACCUCAUGUGUGUAUAUUGAACAUUAUCUACUCACUGAGUUGUUGAACUCACCCUCUCAUUAUUUAUCCUUUUCAGGCUUAUAGCUUGAUAGCAUGUCACUUUUGUUGAAUCUUCUGAACCUGCUUUUUGGUUGUAAUUUGUACCUUCCUUUUAUGUCAAGUUAGUGCUCCAAGACUAUGAAUAUAUAUGAACUCUUGUAUUAAGACAAUUGAAUUAUGUUAUAAAGUUAGUUUUGUUGUUACUGCUGCGUUGAACAACUCUGAUUGAGUUUUGAAGGAUAAGUUUGUAUGUAAAUUUGGGUUCGUAUAGGUACACGGAACCUUGGAGGGGAACCUUGCCUAUGUGCCGGUCAUGGAUCCGGGAUUCGGGUCGUGACACAUAUAGCUAUGAAGCUGGUGGAAAUAUGCAGGGAAAGGGCUGCAGGAGGGAAGAAUAUAAUUUUUCUUGGGAACUGAGGGAAGAGUUCAGCGAAUGAAGUUAGGAUGUGGAAAGAGAUGGAGCUUGUGAUGAUAAGAGAAGCUACGCAUAGUGAUUGGUGAUUACGAAAGUCGUGUGGAUUCAUAUCUAAAGAAGCUAUGAAGAAGGUAUCUUUGAAGGCACUUCCCUCCCUUUUCCUUGCAAAGUAGCUUGGAACUGAUGGAAAGAUGCAAAUUUAUUUGUGGAUCAGUUGAUGGGGUGCAAUGUGAUAUCCUCCUUCUUAAAGAUGUUCACACUAUGAGGUAUUUUUUAUUGGAUAUCCAACAGAAAAAAACUUGAUAUUGCUUGGUUUGUCUUCCAUGGAUAUUGAUAAAAAGGUGAUAUGCAUGCCUACUGGAAAAUGUACUUCUUCUUGCUGGGUCUGAAAUUCAAACUUACGUUCACUAGGGACCUUUCAAUAAUGUUGUUGAAGUGAACUGCUAGGUCAUUAAUCACAAGUCAAAAUAGGAGACUGCUGAUGGUGCAUCAGUUAGAGAUACCUUUGAUUCACAUAUUCAGGAUUCAGAGUUUUGGGCCUUUUACUUUGAUUAUAGAUGUACAGCUAUAAAAUAUUGUCUAAUUUUUAUUGAAUAGGUUUUAUUUAUGGUAUUAGGGCACCUAAGUUUCUUUCUCCGGUGACACACUUAUUGGUAAUGUUUGGUUGUGAUCUUGGUGUCAAAUAAUACCAACGAAAAGUGAGAAAGGGAAUCUUCUUUAAAUGGGAUUUGAGAAGGUUUAUGAUCACUCGAGUCAGGGAGGACCAUGAGAAAGUGAUGCAGGUAGCGUUAGAUGUUAUAUCGUACUGUGAAGAAAUUAGUUCCAAAAAGAAGAUAAUUUGCCUUGGUUUUAUUUGUCCAGACUGAAGUUUUCAAAGUGCUCUGUACAUGCAAUGAAGCUUUAGGUCUUACUUCAUCUUAUUGAGAGCAUGCUUUGGGCCAUCUCCUCCUUUUCUUUUUUUAAUUUUGUUGAAAUUUUUAAAUGAAUCAUGCCAAUGGCUUCUACUUUCUAUUUUAUUUUUAACACAAUUUAGAACAUUUUAGUAUUUUCUGCAUGACUCAAUUAAAUAUUUGGUUCCCAACUCAUUGACACUAGCAACUCUCGUACACACACGUGUGCUCAUAUGUGCCCACGCACACCUUACAAGGAACUGAACUGAUUAAUUAGUGUAUUAUUCAGAAUAUUAUGUUGGGAAAAAUAGUCUUGCUAAGUUACCCAGAGAUUAACUUGUGACUGUUUCAUUCUUCUCAUGUAUCCCACAUUUAGUGAUGAUGCUUACUCACUAUCUUUCCAGCUUACGAACAUAAUAUGGGGUGAGGCUGAAGAUAGUGAUGACCAUAUCGUGCCAUAUCCGGAGGCAAGUGAAGAUUAUUGCAAGAAAAAGGAAUCGAGUGAAGAAGCUAGCACCAUUAAAUCUAGUGAGCAGAAGGCACCUGGGGCUAAAGUUGAUACUGAUGGCAGAAAGCUGGAGAGCAUUUCGAAUGUUGACACAAGUGAAGGAACUUCUUCCUUAGGACUUGACAUGGACCGAUGGCCUAACUUGUCCUCACGUAAUGCUGCCAAAACUGAGCAGGAUUCUUUGGAAACUUCAAUCUCUAACAAUCUAACUGAGAUUACCAAACUCGAUUCAUCAGCAGGUGAUGAGAUUUCAAUUACAAGGAAAAAAUGUAGAUAGGGUGACGAGUUGCAUGAUGUUUUCAUAGCAUAGUAUCUUACAUGCUACUGUCUAUUCUAAUUCUUUUUUUAAAAAAACGCAGAGACAGAUCAUCUUGAUAAGGACACUGAGAUUUUUCAAAAUCCUCAUGAAGGUGAAGAGCAAGGUGAUUUUGCUGAUUAUGGCUGGGCUAGCAUUGGAAGCUUUGAUGAUCUUGAUCGAAUUUUUAGGUAAAGCACAGUUACCAUUUCUUACUUUCUGCACCUAAAUGAAAGAUGGUCAGCAGCACCCUGAUAUGGAAGCUUGUAUAUCUCAUUAUUCUGAUAAUUUGAACAAAUUCUUAUUACUGACUGUGAAGUGAAAGUUUCGCGAACAAAAUAAUUAUGCUCACUGUCUAUUUUCAUUUCAGAAGAAAAAAAUCAUGUAGUACAAGAGUGUUGUUGUGAAGGAAAAACAACCAGACUCUUUUAAUAAUUGUAGUUUCUUCUGUGUUGGAUCUAUAUCCUUUUCCAAACAAGUGCUGUCUGCUGAAAGCAACACUAACAAAAAAUGACUAGUUGUUUGAAAAUUUAUGGUUUUUGAUCCUUGGCUUAAUUUUGUUAAUUGGGAAAAGAACCUGAAGGAUGCCAGUUUUUAGCAGCACAAUAUCCUCAAUUACAAGUAUAAAUGGCAGAAAGAAUGUAAUAUAGCAGCACUGGAUUUGUAAGGAAUUGGUGAGCUUGUUCAAUUGUGGAAGGGCUUUCCUGCAUUUCUGUUCUUCACUAAUGUUCUUAUAUUUUAUCUUGAUUCUGUUGGAGAACAGUAAUAACCAUCUGACUCAAUAUCCUCACAAGUGGUGAUUUUGCAGCAAUGAUGACCCAAUAUUUGGCAAUGUAAAUCUUGGUAAUGCUGAUGAGCUAUGGUCUUCUUCAAAAUGUACAACUAACAACUAAUACCUCAAUAUAUUCUGAACAAUAGAAACCCUUCCGAUCAUAAGUUACAGCUAAAAACAAAAUAACAUUGAAUUUAUCCUUACAAACCAUGUACUGAAUUAAAAUACUAACUGUGCCUUAGUCACUCUCCCCUGCAGGGCUAGAUGGUUAAAACGUUGAUCUAUUCUAAGUAAUUUGUCUAUUUAUUAUAGUUCUGUGAUCAGAGUUACAGGCAAAAGAAGAUCUUGAAAGAUCGGGAAAAACUGGAAGAAAAAGGUGAACUGAAAUCAUACCAAGAUUUUUAUGGAAACUGGACUUCAUCUGGAAUCCCAGCCUCUCAACUUAAGGAUCCCAAAUUAUGCAAUCUUCUCCCCCUUCAAUUCUCAGCCAACAGAAGCAGCUACAGGGUUCCGAGCAGUUGCAGUACCAGCAGAUAUCCAAUCCAUUUGUGACCCCUUCUGCAUACGGGAGUAUUACAAAUCCAUAUUCUAUGUUAGUGAUACUGGCAGUACAAACAAUAGUUGCAGGGACUAACAGAGGAGCUGACCUUGAAGUAGAGGAUCUAAGUACACUUGCUUCAUUUGACCCAAACUCACCUAUUGAGCAAGACGAUUCCAAUACAGUCUCCCUGGCAGUUAAUGAUUAUUCAAUGGAGGACACAGUACUCUACAGGCUUCAAGAUAUUAUUUCAAAGGUAUGCUUCACGUACUAUUGCAUUCUUUCCCUGCUAAAUAAUUUGUGCUUGGUUACGAUUCCAAACCAAUGUUUUACAACAGUUGGAUGUCAGAAUUACAACAGUUGGCUCAAAGUGCAAUGCAAAGGCAUUAUGCUAGUGAUACUGGCAGUACAAACAAUAGUAGCAGGGAAGAACAAGUUGCUGCAAAAGAGGAAACCAGCAGUCAAGGAAGGUUGGUUAAGGCAAUGCAUUUCUAAUGCUUCUGUUUUCAAAUUUAAUCUAUCCUCUCUCUUUUUUAACAUUUUUGCUCUAUGGAAAUGUUAAAUUAGGAUCUUUUUAUGCCAUCACCAUUUUCUGUUUUCCAUUCUCAUUCUAGAAAUAAAUAUUGAAAACGGUAUCCUCUAUUUACAAUGGAGGAAUAGUGACUGAAACAAUUCAAUUAAGGCAGCGCUUGUUCUUAGAAGUAGAAGAAAAUCUAAACAGAAAAUUUUAGGGUCCUCUUUCACUGGAUUUCCUUAAAAACUUGACUGAAUUUGACCUUGUUGAUCAAAUAUGUAGUAGUUCGCUUCCACUGGUUCUGUUAUGAUUGUGAGUGCUGGUCAUCAUGUCUUGAUUUAGUUGAGAGAAGCUUUGGUAUUGUAUGUAGGCCAACCUAGGUAGAGGCAGAUAUUAAACUGACAUUUGUAGCUUUACCCUGGUGCAGCAUUCAUGAGUGCAGUGCAGCAAGUAGUCAUGAGUGACAAUUCAAAUAGCAUAAUAUUUAGUAGAGAUUUUCAUUUAAUUAGAAAAGGAAAUUUAAUUUUUCCAAUAUUAACAAAAUCUAUGCAAGUUUUCUGCAAUGUUGAUUCCAGUGAAUUUGUGCAUAAUCACCUUAAUCCGAAAAGAAGAGCUAAACACACACAUCCAAGUCUAAACGAGUGGCACAACAUACAUGAUAAAUUUUACUAGAUUUAACUAAGAGAGAGAAACAAAGAUUGUUCAACAAGUGCAAUAAGUUUAUUCAACGACAAAUAGAAGGAAAACAAGAUCUGUACAAAUUCACUGGAAUCAUCAAUGCAGAGAACUUGCACAACUUUAGAUAAACAGGGCAAAAUUAAAUUUCCCUUCUAAUUUAAUGAUCAUCUGUAGAUUCAUGAUACAUUACAUUUUAAACAAGAAAUUUAAGAACUCAAAUCAUCUUCUAAUCGGCUCAUCAAUGUCUAAAUGGGACACUUCCAGCCAAAACCAUAAGCUGUUUUGAUCUGAAACUCGAUUUUUUGUUGUAAGCGACAAUGUAAUUGUUUCUUGUUCCAAUGGGUUUGUUCCUUUACAUCUCGUCCUUCCCAUUUCAAAUCAUUCAAUUUGUUUGCACAAAAUUAUUAAUCAAGUCUUUAUCAAUUUGUUUAGAGUAUGGCAAUCUCAAACUUGCCUGUCAUUUUCCUCAUGGAUUUUAUGAGUAUACUGCAGGGUGGUUAAGAUGCCUGAGGUGGAAACAGAGACCAAUCCGGUAGACCGGACUGUGGCUCAUUUGCUGUUUCAUAGACCGAUGGAUAUUCCUGGGAAGCAUCCUGAUACACCUGAAUCACCUUUUUCAACUAAGCUCCCGUGUGAGCACAAGACAAUGGGCCUAGCAAAGCUGUCAACGGGAAGCCUGUCUGAGACUCCGAAAGGUAAACCAAACUUUUCGCAAAGGGGGUCUCGACUUUCUAGUCUCUUGACCAAUGCUCAGCCUGUAAGUCAGUGUAAAAGCAAUCCUUGCUUAGACGAUUCAGAGGAUGCAUCAAACAAUGGGCCUGCUGAUGAAGGAGCUAGGGAGGUUAAAGCCUCUCAAUGAGGUAAUUCCUACCUGAAUCUCUUCCAUGCUUGCAGUGACGAUUUACUAGUAAUGCCGAGGUUUUCUUUUAUUGUCAGCUCACUGGAUCAUCAUGAGGAAUAAACACCAGUAUUGAUGGGGAUUUGUAAAUGUCUUUAGCAGCGUAACCAUCAAGAAGUUAAUAUAGCUACGUAUCUACUGCAAAACAAUGAACUCUUUGCUGUGGGUUCUCAAGAUGAUGACUUUCUGUGCUUUAAUCCUUUCUGUUGAUUGUGCGUAAGGAUGAUGCUCCAAUAAUUAUUAGCAGAUUUGCAAGUGCCUACUCUCUCGAGUGAUAUUGGCCGCUUUCACUUGAUUCUGAAUUGUGAUUCCAAUACGCGGAUGAAUUUUAUAUUAUCUUUUCUUUUUAUAUCUAUAAAGAUCUUUGAUGGAAGUAAACUUUAAGAAAAGUUUUUUAAUCAAAGUUAAGUGAUAAUAAAAUAAAUAAAUCAAAAGUUUUUGGAUUUUGAAUUUUUGGAGAAGGGGAAUAGAUUAGAGAAAGAGGUGGGGAAAAGAUUUUGAAUUUUUGAAGAUGCGUAUAAGGAGAAAAGGAGAGAAUGGAGAUUUUAAAUUUUGAAUUUUGAUUUUGUCGCGUCAACAACGAAAAAUCUGUUGCAGAUUAUUUAAAUAUUUUUUAAUCCGUUUCAGCUCUGCUAGGCCCGUUGUCUUUUAAGAUGGACACUUGUUUUUUAAGGGUGGCGCUAGCAGUUCAAAAUCAGAAGCAUGUGAUGUUUAUUUGCCGCAGUUGAUAGAGGAACAAUAGUAGCAUUAAUUAUAGCAAAAAAGAUAUUGAAAUAGAAUGAUGAUUAUUAUUUAUGGAGAUGAAUGAGAGACAAUAGGAAGAAAAUUUGUAUUUCAACAUCAAACAAAUAAAAACAUACAACUUUCUAGGACAAUAUCUGUAUUUCAUUAAUCCAAACUUAUGAGCCGCCCUUGCUUGUAGAGGAAAAUUUGGAUCAGAAUGCUGCAAAGAAACAAUGGAGGAUUUAGACCAAGAGCAUGAAAAGGAUAUGUAAAAUACACAAAUAGCUACGUAAUGAUAUUUGAAAAACAAUCUUGUUUUGUGAAAAUGGGCAAUUGGUAAUACUGACAUGAAAAUGCAAAGGAUUAAUAAUGGUGGAGAAAUACAGAGUAACUGAGAAAGAACAUCAAAUGGAAAAGCUCACAAUGAGUCAAAGCUGAGGGAGCAAGCAAAUCAAUUUUAUCGUUCUGGCAAGAAGGAAGGGCGACAGAGCCUUCAUGAACUGUAAGUAGAAAGAUGGAUUUGGAUCCUGCCAAAAAUAAGCAUAGAAUUAAUAGUGGAACAUCACAAAUUUUAACUGAAAUUGCCUUUGAUUACUUAAAAGAAAAUAAACUAUUUAGUACCUCAAUAUAUUGGACGAUUGAAAGAAUGUGAUUUAUGUAUUAGCUCCUUUAAAAGCUCCGAAUAUGUAUGUAAGGAAUGUGAGAAAUCUUGGGUCAAUCUUCACCUUUCUCCCUUUCACAACUUUCACCUAGCAGAGGACACUUGCGAAUUCGAAGAGUAGAAAGGGAAGAGGGCAACCCUUCUUCUGGCAUUGACUCAAUCAGAGGGCAGUCCCAUAUAGUCAAUUCUUCAAGAGAGGUGAGGUGUUGAAGCCUUGGAAGAGAUUUCAGCAUGGGACAACUGUUAAUUAAAAGAGAAGAAAGGGAGGAGGGCAACCCUUCUUCUGGCAUUGACUCAAUCAGAGGGCAGUUACGUAUUUUCAAUAAUGUAAGAGAAGUUACGUAUUUUCAAUAAUGUAAGAGAGGUGAGGUGUUGAAGCCCCUUGUAGUCAAGAGAUUUCAGGUGUUUUAGGGAAUGGAUUUGAAGAGAUGUAAGACUUGAGGGCAGCAGCAUCUCUUCAGGGAAGGAUUCAACAUUUUCGUCCCAACCAAUAACAAAGCUUGAAAGAGAAGGGAGCAUUUGCAAGCCCCAUCGCAUGCGGCCAGCAAUGAGUUUGUUGCAAUCCAAAAUCACAAGUGAUUGUAAUGUGGAGGGAAAACCCCCUUCUGGACACAACUCAACUUCUGAACAAUCUCUUAUUUCCAAAUGCUUGAGGGAUGGGAGGGGGGAAUGCAUACUCUCAGGCAACUGCUUCAAGUUCCUGCAUUCUAUUAACUCAAGUCGUGUCAAGACUAGAGCAGGUAACCCUUCUUUGGGAAAUGAAACUAAUUUAGGGCACCCCUUGAUUUUCAAAGAAUGGAGAGAGUUGAGAUCAUUGAGAGGUCUUCCAUGUGCACAUAGUGAUUCGAGAUCUGGACAGCCUGAGAUAGAAAGAGUAUAUAACUUGGGGAACAAGUCCAGCGCGACGCAUUUGAGAGAAGCGCAGUACUCGAUUGCAAUUGAGCUUAAAUCAGAACAACCCAUUUGCUCGGGUAGGGACUCUAGGGAGUGGAAUUCAGAAAGCGAGAUAUCGAGCAGCCUAGGAAUCUUAGGAGGUGGAGUCGCGAGCUGCACACAUCCACUAAUAACAAGAUUUGUUACACGUGGAAGGUGGUGACUAGGUAGGGCCUUUGCAAGGUUGGGGCAUUCUUCGAUGAAAAGCUCUUCAAGAAGAGGGAAGGCUUCCCGGCUGCCUUCGUUUGAAAUCCACUCGCGCCACUCUGGCAUCCUUUUAAAAGAUAAUAUUUUGAGGGAUUUAAAUGGCUUCUCCGUAGCAGUACAAUUCCCAUAGAACUGGGAGCUCACAGUGACAACUUUAUCGAAUGCUUGAAUUGAGAGAUGCUCUAAAGAAGCUAAUUGCCCGAGCGGUGGUAAGGAGGUGCAGUUUUUACAUCCAAUGAGCUGCAAGGACACUAUAUUUGUGAAAGAGCGCUCUCCUACCCAAUUCGGAAACUCGACACCUCCAUAACCAUCAAUCCGAAGAUCCUUCACAUUUGUAUUUGGCUCUAAUUUCUCAAGCGUGCUUUUUACGUGUUGCGGGUCAGGAGUGUCACCAUCCCAUGUAAACCUCAGCUUAUCAAGGUGCUUUUUACCUUUCAAAUUUGCCUCAGCAGCAUCCUGAGAAUCCACCACGUUUUGAAGGUUCUGAAUAUGAAAAUCUCCCCGUAGAUGUCGUAGCUUUCCCAAUUCUUUAAUGCUAGUCUCACUGUGUCUUCCCACGAGAAAGAAAGCCAACGUUUGGAGCUUUGACAGUUGACCUAUAUGUGGUGGCAUCUCUUUCAAAGGCGUGUAUGAGAUGUUAAGAUACCGCAAGUUGAUUAACCUUUCCAGAGAUUCAGGCAACCUUUCGAUCCUUGUUCCUAGAAGAUCCAGAUGCCGUAAGUGCUUCAAAUUUCCAAGAUCAGGUAGACUAGCAAGUUCUUUGCACCUCACCAAGAUCAACGUUUGCAAAUUGAGAAGAGCACUCACUUCUUCAGGCAACGUUACUAAACGUGACCAGGAGAAAUCCAAAUACCGCAAAUGCUUCAACUUGCUAGUUGAACAUAACAACGUAGAUGCAACUCUACAAUUAGUCAUGAAUAGCACUCGUAGGCGACAAUGUGUUUGAAAGAUCUCCUUAUAAAAUUCGGGAGGACACUCCACAUAGCGUCCAGUUCGGAAUGUGCGUAGAUGUUGGGCUUCACGGAUGUUUUCGAAGUUUGUGCUUGAAAAACGGCAUCCCGUAUCUACGAGUGAUAAAUGUCGAGUCCUUCUGGUGGACUUGGAAGAAGUAUUUUCCCCCAACCUGGAGCUGAAGCAAAACUGACCGGACACAUGGGUAGCCAAGUCAUGCAUGAGAUCGUGCAUCACAAAUGAUGAGCUUGAUUGCUGGAAAAACGACCUUGACAAGAGAUCAUCAAAGUACUCAGCACCUGUCUUUUCCAUCUCAUCUGCGGAGCUGACUAAGAAGCCCUCUGCCAUCCACAGGAGCACUAAUUCAUCCUUUUUAAAUUCAUAGUCUUUUGGAAAUAUGGCACAAUAAGCAAAACACUGCUUCAGAUGUGACUGGAGAUAAUGAUAACUUAAUCUCAAGGCUGGGAGGAUAUUGUCUUUGGUUAAAUCCCAUAGAUUGCUUUCCAAUAACUUCUCCCACUCCUCGACAUCUCUUUUGGUGCGUAGCAGACCUCCGAGUGUUACUGCAGCUAGAGGAAGGCCUUUACACUUUCUCGCUAUUGCUCUACCAAUUUGUAGCAACUCUUCAUGAGCGGUGGGAUCUUCACCACGAAAUGCAUGUCUGGCAAACAAGGACCAGCAGUAUUCUUCCGUCAAUUCUUUUAGAUGAUGAGUUGGAACAGUUUGCAUGGCUGAUGCUACACUUUCAUUGCGUGUUGUGACAAGAAUCUUACUCCCUUGUGCUCCGAACUUCAGGGGGGUAAGCAACUUGACCCACUCAGCAUAAUCUUCAUUCCAAACGUCAUCUAAAACAAGCAAGAAUUUAUUUCCCUGCAAUCUCUCCUUCAACUGAAGCUGGAGCAUAUCCAGACUAUCAGAAUCAGGCUUUGAACGGAACGCCUCAAGGAUAACCUUGGUUAACUUCAAAAUACUAAAAUCUUCUGAAACACAAACCCAGGCUUUGAGAGUACCGAACCGCUCUUGUACUUCGCUGCGAUUGUAUACAUGCUGAGCAAGCGUGGUUUUACCAACCCCGCCCAUUCCCCUUAUGGGGACGAUACCUAGGUUUUCUCCAUUUGCAACCUCUGAUAGAAGCAACUUCAGUAUUGCUUCCCUGUCCUCAUCUCUACCAUAAACACCAGAUUCAUCCACGAGAGAAGCUGUUGGUGUUCUAUGCGAUGAUGGAUUUUCUACAUUGCGGAUGUUCAAACGAAGGGCUGCCAUUCGUUCAACUAAGGGAUCUAGAUCCCGCAAGAGGACUUCUAAUUUUUUUUCGAUCUCUCCCAACCCCAAUAUUUCAAGUGGGUUAAUGAAAGAAAGAAGCUUCUGCGUCUGACCUGUGAAGGUUUGAUCUUCAGCUUCCAACUCCUGCCGUAGAGCUUCAUAUGCAAUCUCAUCCAAGAAGUCGUCGGCUUUAUAGACAGCGUCUUUAAGCAGGUCCAGCCAAUCCCGCACAGCUCUGUUUGUUAUCUGCUUCUCCUCAGCAUCGUCAAGCACCACCCUGAGAGAUGUCAUUGCUGUCUCCAACCUCGUUAGCAGCCUAUCGUUGACUUUUUGGCCUCUGAAGAAGGCGACCACCUGGGGAGAGGCCAUCCUGUAGAAACCAAACAUUAAGGAAAGAAGAAAGAAAAGCCCCUCCUACUAAAGCCCCGGCCAUGGUUUCUCCUCUUUGCAAAGUAACCAAGGAAGAGUAAACAAACAAGAAGAAGAAGAAGAAGAAUAGGGGAUUUUGUUCAGGUGACAGAAGGGGAAAGGAUUUGUGUAAAGAACUGGCCAAAGCUUUUUCUUUCUCGGCUCUUUAACCCAACUUGUUCAUAAAGCAUCUCUAAAGGGAAAUGUUAUUUGAAGGAGGUAAAUUGAUAAAAUAAUAUUUUGAAUAGUAUAAAUAUAGUUUUUUUUAUUAUGUAUAUUUUAAUGGAAAAAAGUCAUUUGAAAAGCCAAUUCUAUUAGAGUAGAAUAAAGAAGUGUUUUAUUUUUUUUUAUGAUUUUAAUGUUAUUUUUUUUUCACAUGGCUAGAUUUAAUUGGUUUAUUCUUUUGUUGGCCUCACUUGAUUAAUUUUGACUCUUUUAAGAGAUAUGUAGAAAUAGUAUUUGUGGAAGAGAAGAGGCAUUUUAGCAUUUUGUUUGGUUUUUUUCUUGGAGUGUGCAAAACAAGCCAAGAAAAACUAAAAUAUUAAUUUUUUAUUUUUAGCUAUUCAUUUAGCUUCUCCCUCUGCUUAGGAAUCCAUUUAAGUGUUCACUGUUGUUUCUGAUUGUUUUUUAUUUAAAAUAUAUUAAAAUAUUUUUUAUUAUUUUAAAUAAUAACACAUUAAAAUAUUUAAAAAUACUAAAAAUAUAUUAAUUUAAAAUUAAAAAUAUAUUUUUUUUUUAAAUCACUGAUACAAGCUGCAACUGAAACGAUAUUCCAUCUUUCUUCUUUUUUAAAAUUUUACUCAGUUUGUCUUUGAUUUAUUUCCCUAUAAAUUACAUCUUUUAAAAAAAGGGGUUUGAUUGGAAAAACUUCACAAGAUGCGAAGCUUUUCACGUGAUAUGAUAAUGCAGCGGAAGACUUCACUUUAUUUCUUUUAUCUUCUUCCUUCUAUCACUUUUCAUUGAUAAAUUAAAUAAAUAAAUCAUAAAUUAUACUUUAUAUUAUUAUAUUGUAUACAAUUAACUCGCAGGCUUGGCAAAUUAAGCCAGACUAGAUGUUUUUUGAAUUAAUUUUUUUUGAAUUCUAUUAUUUAAUAUUAUAUUUUAUUAAAAUUUAAGUUUCAUGAUUUGUUUUGAUUUAUUUUUAUUAGGUUAUCUUGACCUCCUAAUCUAAGAAUAUUGUUUAACAGGUUGACUCGGGUUGACCUAAAUAUUUUUUGUGUUAUUUUUAAUUUAAAUUUCUAGAAAUUGCAUCGUUCACGUUGGAUUUGAUACUUUUUAAUUUAUUUUUAUUUACUCUUUAAGAGGUUAUCUCAGUCUUGUAAUUAGAGUCACAUAUUUGAUGACUUAAAUUAGGUCAUUGUUUUAUUAUUUUUUUAUAAGAUUAUCUCGAUCUCAUGACGAGUUAUGAGUUUGAUGGAUUGAUUUGAGUUAUUUUUAUGUUUUUUUUUUAAAUUGAUUUUUUUUAAUCUUAUCCUUCCAUGCUUUAUUUGUUUUAAAUUUAUCUUUUAAUAUUUGAUUGGUUGAGAAUUAGACUUUAUAAUUUAUUUUCUAUAGAGUUAUCAUAGUCUCACAACUCGGGUUAUAAAUUUAACAAGUUAACUUGGGUUGAUCAAAAUCAAUCUAAUUUGUUGUUAUCUUAAUAUUAAAAAAAACAUAUCAUCUUGAAAAUUUUUUGAGUUAAAUUAUAUUUUUACUCGUUAUCUAGGUUGUUUUUUAAACUGCAAAUUCAAUCAAGUCACAUGAAAUAAAUCACCAUAUAAUUUUAAAAACAUUUACUGGAAUAAAUUAAAACAUUCACAAUUUGAAUAUUUUUAAGAAAACUUUGACUCGUAUUCAAGUAAAUAAUCCAAUUUUAAAUUAGAUAGCGUACAUUACUUUCAAUAUUUUAAGGAACUCAUUAAACAUUUAAAAUUAUUAAUCUCUCUUGUAUUAAAAACAAUUACACAAAACUUGAAGCUUUGCAUAAUAUUUGCUUAAUUCUAAAAGAAUGGUGGAAGGAAUCAUUAAAAGAUAAUUGAAUUCUUAAAUAUCAAUAGUUUUAUAUAAAUAUAUAUGUGCUUUUUUAAAAAAAUACAUAGACAACCAACAUACUACCCUUCAUAAAAAUAAAAUAAAAAGAUAUUGUUAAAUAUAGUAUAGUACUUUUGACAGCAAAACCGUGCUUGGUUUUUACCGUGUCCACGUGUUUGUGGUGCAGCGAGAGAGAGAGCAUAGGAAAGUAACAAACUUCACAAAAGUCAAUAGGAAUAAUUUGAUUGGUGGUUGAAGUCUCUCUGCUCCUCAUUAUUUGUUUUAAUUUUUUUUUUUAGGUUAUAUAAUACUCAUUGACGAGUAAUAAUAUUUAAUGGGUUAAACUGCAUUGAUCUAACUUAUUUUUUAUAUUAUUUUUUUAAUAUUUUUUUUAUUAAUUACAUUGUUCAAUACUGAGUUUUACAUGAUUAAAUAAAGAUUAAAUUUUAUAAUUUAUUUUUUGUAAAAUUAUCUUGGUUUGAUAAUCAAAUCAUGAAUUUAAUAAAUUAAAUUUGAUUAUUUUUUAUUUGUUAAUAAAAUUAUCUCGAUUUAGUAACGAACUAGUUACAUGCCCCGCGCGAUUUCAUAGGUUAAUUAUUUUUUAUAUUUUAAAAAAAGCCAAGAUCUAAAAGUGUUAGGUUUUUUUGCAAAAUUAUACUCAAGAGUCUUAGGUUUGGUCGUAACGCCUGACCCAACAGUAGUAUUUAUAAUAUUAAUAAUAAAAUUAAACUUGGGUUAACUCUUAGCAUAAAAGUGUUUGAACUGCAAUACCAGACCAAUAGCAUUGGACGUGGGUCUAGCUGCAAGGUCGUGUCAUAAAAAUAUGAUAAUUAAAUAGAUUAGUUAGAAAGAAAAAAAACAAACAGGAAGAAAAAAACUAACGAAGAAAAAGAAAAAAAAUAUGAAUUAACUGGGUUAACCCUUCAAACCAAGUUAAUCAAUCAUACCUUAAAUUCGCAUCGUGAAAGUUUGAUAAUUAAAAACGAAAAAAAAAUUAAUGGGUUAACCCAGAAUUAACUAGGCUAACUCGUCAAACCAGUUUAACCUGUCAAACCCGGAAUCCAUGUCAUGAAAGUUUGAUAACUAGAUAGAAAAAAAAAAUUAACAUUAACAAUUUAAAUUAAACGAAAAAAUUUAAUUAAAAAAAAGAAAAAAAAAACAAAAUGCAUCAGCAUUUUUACUAUAGACUGCAAUGUGCAGUCCAUAGUCAAAGACAUCAGCAUUUUCACUAUAGACUGCAAUGUGCAGUCCAUAGUCAAGGACAUAAAAACAACAAAAAAAAUAAAAAGAAAAAUUAAAGGUAUCAGCCGAGAACUACUUAGAAAUUUUUUUAAUAUUAAUAAACUAAAAUAAAUAAAUAAAAUUAAUUAAAAAGAAAAAAAAACCUCUAAAAAUAAAAAUAAAACACUAAAUAGAAAGAAAUUUAACAUUAACAAACUAAAUUAAAUAAAAAUAAUAAUUAAAAAGAAAAAAAAAUAAAUUCCAGGUUAACUCGUCAAACCAAGUUAACUCGUUAAACCCGAGAUCCGUGUCAUGAAUUAAACGAACAAAAUUAAUUAAAAAGAGAAAAAAAAAACAAUCUGGGUUAACUCGUCAAACUAUGUUAACCUGUUAAAUCCAGGAUCUGUGUCAUGAAAAUCUGAUAACUAAAUAAAAAAAAUUAACAUUAACAAACUAAAUUAAACAAAAAAAAUUUAUGAAAAAAGAAAAGAAAUGACAGGUCAACCCAAAAUUAACUGGGUUCACCCGUGAAACCAGGUUAACCCGUGAAACUCGGGAUAUGUGUCAUGAAAAUCUGAUAACUAAAUAGAAAGAAAUUUAGCAUUAAUAAACUAAACUAAACAAAAAAAUUAAUUAAAAAGAAAAAAAAGCAAAAAAAUAAAAUUCUGGAUUAACUUGUCAAACCAGGUUAACCCGUUAAAUCUGGAAAACGUGUCAUGAAAGUAUGAUAACUAAAUAAAAAAUUUAACAAUAAUAAACUAAAUUAAACAAAAAAUUUUUGUUAAAAGAAAGAAGCAAAAAAAAUAAUCCCGGAAGGCAUAAAAAAACAGCUAAAAAAAAUAAGACAACUUAAAAAAAAAAAACCAUAAAGCAUCAGUGUUUUACUGUGGACUGCAUAGAGGAAAAAAAAGCACAAAAAAAAUAUUUUCGGGUUAACUUGUCAAACCAGGUUAACCCGUUAAAUCUGGAAAACGUGUCAUAAAAAUCUGAUAACUAAAUAAAAAAAAUUAAAAUUAGUUAACUAAAUUAAAUAUAAAAAAAUAUUAAUAAAAAAAACAAAGAAACAAAAAAAAAUAAUCUUGAAAGGCAUAAAAAAAAUAGCUAAAAAAUUAAAACAACUUAAAAAAAAAUCUAAAGUAUUAGGAAUUAGUAUUUUACUAUAAACUGCACUAUGCAGUCAUCGCUAAAACACUACUCGUUUUAGUAUAUGUUACAAUUCCAAUACAAUAAGUGUUUUAUUUUUGUGUUUUUAAAUUGAAUACUAUUCUGAAUGUGCUUGUGUAUGCGUGAACUACGCGUGCCAGGAAAGUGGAGUUAGGUCCCACAUCUUACUCGGUCUGUCCUUGCUUUAUUUGACAAGAGAUCCCAUCGGUUGAAAAAGGAGGUUUGAUUGUAAUAACUUUUAUUAUAUAAUCUUUAUUUUCACGUGAUGUGCAAAUAAUACAGAAGAAGACUUCACUUUAUUUCUUCUCUCCUUUUCUUUUAUCACUUUUAUUUCAUUGAUAAAUAGAUAAAUAAGUUAUAAAUUAGCUGAUGACCAUUGCUAUGAAUAUUAUAAAAACUUCAUUACACAUUCUAGAAUGUUGCGUGGUAUUUGUUUAACUCUAAAAGAAUUGUGGAGCAAGUUAUAAUAAAAAAAUCAUUAUAUUAGAAAUUACAGUUGAAUUGCGAAAAUAAAAAUAUCCUUAAUCAGUAUUAAAGAUACUGAUUGUUUGCUUUGAAUAACAAGAUGCAGUUCAACAGGAUUAGGUCUUAUUGGUUUUAUCUUCCACCUGUAAAAAUGAUCUUGUUUUUCAUGUAGAUGGAUCAUUUUAUUCCAAAACUUCUUUAUAAAUAUAAUUAUUAAACUUCAUUGAUUAAUGUUUUUUUAAUUAAAAAAUAGUUAAGAACACAACUUAAAAACAUGUUCAUCGAUCAAAUGUGUUUGUUUUUUAGCAGUUUUUUCUUUUUUAAUGCAGAUAACAAAAACAAGAUAUUUGAUUAUAUGUGAAUUUGACAGCACAACCGUGUUUAUGGUGCAAAGAGAGAAAGAGCGAAGGAAAGUGACAAAGAGCACAAAAAGUUAAUAAAAAUAAUUUGAUCGGUGGUUGAAGUCUCUCUAUCCAGUGUCAGCAACAUAGCUGGGACCACCACAGAAAAAUAUACAGAACUCGCAAAAGCCUUGUGUCUCACCAUAAAGAAGAAAAGAGAAAAAACACCCAAUCCAGCUAGAAAGCACGGGAUGGAAAUUGAAAGCCAGUGAUAAUUGGGACUCACCAUAAAGAUCAGAUUUUAAUAUUAUUUUAAAUUUCAUUAUUUAUAAUAUGUGUAAUCUAUAUUUACAUGAAUUUUUUCAUAUGAAAUAUUAAAAAUUUAAAUUUUUUUUAAUUUUUUACAGGUUGACCCGAGUUGACCCUUGAAACCCGAGACCCGGCCCCUUGGAAUAUAGAUUACACAUAUGAAAUAUGUGUAAUCUAUAUUUACAUGGAUUUUUUCAUAUGAAAUAUUAAAAAUUUAAAUUUUUUUUAAUUUUUUACGGGUUGACCCGAGUUGACCCUUGAAACCCGAGACCCGGCCCCUUGGCCGGGUCAACCCCGAGCCGGGUUUAAUAACUAUGGUGUCAACAACAUAGUUGGGACCAACACAGAAAUUUCGUAGUUGGUUCCUACUUUUCUCAAGUACAUCCCUCUUACAUCAAUAUUCCAUUUCCCACGAAAUUUUUUUAAUAUUAAUAAUAUUAAACUUAUUUUUUAUUCUAUUAACUUUAUAUGUGUAAUAGACUAACCCAGUUAAUUUUUAUUUAUUUUUAAUUAAUUUUUAUAAAAUUAUAUUAUUUAAUAUUAUAUUUUAUUCGAGAAUUAAACUUUAUAUUUUAUUUUAUAAAUUAUUUAGAUCUCAUCACCUAUAAAUAAUGCUUAACAAAUUAAACGGGGUUGAUCUAACUUAAUUUUUAUAUUAUUUUUUUAAUAAUUAUUUUUUAUAAAUCAUAUUAUUUAAAAUUAUGUUUGAUAUUGUUGAACGAAAAUUGUAUUUUAUAAUUUAUUUUUAUUUAUUUUUUAUAAAAUUAUUUUUAUUUCAUAAGCAUAAGCAUGAUUUUAUAAGUUAAAUUAAAUUAUUUUUUAACUUUUUUAAUGAGGGUUUAAUUAUAAGUUAUUGAGUUAUACAUAUAUAACUCAUAUAAUCUUUCUUUAAUUUAGAAGUUGCAAAUGUAUUUUGUUUGCAGUUUCUUCUUCUCUUUACCCAGGAUCAUGGGUCAAUACACUAGAUUGGAAUAACUUUUAUUAUAUGCCCAAUAUAAUCUUUCUUUUCACAUGAUGUGCUAAUAAUGUAGAAGAAGACUUCACUUUAUUUUUUCUUUUGUACAUAGUUAUUAAACUCAGACUAACCUAGUGUAUUGACCCAUGAUCCAGAGACUACACUGGUCAGGUUUUGUCAAAAGAUUGACCAAUGCAACUACCUAGUCAACCGGCCGGUGACCCGAGCGAACCUGUACGAGACCCGGUUUUUUAUUAAAUGGGAGAUUUUAAACACAUUAGUAUAUAUACACUUUAUGUUCCAAAAAAAAAAUUAUGUUUUUUCAAUAUGGGAUAAAAAACUUUUUGGUUUAAAUAUUUCAACUUAAAAUGAUAACAUAAUAUCUUUUUAAUGUGAGAUUUAAAACCUUUUCGUAUAUAUACUAUAUAUUCGCAAGAAAAAAAUUAUGUUUUUUCAAUGUGAAAUUUAAAACCCAUUAAUAUAUACACUAUAUGUUCCCAAGAAAAAAGUUAUUUUUUCAAUGUGGGAUAAAAAACGUUUUUGGUUUAAAUACUUCAAUUUAAAAGGUUAACAUAGUAUCUUUUUAAUGUACGGUAAAAAACUUUUUAAAAUAUAUUUUUAAACUUUAUUAUUUACAAUAAGAAUAGCCUAUAUUUAUAUGGGUUUUUUUUCUCAAUUUUUACAUAUGAAAUAUUAAAACUUUAAAUAUAUAUUUUUAAUUUUUCCGGAUUAAUCUAAGUUAACCCAUAAAACUUGGGACCCGACUCCCGGACUGGGUUUAAUAACUAUGCUUCUAUCACUUUUCAUUGAUAAAGUAGAUGAAUAAAUUAUAAAUUAACUGGUGACCAUUACUAUGAAUAUUGUAAAAACUUCAUUGCACAUUCUAGAAUGUUGCUUAGUAUUUGUUUAACUCAAAAAGAUUUGUUGAGCAAAUUAUAUAUAAAAAAUUAUUUUAUUAUUUAAAGACUAGUAAUUUUAGAUAAAUGGAUGCGAGUUUUUCAAAAAAAUAUAAAAACAAUCAAUAUAGUAACUCUUCACAGUAAAUGAAAUUAUUAUAAGACAUAAUUGAUUUUUAUCUUCCACCGUUUGACCCUUUACCUUUUAUAUAUAUAUAUAUAUAUAUAUAUAGUUUUUUAACCGUGUCCGUGAUUUGAUUCGACAGGAAGCUAUCAAAUUCAAAUUCUGACAUGAACAAAUUUAAAAUUAAACUAGAAAAAUAUUGAUACGGUGAAAUUAUAUUUACCUUAUUAGAAAUAAUCUUAUUAUUAGAAAAAACCUGAUCUAAACCUAGUUAAAUCAACAUAAAAAGAAUUUAUUUUAUUUUAAAAAAUAAACAAAUAUUAUUUUAAUAAAAUAUUGGUAAAAGACCUAUAAUUUAAUUCAAUAACCCUGUCUAUUCGAUGGCAUUAUACCUCCAAGACAUAUUCCAAGUAAUCAAAUUAUAUGAGAAGCAUGUGCUUUGGUUAUGGUAAUUUUUUUUUCCGGUGCAAGAUAUGGGUUAUAAUUAAUAAAUAGUGACACGAUUGUUGAGAUCAAGUUAAAAUAGGUUUGAUGAUAACUGGAUCCUUGUUUUACACUAAUGUGUUUGGGUUUGAUCGUUUUAUUUAACUUUGUUGGUGCUUAUACUGGUUACCAUAGUGUUUUAUUGUAAGUCUAACAUAUAAACUUGAAAGAAUUGGCCCAGUACUUGAUUAGGAAAUGGUUGUUUCAUGCAUGAAUCUUUAAGGUUGCCUUUGGUUAAAUAUUACUAAAUAAAAACGAUAGACAUUGAAAUGAUAAAAACACGUUUGCUCAAGGAGAUGAAAAUGAAGAUAUAAAAUAAAUAUGUAUUAAUUAAGACGGAUUCUUGUAUUUUCAAGAUAUAAAGUACAUAAAAACAUGUCUGUUUCAAUUUUUUCUGUGUUGAGAUUAAAAUAAAAUGAAUUUAGCUUUAAUUAAUAUACCCAAAUUCUUUUAUGCUGAAUCCUCGAACCGUGCCUGAUUUCAAAGAAUAAUAACAGUUCUGCACAAAAUUACCGAUGAUAAUAAAGCAAAUUAACAAGUCACUUGCACCUACUCAAAGAUGUAAAGGAACCAACGAGGAAAAGGGUAGGAAAGGAGCCUGAAGAGUUUACCAUGGAGUGCUAAACAGCUAAUGUACAUUAAUCAAUCAAGUGGAUGACUUUUAGCCUACCAGAAUUGACUACAACAGUUGGUUGUUAAUGCAGCGUGACAAUCCCAGCUCUUUGAUAAACAUCCUCACAUUUUCGAGACUGAUUAUCCCUAAGUUAAAUAAACAGAAAAAGAGAGAAUAAUUAUCCUAUAAAAAAAAACGUAACAGGUAAAGAUCAUGCUACACUAUCUGAAAUACCCAUAUCAUCCCGCAGAAAGUUGGUGGCAAUUACGCUCAAACUGAUGAAAAGGUACCAAAUCAAGGCCUAUAUAAAUUAACAUUUGAAAUGUAAUAAUAAACAACGCUAAAUAUAAAAAAAUAUAAAUUAUUUGAGAAAAUAAAUAAUUUUUUCCUUAUCACCUAGAAAGUACAAUAUCACGCAUCAACAACAAAUUAAAAUAACAUCGGCACUAUAAUCUUAAAAAAAAUGGGAAAGGUUUAAGAGUUGUUUAAAAAUAUAAUUAUAAUUGUUUUUUAAAGUGUUUUUUAUUCAGAAAAAUAUUAAAAUAAUAUUUUUUAUUUUAAAAAAUUAUUUUUUUAAUUUUUAUUUCAAAAUAUCUAAAAAUAUAUAAAAAAUUAAUUUAAAGUAAAAAAAUAUAUUUUAAAAAAACUUUUAAAAUAUAAAAAUAAAAAAUGAUUAACAGCUAUACUCUUUUCUGGAGGCACUGGAACAGGAAUCUCAAAUUAAUUUGAGUGUGAUAGACGGACACUGGUUGGGAUUUGUUCUGGUGGACGGGUUCACGUCCAGCCAUUGUAGUAAAUCAACACCGAGCAAGGUAUCGAUCCCGUAAGAUCCGUUAUGGCAUGAUCUUCCACAAGCAAGAAACAACCAUGAAAUAAAAUAAUACAAGAGUAGGUUAACUGGGGGCGUGGCUCAGUGGUGUUGGGAGCAACUUUCCUUCCUUCGAGUUCCAGUGGGAGCUGGAAAGUUUGCUCCUUUCCUGUUUCUGGUCCUCCCCCAUGUUAUCAAAAAAAAAGAAAAAAAGAAACAACCAUGAAAUAAAAUAAUACAAGAGUAGGUUAACUGGAUAUGUUUAAGAUUUGUAAAAUUAAUUAAAAUAGAAGCAAACCGACAGUAAAACCACGCUAAUAAAAAAAAAAACAACAACCAUGAAAUCGAUCAUGUGGCUCCCAUUGCCCCUUCCCCCAUCAAUCAGCAAUCAUGCCAUGCCUACGAUCAAGCUAUGAUUGAAAGAAAAAACACAAUAACAGCUGAUGUCACAGCGGGGUCCCAUACAAAAUCAUUCUAAUCACCCUACUCGCGUGGCUUGUGAUAUCGAUAAAACAGCACAACCACCGGUGGUGGAACGACCAUUAUUUUUUUCGAGAGUUUUGUAUUGUGGGAAAGGUAUCUUUCUAUUAUGGAGACAAUUAAAAAAUUGAUUUAAAAUAAAAAACAAUAAAAAAUUCUUAAAAGCUCUUUUAAAAUACGAAAACGACAACUUUGACAGCAAAACCGUGCUUAGUUUCUCCUUUUAAAAUACCAAGUGAUUGUGGUGCAAAGAGAGAAUGAGCGAAGGAAAGUGCCAAACUGCACAGAAAGUCAAUAAGAAUAAUUUGAUUGGUGGUUGAAUAAGUCUCUCUGUACACCAGAACAACGUGGAUCGGCACAUAAACUUCUUCGAGUCCGUUUGUCUACGCAGCCGUAGCCGUUUGGUAAUAACAAAAACUCGAUUUACUGCGCAUGGGACCCACACAACUUUUGCGUUUAAAACGCUGAAAAUAAAAAACCUACUUUUCGUCUACUGUAGCUGAUAAAUAAUAACGAACAGUGCAAUUCACUGCACUAUUCACAAGUGAAUUGCACUGUUCACGCGCACAAUGCAAUUCACUUGUACUUUUGUUUUUUUUUUUAAAAAACUAGUUUAGAGAAUUAAAUUUAUUUGCGAUGUGAACAAUAUUUUUUUUUCGAAAAACUAGUAUAGAGUCAAUUAAAUUUACUCGCACAAUAAUAUUAAUUUUAUAUCUGAUAAUAUUUUAUCUAAUUUUAUUACACGCUUAAAAAAUUAUAAAAAAUAUAGUUCUUAUCGGAUGAAUUUUGUACGUAAUGAAAUUAUAAAUAGUUUAAUGGAAUAAUAACAAAUCUUUUAUAUAAAAUAUUUUUUUUUUCAUGAUGUAAUAGGAGUAAUUAAUUUUACAAUAUUUAAAUUUAAAACCAUCAAUAUUAAAAUAUAUUUUUUAAAAUUAUUUUAUAAUCUCAAUUUCAAAAACAUUUUUAACGAAACACAUUAAACUACUUUUUCUUUAAUCUCAAUUUCAACCACAGUUUUAAUUAAACAUCUAUUUUUUCAAACUAACCUCAACUAAAAAUAUUUUUUAUAAAAUAUUUUUUUUCAAAUCACAACCACAACAGUUACAGGAAUACCAAACACACUCUUCAUCGGACAUCAACCCAUUUCCCAUGAAACAAUGAAGACAAACACUCUAUUUUAAACAACAAAAACGUUGCUGUUUCUCUUCGUACUGGAGACCAGCUAUCUUCCACUCCUGACAACGUGUCACCAUCCCUUGAGUUAUUAGAUUUCAGCCGUUGAUUUGGAUCAUGGUCUUUUAAAAUUACGCUUCCCUGUGUGUAGAUCCAAAGCUCGUUACAGCCUCAGUUUGCAGGCCCAAUAGAAAUUUCCUAGAUCCAGAGGGUUCCUACUUCUUCUUUUUUAUUUCGCUGUCAGGUAAUUAAUUAUACCACAAGUUCUAAUUAAAUAUAGAUAUUAUUUAGUUGGGGGUACUCAUUGUUGAAAACUCGGAGUUUAAGAUGCAGUAGGAUUAUCUGUUUGUGAUAUAAUAUUGUUUGUUUUUUUUAAUAUGUUUUAAAAAUAUAUUUUACUUCAAAAUAUAUUAAUUUUUUUUAUUUAUAUAAAUGUUAUUCCAAAAUAUAGCAAAGUUGUUAAAUUUGAUGAUGAGUUAAUAAAUGGAACUCAUAAUCUAAAGUCUAACCUAGAUCAUAUUUAAAAUUCAACUAGAAAAAACAUUAAUAUGAUAAAAAAAACUAUUUGACUCAACUAGAUUCUUAAUUACCCAAUUGUACUGAUAAAAUCUUAUCUAAAUAUACUUAGGUCAAUACAAGAAAAUUUUGUUUUUUUAAAAGAAAAAAAAUGAAGUAAAAUGAUUGAUCCUAUAACACACGAGUUAACUCAAUAAUCUAAUAACUAUGAUUUCAAAGAAUAAUACCCUCUACACAAAAUUUCAAAUAAUGAAUCAAGCAAUUUUACAAGGCACUUGCACAGUUGCAUCCACUCAAGGACAUUAUAGAACCAGUGAGGAAAAGGGUAGGAAAGGAACCCGAAGUUUUUACCAUGUGGUGUUAAACAGCUAAUGCCCAUUAAUCAAGUGGAUGUUUUUAAAGCAAGUAAAAAUACAUUACAAUAAUUUUUUUUUUUUUUUAAAUUGGUAUGUCAAAAGAUCUAAAAAUAUAACUGGUAAAGCGUAACCGGUAAAGCUCAAAAUGAUGAAAAGGGAGGCCUAACAGCCUGGUGUUCUGCUAAGAGUAAUGUUGCUGAGCUGCCAUAAAACCUCAGGUAAAUCAAGCCAAUUUUAAAAAUAAUAUAAUUCAUAUUCUAUUUUAGAAAGUAAAUUUUUUACUUGAGAUUAACUUUAUUUUAAACAAAUAAUAUAAUUCAUUUUACUUGGAUUAGAAAAUAUAUAUAGAUAAAAUUUAUUUUAAUAUAAUUCAUUUAAUUAAAAUAUAAUUCAUUUAAUAACUUUAUCACCCUAAGCCCAAACUCAUCUCCAUACCUGCAUAUGGAUUCAUAGCCCAUUUUGUUUUUUUGGGAACACGGUGUAAACCGUAUUUUUAAAAUAUUUUAAUUUUUUUUAUAAAAAAUUAAUAUUUUUUAUAUAUUUUCGAUCGUUUUGACGUGUUAAUUUUAAAAAUAAUUUUUUUAAAAAAUAAAAAAAAAUAUUAUUUUGAUAUAUUUCGGUAUAAAAAAUUAUUUGAAAAGUAAUAACAACCACACUUCCAAACAUCCAAAUAAAAAUAGCUUUUCCUAAAUGUUCAUGAAAGUUUUUUGAUCCUUUUAAUUGUUGAUGAAUGAUGAUAUCAGAUGAUAACCCAUAGCACGGAUUCAAUUCCCUCUAAUUCUGCAGCUCAGUCACCCACAAUUCAAAUACUACAAAAACUCCAGCAAAUUACGAUACUGCAAACGCUAGAAGACAACACCAAGCACCAUUCAAGACAAUGACCAGAGGCAAUAAGAUUUGAGGGUGAUCUGUAAUUUUAAUGCCAGGAGAAAACAGAGGAAACAUCUGACUAUGAGAACAGAGUCGGAGGAUUGCAGUCAGCUUCGACGACCGGAGAAUAGACAACGACAGGAAAUAAACGAUGCCAAACCCCAAAAGAUACAAGAGGAGCCAGCAGCUGCCUAUGUAACACCAAAUUUAGCAUCAUUCUUUAAAAUGUCUGGCCACGCAAAUUUCUUAACAAAAUUAUUGAAAAUUUCUUUAAGAAAUAUUUUAUUAAUUGAAAAAUAUUUUUAUAAAAUUAUAUUCACUGCAUUAUCAAACAUACAAAGCCUAUUAGCCACGGUCUUUGAGCAUUUCCAAAACUAUCCUCCGAGAAAUGCAGUACUGGUAGCUUUGUUCUGACCCGUCGUCUACUUUGUCAAGCAUUGGUCAAGGAUGAAAACGUUGUGAAUCGAAGCAUAGUUUCCGUUAAAGGUAUUUUUAGUUUGUGCCAUGGUUUAUUUCUGUUGCUCAUUUUCACUCUUAGAAAUUAUUUGUUUUUAUGGUGAUACAAUUUUUUUUAAAAUAAUAAUAUUUUUUCAAAAAAAUUGUGUUUUUGAAUUUGUUUGUAUGGUGAUACAGUUUUUUUAAAAUAAUAAUAAUUUUUUUAAAAAAUUAUAUUUUUAGAUUGUUUUAAUAUGUAAUGUGAAAUAUUAAUUUUUAAAAAUAAAAAAAUAAAAAUUAUUUAGAUAUAUUUUUAAAUAAAAUAUAUUUUACAAAAUAAUUACCACCAUAAUAUGUUGGGAUGUUUUUAUAAAAUAGGAUGUAAAACUACUGAUGAGCCUAUAAGGUUUUAUUUUUUAUGGUAAGUUAGAGAUUUUGUAGGCCCAUUUAAAAUUAAUAGGUUGGAUCGUGAUCAUAAAUAAAGAUUGAGAAUUUGGUCUGAUUAUGCAGAUAACAUGCCUUAACUUGUCUAAAGUUAUGUAUGGUGUUACUAAACCCAGCUCAAGAUAAGUUAAGAGCUUGGAUUGGAUUUUAAAUUAAAUUGGAUAGAAUUUAACUGGAUAUAAUUCAACUUAUUUGAUCAAUCAAAACUCAGUUUAAUUUAAAAAAGAUUCACAUCAUUUUCUUUUUUAUUUUCAAAAAAUUCUUUAAGUCAUAUCACUUUGUAUUGAUUUAUGUUAACCCACUACUUGAAUUAUAAUUCGAGUUGGGUUUAAUAACUUAGAUAAUAUUAUUUUCGUUCGAAAGUAAAGGUAUAAAAAUUGAUAAGGUGCAAGUUAGAGAGGGGAAUUAGUGUGAAUUAUGCUGGUGAACUUCAUAAAUUUAUUUAACUUUCGCAUUGCUUAUUUAUCCUCUAAGGCGUGUGAUUUCUUUUUUAUACUGGGUGGAAAACAACGACGUGAUGAAUUCAUGAUAGAUUUACACCCUUGACACUUGUGGCAUAAUUUUGAGUAAUCUGUGUCACAAAUUGCUUUUGAGUUUGCAGUAUAACAACGCCCUCGUUCGCCACAGAACGAUCUGCCAAAGAUUUAUCAGAGCCUGGAGUUUUCCCCAGCACUGAAACAGCUGUCUCUGCGGCUAGGUACACAUAUGGUGACUUCUCUCUUCAUGUAUUUUUCAGUCCGAAAAGAAGAACUGAUCUUGGUUACAUAUGGUGAUACCAUUCUAAUUGCUUGCAGCAGGAGGGAGGCAUCUUGCCUCUAAUAUUCAAAUAAACUAAUGGUGAUAGUGUUUCUGUUUCCCAAACUAGGAUUAAAGGAGGUGCCAAAGCAUUGCAGCGAGUUCGAGUCAUUUAUGCUUGAAAUUCUGUUUAUUUCUGGUUGGAUGUGGAUUCUCAAGGAUUGAUCAUCCUGAGCUUGUCUGUACCAUAAUGAGACUAGUGAUAUCAGGUUCCAAAGCAACUGAUAGUAGCCAUUGAAGCUGCAAAUGGACUAAACUAUAAGCAGAAAGGAUGAGGGUACACACCAAGAGUCUUAAUGACACCAUCAUCCGCUAAUCACCAGCCAAAUGUAUCUUCAGAAAUAUAUAUAUAUAUAUAUAUAUAUAUAUCUAUUUAUAUAUAUAUAUAUAUUAAAGAAAAGCAUUAGACUUCCACUCCAACACAUAUUGUAAAGUCCACCUACACUUCGGAUGACAGAGUUUAAAGUGCAGAGUUUCAGUUUCACUCCAACACAAUUGUAGAACUCAUUCCUACUGCAAUUCCUUUGCUACUGUAAUUGAUAGGAUAAUAUUUAAUAGUGAUAGAUGCUAAUAUGAACACUGUAACCCUUCCUUACCUCAUUGUAACCCGUUGUAUAUAAAGCCCUGCUACUGUAACAGUGCUGAUAUGAAUAAGAAGUAUCUUCUUCUCUUUUGUGUCUUCAAUUCUCUUUUGUUUCUUCAAUUCUCUUCCCUUUUGUUUCUUCAUGGUAUCAGAGCAGGUCCUUAAUAACCUGCUAUUUGUUUUUUUUAAAAAAAAAUCUUAUGGAAGACCAGUUUAAGAUAGAUGGUGCUGAUGGCAAUUUUAGAAUCUGCAAUAUGCAAGAAGGAGAGCCAAAUCUUAACCAGCGUUUAGGCUCGGUAUUGUUAAACGAAUUUAACUAUCUUCCUUGGUCAAGAGCUGUGACAAUUGCUCUUGGUGGAAGAUCCAAACUUGGCUAUAUCAAUGGCCAUAUUACACCUCCUGAUUCUUCUUCACAGGCGUAUGAAGCUUGGCAAUGCAAAGAUCAACUUGUGUUGUCCUGGUUACUCAAUUCUAUGGAAAAUCAGAUUGCUGAAAUAUUCAGCUACUCAGAAUCUUCUUUGGCACUAUGGGAAGCAGUGAAAGAGAUGUAUGGAAAUCAAAACAAUGCAGCUCGUAUUUUCCAAAUCAAUAGGAAUCUUGCUAAUCUGCAACAAGACGGCAAAACCUAUGUUCAAUUGCUUGGAACCUUGAAAGGUAUGUGGAGUGAACUUGCUCUUUAUCGUCCUCACACAGUUGAUGCAGCAGAAUUACGGAAAACGUGAAGAGGAGGACAAGAUCUUCCAACUUUUAGCUAGUCUUGGUCCAGACUAUGAAGAUCUUCGCAGCAGGAUCCUUAUGAAUCCUGAUCUUCCAUCUCUCACUACUGUAUGUGCUACCAUUCAAAGAGAAGAAGCUCGUAGAAAGGUUAUGAAUUCUGACUCUAAACUCUCUUUAUCAGAAUCUCGUGUGUAUGCUGUCAACAGAUCAAUGAACAACAACAAACCUUACAAGGGCAAACGACCAGAUUUGAAGUGUCACCAUUGCCAUAAUAUUGGUCAUUCUAUUGGGAGGUGUUGGAUUCUUCAUCCAGAAUUGAAGCCAAACUUUGAAAAAGAGAAGAGAUCUCAAAGGGACUAUGAGCAUAAGGGUCAUGUUGCUGCCGCUGCUCACUUCAGCAAUACUUCCAGUAAUGUUGAAAAUUUUUCAACCAACCCAUCUGCUCUUCUCAAUGACUUCGCUACCUAUCUUAAGGAAAAAGGUGACUCUGCCAUGACAACAUCUGCCUCUGAUUCUAUGGCACUCCUUGGUAAGUUUGGGCUUCCUUGCAAACUCUGCUCACAUUCCGCAAGAAAACACAGAAGGUAUUUUCACUGCAUUUAAAAGUGCCUUGAUAGCUAGUACUGUGUAUAAUUUUUGGGUCAUUAAUUCAGGUGCCACUGAUCAUAUAACUAAUAAAAUGACCAAUCUAUAUGAUUUCGAGGGAUUUUCCUCUCCAACUCAUGUGUCUAUUGCCAAUGGAAAAAAUGUUUCUGUCAAAGGUAAAGGAAAGAUUAAAUUACUAUCUAAUGAUAUAGAAUCUUCAGUCCUAUAUGUUCCCUCCUUUCCAUUCCAAUUACUUUCCAUUGGUAAAAUCUCUCGAACUCUAAAUUGUCGUGUUAUUUUUUACUCUCAACAAGGUCUCUUUCAGGACCUCGCCACCAAGAAGACGAUUGGUGAAGGUUUCUUUUUCGAAGGACUUUAUUAUUUUUCGAGUCAUCCCUAGAAUAACAAGUAUCGUCAAGUUUCUACUUUUUCUUCAUUUCAUCAAGAGCAACAUUUAUGGCACCAACGAUCCCUCAGACAUUGUUCUCACCAAAUUAAUGCCCAAUUUGGAUAUAAAAAAUAUUCCAUGUGAUACAUGUCAUUUAUCUAAGUCUACUAGACUUCCUUUUAUGCUUUCAUCGUCUAAGGCUAAUAAGAUGUUUGAUCUUGUUCAUUCUGAUGUUUGGGGACCAAUUAUUGAAUCUUUUGAUGGCUACAAAUAUUUUGUCUCAUUUAUUGAUGAUUUUUCUCGUGUUACUUGGAUUUAUCUCCUAAAAUCCAAGAGUGAAGUUGUGUAUGUCUUUCAGAAUUUUCACAUGCUGGUCAUGACUCAAUUUUCUACAAAAAUUAAAAUUCUCCGAUCUGAUAAUGGCACUGAAUACAUGUCCAAAAAUAUGACACAAUAUCUAGUUUUUCAUGGCAUUUUACAUCAGUCCAGCUGUGUUGGAACACCUCAACAAAAUGGGGUAGCUGAACGUAAAAACAGAGACUUAUUAGAAAAAACUAGAGCCUUAAUGAUACACAUGCAUGUUCCUAAAACAUUUUGGUCUCAUGGAGUAUUAUCUGCUGCAUAUCUAAUCAAUCGGCUACCUAGCCGAAUAUUGCACUUUAAAUCUCCUCUUGAAGUCUUGCAGAAGCAGCCGCCAAAUCUAUCUCAUCUACGAGUGUUUGGUUGCAUUUGUUUUGUUCAUAUACAAACCUCACAUCGGGACAAACUUGAUCCAAGGGCCGCUAAAUGUGUUCUUGGGAUACUCUGCAACCCAAAAAGGAUAUAAAUGCUACCAUCCUCCUUCAAAAAAAUUGUUUAUAUCAAGAGAUGUCCGAUUUGAAGAAAGCUCUGUAUACUUUAAAGACAUGAAUCAACAAGGCAACAUGGCAGAAUUGUUUCCUCUACCAAAUGUCACUACAGACUUGACACCAUCUGCAGAUACACUUGUUGCUGCAGACGAUUUUCCCACCGUUUCUGGUGAUAUACAUGCGGAUUCAAGAGUUAUCACAAACCUUGAGAAUGAUUCAGCAAAUCAGUCUCUUCAGCCUCCUCUACAGCACCCUCUUGUCAUUUCCAUUACCACAGAUUCUGAGGGAGAUUCUGAGGGUGGUUCAGCUAAUCAAUCUGAUUUUGCCAAUCACUCUUCUCUACCACAGCCUCGUAGAAAUCCAACUCGUCACCGUGCUCCUCCAACAAAGCUACAAGACUUUGUCACCUAUGUUGCUAGACAUCCUAUGUCUAAUUAUCUUACAUAUCAACAUCUCUCAGCUGGACAUACUGCCUUUCUUACUGCUAUCUCUGAUGUGCAUGAACCCCGGAAUUUUCAAGAGGCUGAUUCAAAUAAAGAAUGGCGACAAGCUAUGCAUGAUGAGCUACAAGCCCUUGAUCAAAAUCAGACCUGGAGUGUUGUUAAACUUCCUAAAGAUAAACAUGUUGUGGGUAGUCGCUGGGUAUAUAAAAUCAAGUUCAACUCAGAUGGGUCUAUUGACAGAUACAAGGCGCGUCUUGUGGCUCAGGGCUAUACUCAAACUUUUGGCGUGGAUUAUAAGGAAACCUUCGCACCUGUUGCAAAGAUGAACACAAUUCGUGUUCUACUCUUAGUGGCUGUGAACAACAUAUGGUUGAUGUGUCAAAUGGAUGUCAAGAACGCCUUCUUGCAUGGAAAUCUUGAAGAAGAAGUCUAUAUGAAGCUGCCUCCCGGUCACCCACAAGGUUCAACCCUAACUUAGUAUGUCGGCUUCACAAAUCUAUCUAUGGGCUGAAGCAAUCUCCACGAGCUUGGCAUGCACAAUUGAGUGCUGUUCUUGAAGAAAGUGGCUUCAAACGAAGCAAUGCAGAUUCCUCUUUAUUUAUUCACCUUGGACCAACAACCAAAGUAAUGGUCCUUGUCUACGUUGAUGACCUUAUUAUUGUUGGGAAUGAUAGUGAUGCUAUAUCUCAUCUCAAGGCUACUUUGCAACAACGGUUUCCAAUUAAAGAUCUCGGCAAAUUGAAAUAUUUUCUUGGGAUUGAAAUGGCCACUUCUCACAAAGGGCUAUUCCUAAAUCAACGCAGGUAUAUCCUUGAUCUGCUUAAGGAUGCUAAGAUGAUAGAUGCCAAACCUGCACCUACUCCUUUGGAUAGUAAAUUGAAACUUAACACAACUAGUGAACCUCUUGGUUCUUUCAAUUACUAUCAACAUCUUGUUGGAAGACUCAUUUAUCUUACUAUUACACGGCCUGACAUCACCUACGCAGUAAGCCUUGUUAGUCAAUUCAUGCACACUCCUACAGUUUUUCACCUGAAUCUUGUUAAGCGAAUUUUGCGCUAUUUAAAGGGUUCUGCCGGUCGUGGGAUUGUUAUGACUAAUCAUGGUCAUACUCAGAUUACUGGAUAUAGGGACUCUGAUUGGGCUGGUAAUGCGAUUGAUCGCAAAUCAACCACUGGUUUCUGCAUGUUUGUUGGUGGUAAUCCAGUCUCCUGGCAUAGUAAAAAGCAACAUGUUGUUGCACGUUCUAGUGCUGAAGCUGAAUAUCGUGCGAUGGCAUCCGCGACUUGUGAACUAAUUUGGCUUAAAGGUCUCCUGUCAGAUCUGGGUUUUUCUAGCAAUAUUCCAAUGACUCUGUUUUGUGAUAACCAAGCUGCUAUGCAUAUUGCAGCUAAUCCCGUAUUCCAUGAAAGAACUAAACACAUUGAAGUUGAUUGUCACUUUAUUCGUCAACAAGUUCAAUCGCAGGUUAUCAAGACAUGUUACAUCCGCAGUCACGACCAACUAGCCGAUUUAUUCACAAAGGUACUAACUUCAGCUCACUUCCAUCGUCUACUAUCCAAGCUUGGCUCAAUCAACCCCCUUGAUCCAGCUUGAGGGGGAGUAUUGAAGAAAAGCAUUAGACUUCCACUCCAACACAGAUUGUAAAGUCCACCUACAGUUCGGAUGACAGAGUUUAAAGUGCAGAGUUUCAGUUUCACUCCAACACAAAUUGUAGAACUCAUUCCUACUGCAAUUCCUUUGCUACUGUAAUUGAUAGGAUAAUAUUUAAUAGUGAUAGAUGCUAAUAUGAACACUGUAACCCUUCCUUACCUCAUUGUAACCCGUUGUAUAUAAAGCCCUGCUACUGUAACAGUGCCGAUAUGAAUAAGAAGUAUCUUCUUCUCUUUUGUGUCUUCAAUUCUCUUUUGUUUCUUCAAUUCUCUUCCCUUUUGUUUCUUCAAUAUAUAUCGUGAGUGGUUGUGACGAGGAAGAAUCGAUCAGUAGUAUUUGAAUGUGGCACACUGACAUAGAGUGAAGAAAUAAUAAGAAAAGUAGGUCUUUGUGGAAAACUAUUAGAGCUUCUUCAAGUGUUUUAAUUUGGGAGUCGUUUUCACGGGCCGCAUUGCUACGAAGCUGGUGGAAAUAUGUAGGGAAAGGGCUGGAGGAGGGAAGAAUAUAAUUUUUCUUGGGAACUGAGGGAAGAGAUGGAGCUUGUGAUGAUAAGAGAAGCUGCGCAUAGUGAUUGGUGAUUACGAAAGUCGUGUGGAUUCAUAUCUAAAGAAGCUAUGAAGAAGGUAUUACGAAGGCACUUCCCUCCCUUUUCCAUACAAAGCAUCUUGGAACUGAUGGAAAGAUGCAAAUUUAUUUGUGGAUGAGUUGAUGGGGUGCAAUGUGAUAUCCUCCUUCUUAAAGAUGUUCACACUAUGAGGUAUUUUUUAUUGGAUAUCCAGCAGAAAAAAACUUGAUAUUGCUUGGUUUGUCUUCCAUGGAUAUUGAUAAAAAGGUGAUGUGCAUGCCUACUGGAAAAUGUACUUCUUCUUGCUGGGUCUGAAAUUCAAACUAUGUUCACCAGGGACCUUUCAAUAAUGUUGUUGAAGUGAACUGCUAGGUCAUUAAUCACAAGUCAAAAUAGGAGACUGCUGAUGGUGCAUCAGUUAGAGAUACCUUUGAUUCACAUUUUCAGGAUUCAGAGUUUUGGGCCUUUUACUUUGAUUAUAGAUGUACAGCUAUAAAAUAUUGUCUAAUUUUUAUUGAAUAGGUUUUAUUUAUGGUAUUAGGGCACCUAAGUUUCUUUCUCCGGUGACACACUUAUUGGUAAUGUUUGGUUGUGGUCUUGGUGUCAAAUAAUACCAACGAAAAGUGAGAAAGGGAAUCUUCUUUAAAUGGGAUUUGAGAAGGUUUAUGAUCACUCGAGUCAGAGAGGACCAUGAGAAAGUGAUGUUAUAUCUUACUGUGAAGAAAUUAGUCUCAAAAAGAAGAUACUUCGCCUUGGUUUUAUUUGUCCAGACUGAAGUUUCCAAAGUGCUCUGUACAUGCAAUGAAGCUUUAGGUCUUACUUCAUCUUAUUGAGAGCAUGCUUUGGGCCAUCUCCUCCUUUUCUUUUCUUUUCUUUUUUUAAUUUUGUUGAAAUUUGUAAAUGAAUCAUGCCAAUGGCUUCUACUUUCUAUUUUAUUUUUAACACAAUUUAAAACAUUUUAGUAUUUUCUUCAUGACUCAAUUAAAUAUUUUGUUCCCAACUCAUUGACACUAGCAACUCUCGUACACACAUGUGUGCUCAUAUGUGCCCACGCACACCUUACAAGGAACUGAACUGAUUAAUUAGUGUAUUAUUCAUAAUAUUAUGUUGGGGAAAAUAGUCUUGCUAUUAUUAUGACCAUAUGGUCCAUAUCGUGCCAUAUCCAGAGGCAAGUGAAGAUUAUUGCAAGAAAAAGGAAUCGAGUGAAGAAGCUAUCACAAUUAAAUCUAGUGAGCAGAAGGCACCUGCGGCUAAAGUUGAUACUGAUGGCAGAAAGCUGGAGAGCAUUUCGAAUGUUGACACAAGUGAAGGAACUUCUUCCUUAGGACUUGACAUGGACCGAUGGCCUAACUUGUCCUCACCUAAUGCUGCCAAAACUGAGCAGGAUUCCUUGGAAACUUCAAUCUCUAACAAUCUAACUGAGAUUACCAAACUUGAUUCAUCAGCAGGUGAUGAGAUUUCAAUUACAAGGAAAAAAUGUAGAUAGGGUGAUGAGUUGCAUGAUGUUUUCAUAGCAUAGUAUCUUACAUGCUACUGUCAUUCUAAUUCUUUCUUUUUUAAAACGCGGAGACAGAUCAUCUUGAUAAGGACACUGAGAUUUUUCAAAAUCCUCAUGAAGGUGAAGAGCAAGGUGAUUUUGUUGAUUAUGGCUGGGCUAGCAUUGGAAGCUUUGAUGAUCUUGAUCGAAUUUUUAGGUAAAGCACAGUUACCAUUUCUUACUUUCUGCACCUAAAUGAAAGAUGGUCAGCAGCACCUGAAAUGGAAGCUUGUAUAUCUCAUUAUUCUGAUAAUUUGAACAAAUUCUUAUUACUGACUGUGAAGUGAAAGUUUGGCGAACAAAAUAAUUAUGCUCACUGUCUAUUUUCAUUUCAGAAGAAAAAAAUCAUGUAGUACAAGAGUGUUGUUACGAAGGAAAAACAACCAGACUCUUUUAAUAAUUGUAGUUUCUUCUGUGUUGGAUCUAUAUCCUUUUCCAAAUAAGUGCUGUCUGCUGAAAGCAACACUAACAAAAAAUGACUAGUUGUUUGAAAAUUUAUGGUUUUUGAUCCUUGGCUUAAUUUUGUUAAUUGGGAAAAGAACCUGAAGGAUGCCAGUUUUUAGCAGCACAAUAUCCUCAAUUACAAGUAUAAAUGGCAGAAAGAAUGUAAUAUAGCAGCACUGGAUUUGUAAGGAAUUGGUGAGCUUGUUCAAUUGUGGAAGGGCUUUCCUGCAUUUCUGUUCUUCACUAAUGUUCUUAUAUUUUAUCUUGAUUCUGUUGGAGAACAGUAAUAACCAUCUGACUCAAUAUCCUCACAAGCAGAUAUCCAAUCCAUUUGUGGCCCCUUCUGCCUACGGGAGUAUUACAAAUCCAUAUUCUAUGCCUGGGUUGUCCCACAUUCAGUCUGGGGAUUUUAAGCAUCAACCUUUAGCUUCUGGUUAUGAAGUUUCUUCAGGUAAUGCGAAUCCUGUUAAAGUUUUCUGACUUUCCAACAAAAUUUCUAGUCAUUUAAUCAUCGACCUAAAAUUUCUGGUUAUGAAGUUUCAGGCAAUGCAAAUCCUAUAAACAAGUUAGCUGACUGUCCAGUGAAACCCCAGAGAAUGACACCUCAGGAAAAGAUUGAAAAAUUAAGGAGGCGGCAACAAAUUCAGGCAAUGCUUGCCAUUCAGAAACAGCAGCAGCAGCAGCUUGUUCAUCAAAAGUGUUCCCAAGAAAAUCAAAUUCAGUAUGUUGAAGGAGCUGACCUUGAAGUAGAGGAUCUAAGUCCACUUGCUUCAUUUGACCCAAACUCACCUAUUGAGCAAGACGAUUCCAAUACAGUCUCUCUGGCGGUUAAUGAUUAUUCAAUGGAGGACACAGUACUCUACAGGCUUCAAGAUAUUAUUUCAAAGGUAUGCUUCACGCACUAUUGCAUUCUUAACAAUGCAAAAUAAUUUGUGCUUGGUUACGAUUCCAAACCAAUGUUUUACAACAGCUGGAUGUCAGAAUUAGACUUUGUAUUCGGGAUAGCUUGUUUCGGCUGGCUCAAAGAGCAAUGCAAAGGCAUUAUGCUAGUGAUACUGGCAGUACAAACAAUAGUAGCAGGGACGAACAAGUUGCUGCAAAAGAGGAAACCAGCAGUCAAAGAAGGUUGGUUAAGGCAAUGCAUUUCUCAUGCUUUUGUUUUCAAAUUUAAUCUAUUCUCUCUCUCUUUUUUUAAACAUUUUUGCUCUAUGGAAAUGUUAAAUUAGGAUCUUUUAAUGCCAUCACCAUUUUCUGUUUUCCAUUCUCAUUCUAGAAAUAAUUAUUGAAAACGGUAUCCUCUAUUUACAAUGGAGGAAUAGUGACUGAAACAAUUCAAUUAAGGCAGCGCUUGUUCUUAGAAGUAGAAGGAAAUCUAAACAGAAAAUUUUAGGUUCCUCUUUCACUGGAUUUCCUUAAAAACUUGACUGAAUUUGACCUUGUUGAUCAAAUAUGUAGUAGUUCGCUUCCACUGGUUCUGUUAUGAUUGUGAGUGCUGGUCAUCAUUGUUGGCGUGAGCUGUCAAUAUAGAGAAAUUAGAGCAGGAAUAGGACACUGUUACGUAAAGGAGAUCCCAUAUGUUUAGGGAAACCUUUAUUUCCGCAAUAGAGAUUGUAUUGAAUAGGAAAACUAAAAUCCUUCUCUGUAUAAAACCUAAAGGUACUCUGUUACGUAGGUUAAGAAAGAAAAGACAGAAUAAGAAAAAGAAGUAACUUAUAGACUUCUAAAAUUAUCAUGGUAUCAGAGCGGCGGGUUCCUAGGACCUCUGCUCAACCCACCUUGUAACCAUAAAAAACACUCAAACAACCUAGACUCUAUGGCAGAAUCAACAGAACUGAUGGAACACCUCAACCCCCAGACCGAAUCAAUCCUUACCAGCCUGACGACCAAGAUGACAGAAGUUCUCUCGAGAUCACAGACCUCCCAACACCCACCACCUACUGAUUCUUCGACUACUCCAAUCGGCAUCAAAUUGAAUGACUCAAAUUUUGCCUUAUGGUCCCAAGUUGUUGAGAUGUAUAUCUCCGGCAAAGACAAGUUGGGAUAUAUUAAUGGAGAAUUUCCUAAGCCUCCAGAAACCGACCUAACCUUCAGAAGAUGGCGAACUGAGAAUGCCAUCGUCAAAGGUUGGCUGAUUAAUUCUAUGGAACCUUCCCUAGUUGCUAAUUUUAUUCGCUUCCCUACUGCAAAACAAGUGUGGGAUUCUGCCGCUACAACCUAUUUUGAUGGGACAAAUACGUCUCAGGUUUAUGACCUCCGCCGUCGUGUGACUCGGAUGAAACAAGCUGGCGGAUCCAUUGAAAAAUACUAUAAUAAUCUUCAAGGCUUAUGGCGAGAAAUAGAUUUUCGGCGUCCUAACCCAAUGGAUUGUGUUGUGGACAUUCAGAAAUACAAUUUAAUCUUGCAGGAAGAUCGAGUGUAUACCUUCCUUGAUGGAUUGGAUGACCGGUUGGACAAGACCAGGAGCGAUGUACUUCAGCUAAAACCAUUCCCUACAGUAGAGCAGGCUUAUGCUUAUGUCAGACGGGAAGAAAUAAGGCAGACAGUAAUGACUUCAGGGGCCGAAAGUGCUCCUGGAAUGGUUAUGAAUUCCAAAGGACUCAAGGCAGGACGCCACCACACUCCAAUGAAGACAAGUUUUUUCUCCUUGAACAAUGACAUACCAAAUCCAUCUGAAAAAAUGCCGGCUCCAUCAGAUGGCAUAAAGUGCACUCACUGUGGCAAUGCCAAGCACACCCGUGAAACCUGUUUUAAGUUACAUGGAUACCUAGAUUGGUGGCAUGAACUUCAGACAAGGAAGAAACGAGACAAUCCUAAUGGCAGCACAAGGAGAGCUGUUAUAGUCACUGGGGAACCUUCAUUAUCACUCACCUCCCAAGUAGAAACCACACAGAAUUCAGGUAACAACAAUAACGUUCUUCAUAGCUGUACUCAUACUGCUGAUGACAACUGGAUUCUUGACUCUGGGGCUACAGACCACAUGACAUUUGACUCCAAUGAUUUUUCCCAUACCACUUUGCCAAGAAGAAGUCAUGUUGCUACUGCUAAUGGGGUCCCUUGUCCGGUUACAGGAGCUGGAACUGUGACUCUAUCUCCCUCUUUAUCCUUACCUCAUACGUUACUUGUUCCAUCCCUUUCCCAUAAAUUAAUGUCUAUCAGCCAAGUUACUGCUGAUCUCAAUUGUAUGGUAUUAAUAUACUCUACAUUUUGUCUCCUUCAGGAUAUUCUCACCAAGGAGAUCAUUGGGCGUGGUACUAAGAGGGGGGGGAUUAUACUAUGUCGAUGACCUCAUUUUAAGCAGAGAAAACCUCAUGGAUCAUGUGGUUAGCAAGAAAGAACAACAGAUUUGGUUAUGGCAUCACCGCUUAGGACAUCCUUCGUUUGGUUAUUUGAAGCACUUAUUUCCAGAUUUAUUUUCCAAUGGAAUGCAUUCAAACUUUACGUGUAAUACUUGUAUUCUAGCAAAGAGUCAUAGGGUUUCAUAUCCUGUGAGCAUGAAUAAAAGCAUGAUUUCGUUUGCAUUGAUACACUCUGAUGUAUGGGGACCUUCCCCCAUUACUACUGCUUCUGGACAUCGUUGGUUUGUGAUUUUUGUUGAUGAUUGCACUCGAAUGACAUGGUUGUACUUACUGAAACACAAGGAUGAAGUAUUUAGUAUGUUCAAAGCCUUCCAUAUCAUGGUUCAGACUCAAUUCUCUGUGAAGAUUCAGGUCCUUCGUUCUGACAAUGGAGGGGAAUAUGUUAAUCAGCAGUUUCAAGCAUACUUUCAGAAUCAUGGUCUUCUCCAUGAGACCUCAUGUGCUCGGACCCCACAACAAAAUGGCCUUGCUGAAAGAAAGAACUCACAUAUCUUAGAAAUUGCACGUGCUUUAUUAAUCGGGGCACAUGUGCCUAGUCGCUAUUGGACUGAUGCUGUCGCCACAGCCGUGCACUUGCUGAACCGUAUGCCUGCAAAGGUAUUAACGUUUCAGACUCCUUUAAAGGUUCUAUCUGACCAUGUCUCAUUGCCUACUGUGUUGUUGCUCCCUCCUCUAUUUUUGGUUGCGUUGCCUUUGUACACCUCCAUAAGAAUUAGAGAUCUAAGUUGGAUCCUUGUGCAGUCCGAUGCCUAUUCUUGGGUAUGAGUACAUAAGAAAGGAUAUCGUUGCCUUGAUCCCUCCACCAAACGCACCUACACUACCAUGGAUGUCACAUUCUUAGAGUCUGACACCUUCUUCCCAUCACCAGCAUCCAAUUCCACUCUUCAGGGGGAGCACCGUGAUGAAGAGCAGAAUUGGUUGGGAGAAAAGCAGCACCUACUGGACAGUGAAGGGUUAUCAAGACAGCAGCACCUACUAGCCAAUGAGGUUGAGUACCUGGACAGUGAAGCUGAUGUUGGAAGCAAUCCAGCGUAUCUGCACAAUGAAGCUGAAAGUAUUGAGCCGAAGGAUCAGGCUAAGUCAGUGAUAAAUACAGAAUCUGAAGAUGACUUUCCCCACCUCUUAGUACCUAAUCCCGACGACCCUCCUCCUGAGAAUAAUCCUGAGGUAAGUUCUCCUACUACACCUCUACACACUAAUGACAUGGAUAAUUCUGCUAGUCCUAUUCUACCUUACAGACACAAUCGGGGCAAGCCACCAAACAGGUAUUGUCCAGACAUAGAAGACAGACGGUCCAAAUAUCCAAUCACCAACUAUGUGUCUACACAACGGUUAUCUGGACCCCUGAGAGCAUUUGCACACACCUUGUCCUCGUGUAAAAUACCUUGCAGCGUUGAGGAAGCCUUGACAGAUCCACACUGGGCUAACGCUAUAAAGGAAGAACUGGAGGCGUUGCAGAAAAAUAAAACAUGGGUACUGGUGGAACUACCCGAGGGGAAGAAGACUGUGGGGUGUAAGUGGAUUUUCUCCACUAAAUACAAAGCAGAUUGCUCCAUCGAUCGACACAAGGCAAGACUGGUUGCAAAGGGGUAUACACAGACAUAUGGCAUAGAUUAUCAAGAAACGUUCUCACCCGUAGCCAAACUAAAUACUGUUAGAGUCUUGCUAUCUCUUGCAGCAAAUCUAGAUUGGCCACUGCACCAACUUGAUGUAAAAAAUGCCUUCCUCCAUGGUGAUCUUGAGGAGGAAGUUUAUAUGGACAUUCCGCCAGGAUGCUUGUCUUCCUCAGAGGCACGAGUGGUAUGUAAACUACAACGAGCAUUGUAUGGAUUAAAACAGUCACCCCGUGCAUGGUUUGGUCGGUUCAGUUCAGCUAUGAGAAAAUAUGGGUUUCAACAAAGCAACUCAGAUCAUACACUCUUCAUAGCAGGGACGAACAAGUUGCUGCAAAAGAGGAAACCAGCAGUCAAAGAAGGUUGGUUAAGGCAAUGCAUUUCUCGUGCUUUUGUUUUCAAAUUUAAUAUAUUCUCUCUCUCUCUUUUUUAACAUUUUUGCUCUAUGGAAAUGUUAAAUUAGGAUCUUUUAAUGCCAUCACCAUUUUCUGUUUUCCAUUCUCAUUCUAGAAAUAAAUAUUGAAAACGGUAUCCUCUAUUUACAAUGGAGGAAUAGUGACUGAAACAAUUCAAUUAAGGCAGCGCUUGUUCUUAGAAGUAGAAGAAAAUCUAAACAGAAAAUUUUAGGUUCCUCUUUCACUGGAUUUCCUUAAAAACUUGACUGAAUUUGACCUUGUUGAUCAAAUAUGUAGUAGUUCGCUUCCACUGGUUCUGUUAUGAUUGUGAGUGCUGGUCAUCAUGUCUUGAUUUAGUUGAGAGAAGCUUUGGUAUUGUAUAUAGGCCAACUUAGGUAGAGGCAGAUAUUAAACUGACAUUUGUAGCUUUACCCUGGUUCAGCAUUCAUGAGUGCAGUGCAGCAAGUAGUCAUGAGGUGACAAUUCAAAUAGCAUAAUAUUUUGUAGAGAUUUUCAUUUAAUUAGAAAAGGAGAUUUUCAUUUAAUGGCAUAAUAUUUAGGUGACAAUUCAAACCAUGAAGGACAAUAUGCUACAUAAAGAUAAAAUUAUGAUUUAUACACAUUUCCAUUAGCUUUGAUGGAGAAAGAGCAUUCCACCCGUCUCCACUCAUGCAGCGUGUCACCAUCCCUUGAGUAAUUGGAUUUUUGCCAUUAAUUUGUGCCAUAGUCUUUUGAAAUUAUGCUUCCGUGUCUCCCUCUGUCAUGAGCUCAUUACUGCCUCAUUUUGGAGGCCUAAUUACAAGAGCAUAGAAAUUAUGUAGAUAUUACAGGGUCCCAACUUUUUUUUUUUCGUUGUCAAGGAAUUAUGUCAUAAGUUUUAAUUGAAUAUAGAUAUUGAUUAAACGGGUCUUCAUUAUCAAGGAAAUAUACCAUAAAAUUCCUAUUUUUCUUUUAUCAAAUAAAUUUCAUAGUAAACUAUAUUUCUAGAAAAUAAACUAUUCUAUGGAUUUUAGUAACCAAUUUAACAUCUCUCAAGAAUUUUUAUCGUCUCAUGACACCAUUACAUACCAAAAUCUAAUAGGGACCAACAAUUCAAUGAUAUUCCUCAUCUAGACAUCAAUUUCAUUUUUUAUUUUCAUGGUAGUAAUAUUUUACACAAUCUCAAGAAUCAACACAGGUGCUCCAUGAAAUUUAAAAAGUUAUAAAGAGAUAUUUAAAAAAUAGUUCUACUUACUACAUUAUUCAUCAAUUCACAACAUUUAUUCACAACUAAAUCCCCUAAAUUCUCCUGUCAUUGGCCGGCGACCAACUCUAUUUAAUUAUCAAAAAUUUUACUUCAAUUACAAUAAUUUAAUCACUUCACUUUAAUCUUCACAUUAUUCCCCAUGACAAAUUACAAUAAAUUUUUAUUUCCCUCAAAUUUAUUCAAGAACCCAAACUUUUUAAUUUAAAAAAUGCAAUCAAUUAAGAACUUUAAGCCAUUAAAAUUCAGAUCAAAAAUCUUUAGAAUGCAUUGUCAAGCAAGUAAUUAAACUCUAAACACUUCCCAAAUGAAGCUUUCAACUCCUCCUCAUAUUUAAUCUUGAAUGAACUUUUUCUUUAUUUUUCUACUCACCUUCACUUGAUUUUUAUUCCUUUUAAUUAAUGCUCAAUAAGCUUGGUUAAUGUUCCCUCAAGAUCUUCCCUUAAGAUUUUAUGUUUCCUUUACAAUUAUAUCCCUCUCACAUGUAAAUGGUAGUUUCCCCUCUUUCUUUUUUUCUCCUUUUUUUUUCCGUACCCGAGCACACACAUACUCACUUACAUACACACACACUAACUUUUUACCAAAUUUCCUUUAUUUCUCAAAUAGUAAAUUUCAUGUUACCUCCGGGCCGGUUCGAGUUUAAUAAUAGUGUUUUGAAUAGCUAAAUUGAUAAAAUAGUAUUUUGAAUAAUAUAAAUAUAAUUUUUUUUUUAUCAUAUGUAUUUUAAUGGGAAAAAAAACUAGUUGAAAAACUAAUUGUAUUGGAGUGAGAGAAAUAAGUGUUUUAUUUUUUUUAGUGAGCUUGAUGUUAUUUUUUUUUUCAUAUGACUAUAUUUAAUUGGUUUAUUUUUUGAUGGCCCUACUUUUUUAGUGUUGUUUUUUUUUAUAGAUAUGUAGAAAUAGUAUUUAUAAGAAAGAAAAGAUAUUUUAACAUUUUAUUUAAUACUUUUUUGAAGUGCAUAAAAUAAACAUGAAAGAGUCAAAUUAAUAUUUUUUUUUAAUUUUUAACUUUUCAUUUAACACGCCCUUUGUAGAAGCUCUUAUGAUUUGGACUCAAUUUAAGUGGGUUAAAUAUUGGUGGGAUAUUCCAUCUUUCUCUUUUUUUUUGAAAUUUUACUCUGUUUGUCUUUGAUUUAUUUUGCUAGAAAUUACAUCUUAAAAAAAGAGGGGUUUGAUUGGAAAAACUUAACCAUAUUUGGUUAUUUGGGAACUAGGUAUUAUAAUUUUAUAACCUUUAACAGGUUAACUUAGCUGAACCAAUUUAAUAUAAAACUUUAUUAUUAUUAAAUUUUAAAAAAACAUUUUAAAAUCUUUUCUAAAUAAAAGUAUAUUUUUACGGGAUGUUAAUUAAUUUUAUAAAAUAUUGUUCCGGAUGUGUUUGUGUAUGCGUGAAUUGCGCGGGCCAGGGAAAUGGAGUUAGGUAGCGCAUCAACUCGGUGUGUCCUUGCUUUAUUUGCCAAGAAGCCCCAUCGGUUGAAAAAGUGAGAGGAAAAUGGAGUAACUUGGUUUGUAUCUUCUUUUCACGUGAUGUGCAAAUAAUGCAGAAGAAGACUUCACUUUAUUUCUUCUCUCCUUUUCUUUUAUCACUUUUAUUUCAUUGAUAAAGUAGAUAAAUAAAUUAUAAAUUAUAAAUUAGCUGAUGACCAUUGCUAUGAAUAUUAUAAAAACUUCAUUACACAUUCUAGAAUGUUGCGUAGUAUUUGUUUAACUCUAAAAGAAUUGUGGAGCAAGUUAUAAUAAAAAAAUCAUUAUAUUAGAAAUUACAGUUGAAUUGCGAAAAUAAAAAUAUCCUUAAUCAGUAUUAAAGAUACUGAUUGUUUGCUUUGAAUAACAAGAUGCAGUUCAAUAGGAUUAGGUCUUAUUGGUUUUAUCUUCCACCUGUAAAAAUGACCUUGUUUUUCAUGUAGAUGGAUCAUUUUAUUCCAAAACUUCUUUAUAAAUAUAAUUAUUAAACUUCAUCGAUUAAUGUUUUUUUAAUUAAAAAAUAGUUAAGAAAACAACUUAAAAGCAUGUUCAUCGAUCAAAUGUGUUUGUUUUUUAGCGGUUUUUGUUUUUUUAAUGCAGAUAACAAAAACAAGAUAUAUAUUUGGUUAUACGUGAAUUGACAGCAAAACCGUGUGCACAGAGAGAAGGGGCGAAGGAAAGUGAGCACAAAAGGUCAAUAAAAAUAAUUUGAUCGGUGGUUGAAGUCUCUCUAUCCAGUGUCAGCAACAUAAUAGCAGCGACCACCACAGAAAAAUAUACAGAACUCGCAAAAGCCUUUUCUCUGAAAAAAGUGGGUUUGAUCGGAAAAACAUCACUAAAUGCCAGCUCUUCACGUGAUGUGAUCAGGCAGCAGAAGACUUCACUUUAUUUCUUCUCUCUCCCUCCUUCCAUCACUUUUCAAUGAUAAAGCAAAUAAAUAAAUUAUAAAUUAUAUUAUUAUAUUUUAUACAUUCUGUUUUGUUUUUUUUGUUUUUAAUUUAAUUAUUAAGGUAUUUCACUUGCAUAACCUCUGCGUUUGGCUAUAUUCAAAGGUUUAAGCCGAAAUAAAUUAUAUUAGUAUAUUUGUAUUGAAUUGCUUAAUUAUAUCAUGAAUUAACAUGUUUGGUAUCAAUGUCAAUAGAAAUAAUUGAAUUGACGCAAUUAAUUAAUUCUUGAUAGCAGUUUUAAAGGUAAAUGCAAGACAGUUACCUUUAAUCAUGAAGCAACAACGGAUUUUAUUAUGAUGUAUCACAUUCUCAAAUAUGAUCUAAAAAAAAAUAUAAAAGCGAUUGUAAAGAAUUUAUAAAACAUUCACAGUGUUUGAUAAUCUUUUACAAAUUAGAAAUAAUGAAUCUAGUUUACAUAAUACUUUCUUGACAAAAAAAUCAAAGCAAUCUGAAUGCUUGUAUAUACGGAUCGAUUACAUACAUAAAAAAGGGUCAAGAACAGGUAAAGAAGGUAUACUUCUUCAAAAAAAAUGCUGGGUGGGUACUAGGAUUUAGAACUCCUGCACCGUUCAUGGCCAUAGCUAUUGCUAGCUUCUCUACAGAUUUCAGAGAGCAACGAUUACGAGAAUUUGCCAAGUUUUGGCUGCAUCCAAUCCAUCAUUCAUGCCAGGAUACACCCAAUGCCAGGGAAAGUCGUCCUCUGCUUUAGCUUUCUCUGGUUAGCACCACCUCCUGAAAAAAACACAUGAACAAAUAAAAACAUUUAAUUUAUUUCCUAGAAAAACACAUCAAGAGGUCGUUAGUUUUCUUACCUGGGUUGUUACAAGCAGCAGCACUAAAAUGACUAUCAUCUUCAUCGGCAUUUUGUCAAACAGCUAGGGCGUGUUCUUUAACUGCACUCCUACUCCAUCAUUGCUUGAAAAGGUUAAUGGCCCAAUAUUUGUUCCCGAACAUAACACAAGCCAUGUACAUUUAAAUGAUGUCGUGCAACGAAACAAGGGAGUGUUGAUGAGAGUUGAAGCAAAACUGGAAUCAAACGAAUGAACAAGCCCUUCUAUCAAAGAUUGGACAAGGCAGGGAAAACUUUCAAGCUAAUAAGCGACUUAACAAAUGAACUAAUGAAAAAAAAAAAAAAAGAAUCGAUAAGGAGUCAUGAAUUUUAUAUUAUCUUUUCUCUUUAUGUCUGUUUUUUAUCAAAGUAAAUUCCGAAAAAGAUAUGACUUACAAGUACUCCAAAAUCAUUUUUUAACUUCUGCUUUAUAUGGAAUAAAAACAAUUUAAUCAAAGUUAAAUAAUAUAUAAAAGAUAAAAAAAAAGUUUUUGAAUUUUGAAUUUUUGAAGAAGGGAAGAGACUAGAGAAAGAGAUGGUGAAUUUUUAUUUUAUUUUAAUUUUUGAAGAUGCAGAUUUUAUAUAAUUAAGGGUUUGAUUUAUUUUUGGAAUCAGUUGCAGAUUUGAUGUUGGCAAGCAUCCGCUGCAAAUUAGUUAAAUAAUUUAAUUUUUUUAAUCCUUUUUAGCAAUGGAUUUUCUAUUACUAAAUUCAUUGUUGAUAUUAAAAAAAUCAUAUAUACACAUUCUGUUGUUAAAUUAGCAAAAGAAAUAUUAUGUUGCUAAAAUUCAAUGAUAAUAGCCCCCUGUCCAAAUUAAGGGUGGUGCUGGCAGUUCAAAAUCUGAAGCAUGUGAUGAUCCUCCAGCUCGAUAUAUCGAAACAGAAUGAUGAUUAUUAUUUAUGGAGAUGAAUGAGACACUAAUUAUGGAAGAAAAUAUCUGUAUUUCAACAUACAACAAAUAAAAACAUACAACAUUUUGGACAAUAUCUGUAUUUCCUUCAUCCAAAUUUUAACUGAAAUUGCCUUUGAUUACUGAAAAGAAAAUAAACUAUUUAGUAGCAAUACCUCAAAAAAAUAUGUUGCCUUUGAUUGAAAGAAAAGCUCCUUUUAACUGCUACUUCUUUGCUCCACUGAGGUUGGGGGGAGGGAAAAUAUAUAUGUAAGGAAUGUGAGAAGCUAGCGAACGCUACGGCCCAAGAGCAUUACAUUCUUUGCUGUGCUGAUGUCUAUGUCAGGAAUGUGAGAAAUCUUGAGCCAAUCUUUACCUUUCUCCCUUUCACAACUUUCACCCAGCAGAGGACAAUUGUGAAUUAAAAGAGAAGAAAGGGAGGAGGGCAACCCUUCUUCUGGCAUUGACUCAAUCAGAGGGCAGUGCCAUAUAGUUAAUUCUCUAAGAGAGGUGAGGUGUUGAAGCCUUGGAAGAGAUUUCAGCAUAGGACAACUAUUAAUUAAAAGAGUAGAAAGGGAGGAGGGCAACCCUUCUUCUGGCAUUGACUCAAUCAGAGGGCAGUCCCUUAUAGUCAAUUCUUCAAGAGAGGUGAGGUGUUGAAGCCUUGGAAGAGAUUUCAGCAUGGGACAACUGUUAAUUAAAAGAGAAGAAAGGGAGGAGGGCAACCCUUCUUCUAGCAUUGACUCAAUCAGAGGGCAGUUACGUAUUUUCAAUACUCUAAGAGAGGUGAGGUGUUGAAGCCCCUUGUAGUCAAGAGAUUUCAGGUGUUCUAGGGAAGAGAUGCUAAGAGAUGUAAGACUUGAGGGCAGCAGCAUCUCUUCAGGGAAGGAUUCAACAUUUUCGUCAUCACCAAUAACAAAGCUUGAAAGAGAAGGGAGCGUUUGCAAGCCCCAUUGCAUGCGGCCUGCAAUGAGUUUGUUGCAAUUGCAAAUCUCAAGCGAUUGUAAUGUGGAGGGAAAACCCCCUUCUGGACACAACUCAACUUCAGAACAAUUAAUUAUUCUCAAAUGGGUAAGGGAUGGGAGGAGAGAAUGCAUACUCUCAGGCAACUGCUUCAAGUUGCUGCAUUCUUCUAACACAAGUCGUGUCAAGACUGAAGCAGGUAACCCUCCUUUGGGAAAUGAAACUAAUUUAGGGCACCACCGGAUUUUCAAAGAUUGGAGAGAGGUGAGAUCAUUGAGAGGUCUUUCAUGUGCACAUAGUGAUUCCAGAUCUGGACAGUCAGAGAUAGAAAGAGAAUUUAAGUUGGGGACCAAGUCCAGUGCGACGCAUUUGAGAGAAGCACAGUUAUGGAUUCCAAUUUCCCCUAAAUCAGAAGGUGAACAACCCAUUUGAUCAAUUUCCUCGGGUAGGGACUCUAGGGAGUGGCAUCCACAAACAUCGAGAGAGAGCAACCUAGGAAACCUGGGAAGUGGAGUCGCGAGCUGCUCACAUCUGAAGGAUGUAAGUGAUGUUAAACGGGGAAGGUUGUGACCAGGUAGGGCCUUUGUAAGGUUCGGGCAUUUUUUGAUUGAAAGAACCUCAAGAAGAGGGAAGGCUUCCCGGCUGCCUUCGUCUGAAAUCCACUCGCGCCACUCUGGCAUCCUUUCAAAAGAUAAUCUUUUGAGGGAUUUAAAUGGCUUCUCCGUAGCAGUACAAUUCCCAUAGAACUCGGAGCCCACAGUGAGAACUUUAUCGAAUGCUUCAAUUGAGAGUUUCUCUAAAGAAGCUAAUUGCCCGAGCGGUGGUAAGGAGGUGCAGUUUUCACAUCUACUGAGCUUCAAGGACACUAUUUUUGAGAAAGUGGACUUUCCUACCCACUCCGGAAACGUUGGACCUCCAUAACCAUCAAUCUCAAGAUCCUUCACCUCUCUAUUUGGCUCUAAUUUCUCAAGUGUGCUUGUUACGUGUUGCGGGUCACGAGUGUCACCAUCCCAUGUAAACCUCAGCUUGUCAAGGUGCUUUUUACCUUUCAAAUUUGCCUCAGCAGCAUCCCGAGCAUCCACCACAUUUUGAAGGUUCCGAAUAUGAAGUUCUCCCCGUAGAUGUGGUAGCUUUCCCAAUUCUUUAAUGCUAGUCUCAAUCGGUCUUCCCUCGUUAAAGUCCACGAGAAAGUCAUUCCACGUUUCUUUAAUGCUCUCACUCUGUCUUCCCUCGAAAGAGUGCACCAGAAUGUCAGCCAACCUUUCUUCAAUGUUCUCACUCUGUCCUCCCACGAGAAAGUCAGUCAACGUUCGGAGCUUUGUCAGUUGACCUAUAUGUGGUGGCAUCACUUUCAAAGGCGUGUCUGAGAUGUUAAGAUACCGCAAGUUGAUUAACCUUUCCAGAGAUUCAGGCAACCUUCUGAUUCCUGUUCCUUCAAGAUUCAGAUGUCGUAACUGCUUCAAAUUUCCAAGAUCAGGUAGCCUAGCAAGUUGUUGGCACUUUUUCAAGAUCAACGUUUGCAAAUUGAGAAGAGCACUCACUUCUUCAGGCAACGUUACUAAAUCUGACCGGGAAAGAUCCAAAUACCGCAAAUGCUUCAACUUGCUAGUUGAACAUGACAACAUAGAUGCAUCUCUACAAUAACUCAUGAAUAGCACUCGUAGGCGACAAUGUGUUGACUGAAAGAUCUCCUUAUAAGUUUCGGGAGGACACUCAAAAUAGCGUGGAAAAGUUCGGAAUGUGCGUAGAAGUUGGGCUUCACGGAUGUUUUCUAAUAUUGUGCUUGAAAAAACACCUUUCGUAUCUUCAUCUCCGGUAUCUUCACCAUCCGUGUCUUCCGAAUCUACGAGUGAAAAAUGACGAGCCCUUCUUGUGGCCUUGGAAGAAUUAUUUACCCCCAACCUGGAGCUGAAGCAAAAUUGACCGGACACAUGGGUAGCCAAGUCAUGCAUGAGAUCGUGCAUCACAAAUGAUGAGCGAGAGGCACUUGAUUGCUGGAAAAACGACCUUGACAAGAGAUCAUCAAACCACUGAGCACCUGCUUUUUCCAUCUCAUCAUCUACGGAGGGGACUAAGAAGCCCUCUGCCAUCCACAAGAGUACUAAUUUAUUCUUUCGAAAUGAAUAGUCUUUUGGAAAUAUGGCACAAUAAGCAAAACAUUGCUUCAGAUGUGGCGGGAGAUAAAGAUAACUUAAUCUCAAAGCUGGGAGGAUAUUGUCUUUGGGUAAAUCCCAUAGAUUGCUUUCCAAUAUCUUCUCCCACUCCUCGACAUCUCUUUUGGUGCGUAGCAGACCUCCGAGUGUUACUGCAGCUAGAGGAAGGCCUUUACACUUUCUCGCUAUUGCUCUACCAAUUUCUAGCAACUCUUCAUGAGCAGUGGGAUCUUUACCAGGAAAUGCAUGUCUGGCAAACAAGGACCAGCAGCUGUCUUCCGUCAAUUCUUUUAGAUGAUGAGUUGGAACAGUUUGCAUGACUGAUGCUACACUUUCAUUGCGUGUUGUGACAAGAAUCUUACUCCCUUGUGCUCCGUACUGCAGGAGGGUAAGCAACUUGACCCACUCAGCAUAAUCUUCAUUCCAAACAUCAUCUAAAACAAGCAAGAAUUUCUUUCCCUCCAAUCUCUCCUUCAACUGAAGCUGGAGAUUAUUCAGACUCCCAGAACCAGACUUUGGAUCGACCUCCUCAAGGAUCGCCUUGGUUAACUUCAAAACACUGAAAUCUUCUGAAACACAAACCCAAGCUUUGAGGUUGAACCACUCUUGUACUCUGCUGUGACUGUAUACAAGCUGAGCAAGCGUUGUUUUACCAACCCCGCCCAUUCCUACUAUGGGAACGACACCUGGGUUUUUUCCAUUUGCAUCAUCUGAUAGAAGCAACUUCAGUAUUGCUUCGCUGUCAUCAUCUCUAUCACAAACACCAGAUUCAUCCACGAGAGAAGUUGUUUGUCUUUCAUGCGAUGAUGGUGCUUUUCCAGUGCGGUUGAUCAAACCAAGGGCAUCCUUUUGUUUUACUAAGUCAUCUAGACUCUCCUGGAGGCUUCUUGAUUUUUCUUUUAUCUCUCUCAACCCCAUUAUUUCACGUGGGUUAAUGAAGAUUUGAGCUUCAGCUUCCAACUCCUGCCGUAGAGCUUCAUAAGCAAUCUCAUCCAAGAAGUCCUCGGCUUCAUAGACAGCAUCUUUAUACGCGACCAGCCAAGCCCUCACAGCUGGACUUGUUAUCUGCUUCUCCUCAGCAUCGUCAAGCAGCCCCCUGCCAGGUAUCAUUGCUGUCUCCAACCUCUUCACCGGCCUAUCGUUCAUGUUUCUGGGUUUCAAUUUACUUGAAACUACAUCGACAAUCUUUUGAAUUAAUUUUGAUUCGUGCCUGUGGAUAGAAAAAGAAAGUCAUCACUCAUCGAUGAAAGAUAAUCUUUUGAACUUAAUGCAAAUUUAAAAUACAAAAUGUAAGAAGGGUAAAAGUUAUGAGCCUUUGCUAUUGAUAUAGGGGAAGAAAAGAAGUACCCAUUUGCGAUACUGCGACGAUGCAACCCACAUAAAUUUGCAGCCUCCACAAGAGCUUCUCUCCACUUUUGGACCUUCUCCAUUUCUUCCUUAAAACGUUCUUCAUGCUUAUCAAAGGCUUCAGCAAAACUCCCCGUCUGUUUUCUAAUAGCAGAAGGUUCGAUAUCAUAGAAAACAGGUAGAACAAUCUGACCAGUUGUGUGUCUGCAUUCAAGAAUCUUUUGAAGUUCACCAAGGCACCAAGUGGAGGAAGCAUAGCCCUGAGAGAAAACCACUACAGAAAUCUUGGAUUCUUGAAUUGCUUGGGAGAGUUGUAAGGAGAUUUCUUCACCUAUACGAAGUUCGUUGUCAUCUCGAAAUGCAUGGAUUCGUUCUCGGAGUAAAGCAUUGUAAAGAUGAUCCGUAAAAGUUUUGCGAGUAUCUUCACCUUUAAAACUUAGAAAUACAUCGUAAACCCAACCAGGUCUAGGCAAAGAAGAAGAAGACGCCAUGAUGAACAUCUAGCGGUGAUUGCAAACUGCAAAGUUAUAAUAAAGGUCACCUUCGGUCUUUCUUUUGAAGCGCAUAUAUAUAUAUAUAUAUAUAUAUAUAUAAUCGACUUCUUGCUUUAUUGCAAGUUGCAAACCAGGUACCAUUUGAUUCAGAAAAAGUUAUUUUCACAAAAUCAUUUUAAAAACUUUCUUUUUGUUAAAAAAUUUUGAUGGAAAAUACGUUUUAAUUAUAAAAAAAAUAGUUUUGUUUUUAAAAAAGUAUUUUUUAUUAUUAUUUUAGGUGAAAAAUAUUAUAAAAAAAUAUCUUAUAUGUUUUAAUUAUAAAACAAUUAGUUUUGUUUCUAAAAUAAUAUUUUUUAUUAUUAUUUUGAAUAAAAAAUAUUAUAAAAAAAUAUCUUAUUAUUUAUUAAUUGUAUAAUUUUUUAUCGAUUUACUUUUUAAUUUAAUGUUAAACAGAUUAAAACCUAAAAUUAAAAGAUUUGGAGUUUGAAUGCAAAACUUCAAAAUCGCAAUUUGAAUUGGAAAAAGGAGUCGUUUCCUGGACAACUGUUCACUGCCUUCUUCCACUGUUUCGGCAAUAAAGGCAAUGUUUUCGUUUCGUCAUUAAGGCAUUAAAAGGGUUUCAAUUACAGGGCAUGUCUCACGGCUAUUAUCAAGCCAGCCAUUACCAUCACAAGGCUUUCCCUGGCUUUUUAAAGCCAGGGAAAGGGAACGAACAAAGGGAGGAGAAGGACGGAUGAGAAACAGAACCACGGAAGGAAAACGAGCCAAGCCUAACGCAGACUAAAAUGAGAAAACACAGAGGAGGGAGCUUCUAUUCAACCUGCAGCACCUAACGCCUUCAUCACCAUCGUCUUCGUCCUGAGCAGAGGAACAAGAAAAAAACCCGAAGAGGGAGAAGAAGAAAAACAGGGAGCAUACAGAGAGAGCCAAGCCUCUGCACGACCAUCGGCUUCAUCUUUCUUAAUUACCAGCCUCCAGAAACAGAGGCGACAGAACAAGGAAUUAAAAACAAGGGAAGGGAAACAAAAAUAUUACAAGAAACUCGUCAUCACCAUCGGUUUCCCCUUUUCCAGCACCAGGAAUCAAAAACAAGGGAAGGGUUACAAUGCUUACCUUCGCACAAUUCAUGCACGCGUGAAUAAAUUCACGCGUGCACUCGGUUCUCCAUCCAGGUCAAUCGCUUGGACCACUGAUUAGACCGCACUGGCAGCACGUGGGCUAAGCUGGAUCCUGUCUCUAACGACCCUUUAUUUUAUUUUUUAAAAAAGUUUCAUUUCAGCUUGUUUUCUAUAAUAUUUUUAAAUAUUAAAAAAUAUUUUUAAGAAAAAAAUUAAUAAAAAAAUUAUUUUUCAAAAAAUAAAUAAAUAUAAACGCAUUAUAUUUGGUGUGGCUACUGAGUUGUAAAGCAUAAAAAUUAUUAAGGUAUUUCACUUUCAGAACCUCUGCAUUUGGCUUUAUUGAAAGGUUUAAGCCGAAAUAAAUUAUAUUAGUAAAUUUGUAUUGAAUUCCUUAAUUAUAUCAUGAAUUAACAUGUUUGGUAUCAAUGUCAAUAGAAAGAAUUGAAUUGACGCAAUUAAUUAAUUCUUGAUAGCAGUUUUAAAGGUAAAUGCAAGACAGUUACCUUUAAUCAUGAAGCAACGGACUUUAUUGUGGUGUACGGUGUACCGCAUUCUCAAAUGUAUCUGUUUUGUCUUUGAUUUAUUUUUCUAGAAAUUCCAUCUUUGAAAAAACUUCAUUAAAUACCAAGCUUUUCACGUGAUGUGAUGAUGCAGAAGAAGAUGUUCUUCCAUCACUUUAUUUGCCAGUAAAGUUCAAAGUAAAAAAAAAUAUCUCAAAUUAAUGUUAGUGUAUGCGUGAGUUGCGUGUGCCAGGAAAAACGAGUUAUGGCCCCCAUUUUACUCGGGUUGUCCUCGCUUUGUUUGCCAAGAGAUCCCAUCGUCGAAAAAAUGGGUUUGAUUGGAAUAACUUUUAUUAAAUGCCAGUCUUUAUUUUCACGUGAUAUGCUAAUAAUGCAGAAGAAGACUUCACUUUAUUUCUUCUCUCUUCUUCUUCUUUUAUCACUUUUCCUUCAUUGAUAAAGUACGGGCUUGUGUAUGCGUGGGUUGCGGGUGCUAGGAAAUUGGAGUUAGGCCCCACAUUUUAUUAAUUUUACUUGCUUUAUUUGCCAAGAGAUCCCAAGAUGGUAAUUCACUUUAUUUCUUCUCUCUUCUUCUUUUAUCACUUUUCUUUUAUUACUUUUCAUUCAUUGAUAAAUAAAUUAUGAAUUAUAAAUGAGCUGAUGAACAUUGCUAUGAAUAUUAUAAAAACUUCACUUUAUGUCUUUUAGUAUUUAUUUAACUAUUUUUAGUCUUUUUAUGCUCAAUCCUUGAACAAGGCGCUUGCACCCAUCGAAGACAUCAAGAUCCAGCGAGGAAAAGGGCGGGAAAGGAGCCUGAAGUGUUUGCCAUUAAUCAAGUGGAUGGCUUUUGACAAUUAAAUAAGAUACCCAAUCGUCUCUCACAUCCUCUCCACCUUCACCAGUAUCUUUUGUGGUAAUUUAAGUUAAAACAUCCAUUUUAAUCAUAAUUUCAGUUAACACAUUUUUAAUUAUAAUUUUAGUUAAAUAUUUAUUUAAAUCAAACAAAUCACGAGUGAAAACUAUCUUUUUAAAGUCUCCAUCACCGCAAGAGCUAUCACGAGAACAAAACACUCCAAAAAACAAAUUAAACAAUGAAAACGCUUUGUUUCUUUUCGUACUGAAGACCAGCUGUCUCCACUCAUGCGACAUGUCACUAUCCCUUGAGUGAUUGGAUUUCAGCCGUUGAUUUGUGUCAUGGUCUUGAAAUUACGCUUUCUUGUCUCCCUCUGUCAUGGGCUCAUUAUAGCCUCAGUUUGUAGGGCUCAUUAAAAGGGCAUAGAAAUUACCUAGAUAUUACAGGUUCCUACUUUUUUUUAUUUCGCCGUCAGGGAUAUAUACCAUAAAGUUUUAAUUGAAUAUAGAUAUUGUUUAAUCGGGUACUCAUUGUCAAGGAAAUAUACCAUAAAGUUCCUACUUUUCUUUUAUCAAAUAAAUUUCAUAGUAAGCUAUAUUUCUAAAAAUUAGACCGUUCUAUGGAUUUUAACCAACAACUCAAUGAUAUUUCUUAUCUAGACAUCAAUUCCUUUUUUGAUUUUCAUGGUAAUAAUAUUUCACACAAUCUCAGUAUCAACACAAGUGUUCCAUAAAAUUAUAAUAUUUCACACAAUCUCAAGUAUCAACACAAGUGUUCCAUAAAAUUUAAAAAGUUAUAAAGAAAUAUUCAAAAAACAUUUCUAUUUACUAUAUUAUUCAUCAAUUCACAACAUUUAUUCACAAUUAAAUCCUCUAAAAUCUCCCAUCAUUGGCCGGCCACUAGCUCUAUUUAAUUAUCAAAAAUUUUACUUUAAUUACAAUAAUUUAAUCACUUUACUCUAAUUUUCAUAUUAUUUCCCAUGACAAAUUAAAAUAAAUUUUUAUUUCCUUCAAAUUUAUUCAAAAACCCUAACUUUUUAAUUUCAAAAAUUCAACCAAUUAAAAACUUUAAGCCAUUAAAAUUUAGAUCAAAUGUCUUUACCAAGCAGGUAAUUAAACUCUAAACACUUUUUUAAUAUUGGUGUUUUUGAUAGAUAUGUAGAAAUAGUAUUUAUAAGAAAGAAAAGAUAUUUUGACAUUUUAUUUAAUAUUUUUUAAAAUAUAUAAAAUAAACAUGAAAUAGUCAAAAUAAUAUUUUUAAAAUUUUUAACUUUUCAUUUACCACAUCCUUUGUAGAUGCCGCUAUGAUAUGGACUCAAUAUAAGUGGGUUAAAUAUUGGUGGGCUAUUUCAUCUUUCUUUAUUUUUUAAAAUUUUACUCUGUUUGUCUUUGAUUUAUUUUUCUAAAAAUUACAUCUUAAAAAAAAGAGGGUUUGAUUGGAAAAACUUCACCAUAUUUGGUUAUUUGGGAACUAGGUAUUAUAAUUUCAUAACAUAAAUUAUAAAUCUAACAGGUUAACUAAGCUGAACCAAUUUAAUAUAAAACUUUGUUAUUAUUAAAUUAAAAAAAUAACAUUUUAAAAUCUUUUCUAAAUUAAAGUAUAUUUUAACGGGAUGUUAAUUAAUUUUAUGAAUAUUGUUCCGGAUGUGUUCGUGUAUGCGUGAAUUGCGCGGGCCAGGAAAAUGGAGUUAGGUGGCGCAUCAACUCGGUCUGUCCUUGCAUUAUAUGCCAAGAAGCCCCAGCGUUUGAAAAAGUGACAGGAAAAUGGAGUAACUUUGUUUGUAUCUUUCUUUUCACGUGAUGUGCUAAUAAUGCAGAAGAAGACUUCACUUUAUUUCUUCUCUCCUUUUCUUUUAUCACUUUUAUUUCAUUGAUAAAGCAGAUAAAUAAAUUAUAAAUUAGCUGAUGACCAUUGCUAUGAAUAUUAUAAAAACUUCAUUACACAUUUUAGAAUGUUGCGUAGUGUUUGUUUAACUCUAAAAGAAUCGUGGAGCAAGUUAUAAUAAAAAAAAAUCAUUAUAUUAGAAAUUACAGUUGAAUUGCGAAAAUAAAAAUAUCCUUAAUCAGUAUUAAAGAUACUGAUUGUUUGCUUUGAAUAACAAGAUUCAGUUCAAUAGGAUUAGGUCUUGUUGGUUUUAUCUUCCACCUGUAAAAAUGACCUUGUUUUUCAUGUAGAUGGAUCAUUUUAUUCCAAAACUUUUUUAUAAAUAUAAUUAUUAAACUUCAUCGAUUAAUGUUUUUUUAAUUAAAAAAUAGUUAAGAAAACAACUUAAAAACAUGUUCAUCGAUCAAAUGUGUUUGUUUUUUAGCAGUUUUUGCUUUUUUAACGCAUAUAACAAAAACAAGAUAUUUGGUUAUAUGUGAAUUUGACAGCAAAACCGUGUUUAUGGUGCAAAGAGAGAAAGAGGGAAGGAAAGUGACAAAGAGCACAAAAGGUCAAUAAAAAUAAUUUGAUCGGUGGUUGAAGUCUCUCUAUCCAGUGUCAGCAACAUAAUAGCUGCGACCACCACAGAAAAAUAUACAGAACUCGCAAAAGCCUUUUCUCUGGAUCACACAUUUUCCGAGAAAUUGCAUCUUUGAAAAAAGUGGGUUUAUUUCUUUGCAUCUCUGGAUCAGAAAAACAUCACUAAAUGCCAAGCUCUUCACGUGAUGUGAUCAGGCAGCAGAAGACUUCACUUUAUUUCUUCUCUCUCCCUCCUUCCAUCACUUUUCAUUGGUAAAGCAAAUAAAUAAAUUAUAAAUUAUAUUAUUAUAUUUUAUACAUUAUAUUUUGUUUUCUUUUUUUAAUUUAAUUAUUAAGGUAUUUCACUUGCAUAACCUCUGCGUUUGGCUAUAUUCAAAGGUUUAAGCCGAAAUAAAUUAUAUUAGUAAAUUUGUAUUGAAUUGCUUAAUUAUAUCAUGAAUUAACAUGUUUGGUAUCAAUGUAAAUAGAAAUAAUUGAAUUGACGCAAUUAAUUAAUUCUUGAUAGCAGUUUUAAAGGUAAAUGCAAGACAGAUACCUUUAAUCAUGAAGCAAGAACGGAUUUUAUUGUGGUGUACGGUGUACCGCAUUCUCAAAUGUGAUCUAAAGAAAUGUAAAAGCGAUUGUAAAGAAUUUAUAUUAUUGUUUUUUAAAGUAUUUUUUUAUUUAAUAAUAUAUUAAAAUAAUAUUUUUAAAAUUUUAACAUAAAAAUGGUAUAAAAAUAUAAAUAAUAAUAAUUUUUUUAAAAAAGUUAUAAAACAUAAAUUAUAUGUGAAGAAUCAUAGGUUUGUGAUUGUGGGAUCCAUUACAAUUUAUGGGCCAACCAUGAGCUAAUAAAAAGUAACAUCGACAUGUUUUUACUAAGCUACAACCUCAGUAUUUUCUCAUCCACCGACAACUUCAUAAAAAAAAAUAUCAAUGGUUUUUUUACAAUUACUAAGAUACCCAAUCAUUUUUAAACAUCCACCACCACAAGAGCUAUCACGAGAACAAUUUAAAACAAUGAAAAGGCUGUUGUUUCUCUUUGUACUGGAGACCAGCUGUCUCCCACCCAUGGCAACGUGUCAGUAUCCCUUGAGUGAUUGGAUUUCAGCCGCUGAUUUAAGUCCUGGUCUUCUGAAAUUACGUUUCCCUGUCUGCCUCUAACAUCAACUCAUUUUCCACGAAAUUUCCCAAUCUUCGGACAAUAUGCUACAUAAAGAUAAAAUGAUGAUUUAUACACAUUUCCAUUAGCUUUGAUGGAGAAAGAGCAUUUCCAUUAGCUUUCAUGGUAAGCGAUCCGUACUACCUGUGAACAUAGAAAAAAAGAAAUAAGAUUUCUUAUAAAAUAAAAUGUAAAUAGGCCUUUCCCUUUUCUUUUCUCUCGUGUACAUUUCUUAUAGCUCGUGCUAACCAUACUCCUACAAGAAAUAAGAUAUUCCUUUCUUCGACUUCCUGUUUUUUCGCCAGUUAAAAGAAAAUACAUCUGAAAUUUCCUUAUUUUUUAGAGAGAAAUAUAUUUUCUUCUUCUAGUACUCAAAAGUCAAAACACUUGGAAAGUCAAGUCAGUAUAUCAUAUAAUUGAUACAUAGGUGGUUGUUUCGAUUACUUGAAAAUAUUACAACUAUACUGCCUUUAAAUAUAAGAAAUACUAAAAUAUAAGAAAAAAAUUGGGGUAUUUUUUCUUUUUGAAAAUAACGAGUUUUGUUUUGGAUGAAAUUGUUCUUGACCUUUCAUAGCUACCGUAAUUAUAGAACAAUUAGUUCAAUUGCAAACUUAUGGAUAGAUCUAAUUAAACAUAAUUAAUUAUUUAAUUGAAUAAUCAUACACUCGUUAUGAACAACAGAUAUUCUUAUGAUUAAAGGAAGAUUUAUGGUUGCAAAGUUUAAUCAUGCAGACAUUGACUAAUAUGUUUUUUGUGGAAAGUAUUUAAAAAAAAAAUUAAUUUUUUUUAUUUUAAAUUAAUAUAUUUUUGAUGUUUUUAAAUUGUUUUAAUUUUGAUAUGCUGAUAUCAAAAAUAAUUUUUUAAAACUAAAAAAGUAUUAUUUUAAUAUAUUUUAAAAUAAAAAAUAUAUUAAAAAAUAAUCAUUAUGCCGGGAAUUCCAUUUUACUCGGUUUUGUCUUUGAUUUAUUUUUCUAGAAAUUCCAUCUUUGAAAAGAGUGGGUUUGAUUGGAAAAACUUCAUUAAAUGCCAAGCUUUUCACGUGAUGUGAUGAUGCAGAAGAAGAGGUUCUUCCAUCACUUUAUUUGCAAGUAAAAUCCAAAGUAAAAAAAAAUAUCUCAAAUUAGUGUUAGUGUAUGCGUGAGUUGCGUGUGCCAGGAAAAACGAGUUAUGUCCCCCAUUUUACUCGGUUGUCCUCGCUUUAUUUGCCAAGAGAUCCCAUCGUCGAAAAAAUGGGUUUGAUUGGAAUAACUUUUAUUAAAUGCGCAAUAUAAUCUUUAUUUUCACGUGAUGAGCUAAUAAUGCAGAAGAAGACUUCACUUUAUUUUUUCUCUCUUCUUCUUUUAUCACUUUUCCUUCAUUGAUAAAGUACGGGCUUGUGUAUGCGUGGGUUGCGGGUGCUAGGAAAUUGGAGUUAGGUCCCACAUUUUAUUAAUUUUACUUGCUUUAUUUGCCAAGAGAUCCCAAGAUGGUAAUUCACUUUAUUUCUUCUCUCUUCUUCUUUUAUCACUUUUCUUUUCUUACUUUUCAUUCAUUGAUAAAUAAAUUAUGAAUUAUAAAUGAGCUGAUGAACAUUGCUAUGAAUAUUAUAAAAACUUCACUUUAUGUUUUUUAGUAUUUAUUUAACUCUUUUUAUGCUCAAUCCUCGAAGAAGGCGCUUGCACCCCUUGAAAAUAUCAAGGAUCCAGCGAGGAAAAGAGCGGGAAAGGAGCCUGAAGUGUUUGCCAUUAAUCAAGUGGAUGGCUUCUAGUCCACAAGAAUUGACCACAACAGUUGAUGUUUUGACAAUUAAAUAAGAUACACAAUCGUCUCUCACAUCCUCUCCACCUUUACCAGUUUCUUUUGUGGUAAUUUAAGUUAAAACAUUCAUUUUAAUCAUAAUUUUAGUUAAAUAUUUUAAAUUAUAAUUUUAAUUAAAUAUUUAUUUAAAUCACGAGUGAAGAUAAUUUUUAUAAACUAUCUUUUUAAAGUCUCUAUCACCACAAGAGCUAUCACAAGAACAAAGACACUUCAAAAAACAAAUUAAACAAUGAAAACACUUUGUUUCUUUUUGUAUUGAAGACGAGCUGUCUCCACUCAUGCCACAUGUCACCAUCCCUUGAGUGAUUGGAUUUCAGCUGUUGAUUUGUGUCAUGGUCUUCUGAAAUUAUGCUUUUCUAUCUCCCUCUGUCAUGGGCUCAUUAUAGCCUCAGUUUGUAGGGCUCAUUAAAAGGGCAUAAAAAUUACCUAGAUAUUACAAGGUUCCUACUUUUUUUUAUUUCGUUGUCAAGGAUAUAUAUCAUAAGUUUUAAUUGAAUAUAAAUAUUGUUUAAUCGGGUACUCAUUGUUAAGGAAAUAUACCAUAAAGUUCCUACUUUUCUUUUAUCAAAUAAAUUUCUUAGUAAACUAUAUUUCUAAAAAUUAGACUGUUCUAUGGAUUUUAACCAACAACUCAAUGGUAGUAAUAUUUCAUACAAUCUCAAGGAUCAACACAAGUGUUCCAUAAAAUUUAAAAAGUUAUAAAUAGAUAUUCAAAAAACAGUUCUACUUACUAUAUUAUUCAUCAAUUCACAAUAUUUAUUCACAAUUAAAUCCUCUAAAAUCUCCCAUCAUUGACCGGCCACUAGCUCUAUUUAAUUAUCAAAAUUUUUACUUUAAUUACAAUAAUUUAAUCACUUUACUCUAAUUUUCACAUUAUUUCCCAUGAUAAAUUAAAAUAAAUUUUUAUUUCCCUCAAAUUUAUUCAAGAACCCUAACUUUUUAAUUUAAAAAAUUCAACCAAUUAAGAACUUUAAGCCAUUAAAAUUUAGAUCAAAUGUCUUUAGAAUGCUUUACCAAGCAAGUAAUUAAACUCUAAACACUUUCCAAAUCAAGCUUUCGACUCCUCUUCUUCAAUCUUGGUUGAACUUCCUCUCUUUUUAUCUACUCACCUUCAUUUAAUUUUUAUUCCUUCCAAUUAAUGCUCAUAAAGCUUAGUUACUUUCCCUCAAGAUCUUCCCUUAAGAUUUUAUGUUUCCGUUACAAUUCUAUCUCUCUCACGUGUAAAUGAUAGUUUUCCCUUCUUUUUUUUUUUUUUCUUUUUUCUUCUUACUGGAGCACGCACACAUACGGUAAAAUUUUACCAAAUUCCCUCUAUAUUCCAAAUAGUAAAUUUCAUGUUCCCAGGAUAAAAUUCUUGGAUCCUGGCAUUUGUCUAUAUAAAAAUUUUACCUAGGUGAAUUUGAAUUUUAUUUAAUUAUAUAUUGAUAAUUUUAUUUUCAAAUCGUAUGGACUCUCUCUCAUGCCCCAUCAUCAGCACAGGAGGAGGGAAUGGGGGUGCUGUCUUCCUCGGUGAAAACUAAUGGUGAUAGAGUGCUUCUGUUUCCCAAACUAGGAUUCAAGGAGGUGCCAAAGCUGUCCUGACAAGUAGUGGGGACCUAGCAUUUAUGAUAGUGUUUCUGAUUCCCAAACUAAUGGUGAUAGUGUAUCCUCGAGUCAUUUAUGCUCGAAAUUCUGUUUAUUUCUGGUUGGAUGUGGAUUCUCAAAGAUUGAUCAUCCUGAGCUUGUCUGUACCAUAAGGAGACUAGUGAUAUCAGGUUCCAAAGCAACUGAUAGUAGCCAUUGAAGCUGCAAAUGGACUGGACGAAAAGCAGAAAGGAUGAGGGGACACACCAAGAGGCUUAAUGACACCAUCAUCCGCUAAUCACCAGCCAUAUGUAUCUUCAGAAAUAUAUAUCGCGCACGACUUUUGCCAACACAUGCCUGUGCAGUACAAGAAUAAAAGAUUAUUUUUCAGUUAAAAAAAAUAAAGUUGGAAAGAAUAAAAUGAAUUAGCAGCGCAAGAUAAAUACUUACGUUUCGGAUUUUGGAUAAUGCAUCAUGAUGAUGCAAAUUUAAUUGGCCAUGAUAAUUAUGAUAGGAAGCUGUAACUUCCUCUGUUCUUACAUCAGAUAUUUGUGAUGGCUUUACACACAAAUUAAUCCUUCUCAUUAUAUAAUCACGUUAUUAAAAAUGUAUAUUUUAGUUGUGAUGACUAUAUAUGUGCUAGUGAGAAAGAUAUGUUUUUAAGAUUUUCAUAGAAGAAAAAAAAUAUUGAUAUGAUAUCUUUGCUCCAAAUUUGAAUCUAGUGACCGUUGGAAGAUGUUAGAAUCCUACUAAACGCACCGUAUGGCCAUUAGAAGAUUGUAGGGGUAUUAUGUCACAAAACACACCGUUCAAUUACUACCUAGACACAUCGUUUAAAUGUUGCUGUUUCUUUUAUGACUCUUGCCACGUGUUGGCUGUUGCUUGAUAAUUGGAAGUUGUUGUUAGCCGCUCUUUCAGUUAGCAUUUCUAUCAGAAUGCCUGUAUGAAAAUAGAAGAACGAAAAAUGGUGGCUUAACCAAUUUAUGUCCUUCUCUCCACUCUCUUCUUCUUUAUUCCCUAUCAUCCAGUGUUUCUGUUAAAUGGCCUGCGAGUUUAUUGAUCCCUGUGAUUAGUAGACUCCAUUGUAAACCUCAAAUCAGUGUAGUGACCUAACAGUCCUACUGGAUUCUAUCCUGGUGGGAGAUCAUUCCAUCGUACUUGCUACAAGUGGUAUUAGAGCGAUCGAUCCUCGGAAUGUGAACAAAUGAUCGAUCGCUCCUGACACUGGAUCUCAAGACAUCAAAAAGCUGGAGAGCUCCCUUGAAGCUGUCAGCAAGGAUCAAGCAUAAGAUUAUGGACAAAUGAUGAAAAUGUUGGAGUCUUACAAUCACAAACUGGGUACCACAGAAAGCAACCAUGAAGCUAAGUUUAACGAACUCAAGGGUCUCAUUAGUGGAAUAACUUAUCAACAAACAUCCCUUCUUCGAUCACUAAAACUUUCCACAGGGGAGGCUAAUACCUACCCGAGACAAACAAACAACUCAUAAGUUGCAAUAACUUGAUUACCUAGUGAAGGUGAGCACUCUCGGAUUAGGACGCACAAACCCAUAUGUGACUUUCUCAGCUUUGAUGGGGAAGAUGCCCAUAAAUGGUUUGUAUAGAUGCAAUCAAUAUUUUGAUCUUAAGAAGAUUGGAGAUUCUAAAAAACUUAAGUUAGCAUCAUACUACCUUGAUGGAAUAGCAUUAUAUUGUCACCAGAACUUUGAGGAGUUUGGGAGGCCUAGAAGUAACAUUGGAAGGUUAUGUAGAGGCCAGAAAGACCCAAUAAACGCUCCCAAUCCGCUGCUCUUGCUUUCUUUCUAAACGACCAUGCACUACUACUAGACUUGUUAAUGUUCUCUUUAAUCAAGAUUUUAGCCGUCCUAGAUUUUUUUAUUGUAAAAAAUAAUUAGUUAAUCGGACAUAAGCAUUUUCAAAGACUCCGUUCAUUUAAUUGAAUAAAUUUAAUAAAUAUUUAAGUUAACAUGGGUUAAUAUUUUAAUUCUAAUGAUUAUUAUGAAUAUAAAAUUAAGAUAACCUGUAGAAAGAAAAGUAUAUAAAAAAAAAACAUGAAGAUAAAUUCUCUAUAAAUCAAACAUUGAAGGAUAAGAUUUAAAAAAAAAAAAACAAAACUAAAAAAAAACCGAAGUUAAUCUGUGUUAAUAUUUGAAACUUGUGACUUUGGUAAUGAGCUCAAUAUUAACUCUACAAAAGAUAAACCCUAAAAAAUAAUGAAAUUAAAUUCUUUAUCACAAGAUAAUGAGAGAUAAAACUAGGAAAAAAAUACAACUUAAAAAGGAUUUAAAAAAAACAUAUAGUAAUAAAAAGAAAAUUAAUCAAAUUUUACAUUAAAAUAAAUUGAAAUCAUAUAUUAAGAGAUGAAUUUGAAAAGAAAAUUCAAUUAGAAAAAAGAUAAUAAAUAAAUAAAUAUUAAUUAAAAAAAUAAAGGCUAAACUUGGUAUAAAAAUUGAAUAAAAUCAAAUGAUAAGAAUAAAAUUUUUAAAAAAACAAAUUUACAAAAAAUAAAAAUCAAAUAAAUAACAAUAAAAUAAUAAAAAUCAAAUUCUUCAUAAAAAAAAUAAAAGAAAACUUCUGUAAUUUACCAUAAGAGGGGAAAAAAUACAGAAAAAGAAAUCCACGUACUUGUGGCCCACCACCACCCAGCCCUGAUGCUCUUCUCCAAAGUUCCAAACAACAAACAGAAGUCAGUUUUUGGCCAGCAAAAAGCCGCACGCGCUUCUCCAAAGCAUUUCAGUAAUAAAAACAUUAAAAACUAUUAAUUUUGCCUUAAAUGCAACAUAUUAUACACUUAAAAGAAUUAUGAAAAGUAGCUUAAUUUGUCAGACAUUGAGUUUACUUUCCAAUAAUCACGAGUUUGAGUUUUUUUAAGGUUACCAAAAGUUUAUAUAAUCGUUAACAUUAGAACCCGUGAAAUUAAUCGAGUUACAUACAAACUGGUCUAAACAUUCCCGUUAAUUAAAAAAAAAAGAUUUCCAAAAUAUGUCUUGAGGAUUUGCAAGGAAUUGGUGAGCGUGUUCAAUUGUGGAAGGGCUUUCCUGCAUUUCUGUUCUUCACAUAAUAUGGGGUGAGGCUGAAGAUAGUGAUGACCAUAUCGUGCCAUAUCCAGAGGCAAGUGAAGAUUAUUGCAAGAAAAAGGAAUCGAGUGAAGAAGCUAGCACCAUUAAAUCUAGUGAGCAGAAGGCACCUGGGGCUAAAGUUGAUACUGAUGGCAGAAAGCUGGAGAGCAUUUCGAAUGUUGACACAAGUGAAGGAACUUCUUCCUUAGGACUUGACAUGGACCGAUGACCUAACUUGUCCUCACGUAAUGCUGCCAAAACUGAGCAGGAUUCCUUGGAAACUUCAAUCUCUAACAAUCUAACUGACAUUACCAAACUCGAUUCAUCAGCAGGUGAUGAGAUUUCAAUCACAAGGAAACAAUGUAGAUAGGGUGAAGUUGCAUGAUGUUUUCAUAGCAUAGUAUCUUACAUGCUACUGUCAUUCUAAUUCUUUUUUUUUUAAAACGCGGAGACAGAUAAUCUUGAUAAGGACACUGAGAUUUUUCAAAAUCCUCAUGAAGGUAAAGAGCAAGGUGAUUUUGCUGAUUAUGGCUGGGCUAGCAUUGGAAGCUUUGAUGAUCUUGAUCGAAUUUUUAGGUAAAGCACAGUUACCAUUUCUUACUUUCUGCACCUAAAUGAAAGAUGGUCAGCAGCACCUGAUAUGGAAGCUUGUAUAUCUCAUUAUUCUGAUAAUUUGAACAAAUUCUUAUUACUGACUGUGAAGUGAAAGUUUCGCGAACAAAAUAAUUAUGCUCACUGUCUAUUUUCAUUUCAGAAGAAAAAAAUCAUGUAGUACAAGAGUGUUGUUGUGAAGGAAAAACAACCAGACUCUUUUAAUAAUUGUAGUUUCUUCUGUGUUGGAUCUAUAUCCUUUUCCAAAUAAGUGCUGUCUGCUGAAAGCAACACUAACAAAAAAUGACUAGUUGUUUGAAAAUUUAUGGUUUUUGAUCCUUGGCUUAAUUUUGUUAAUUGGGAAAAGAACCUGAAGGAUGCCAGUUUUUAGCAGCACAAUAUCCUCAAUUACAAGUAUAAAUGGCAGAAAGAAUGUAAUAUAGCAGCACUGGAUUUGCAAGGAAUUGGUGAGCUUGUUCAAUUGUGGAAGGGCUUUCCUGCAUUUCUGUUCUUCACUAAUGUUCUUAUAUUUUAUCUUGAUUCUGUUGGAGAACAGUAAUAACCAUCUGACUCAAUAUCCUCACAAGUGGUGAUUUUGCAGCAAUGAUGACCCAAUAUUUGGCAAUGUAAAUCUUGGUAAUGCUGAUGAGCUAUGGUCUUCUUCAAAAUGUACAACUAACAGCCCGGUAAAGCCCUUUCCAAUAUCUGUGGCUUCGAGAGAAGAGGACCAGCUGUUUGCCCUUGGCUAUGGAAAAAUGAACGACCCUGCAUCUCAUGGUCUGCAUAAUACUCAGGCAAGCCUUGAUCAUGUAGAAUAUGAUGAAGGUAAAAACAAGCCUAUACUGAAGGAGCAGGUAUAGCGACUCAAUUUUCAGUAAUGAGUUCACUUAUUAAUGCCCCAUGCUCAAGUGCAGGAGCUGAGAGAAGCUUAGCAUUAAUUUUUUUUAUUUUUUUUGUGCUUUUGCAGACAGAUUUGGCUGUUGUGGGAAAGAACACGGCGGCUAACUCUCAACUGACAGAGAGGAAUGAAAAUAAACUUGGAUGUUGGGUGAAUAUGGAUUUACAUGAUUUAGUCAUGACUUCAAUAAUGCAUCAAUUAAGUUAUCCUGGAUGUCAAAUCCAUUACUUAACCAUGAUAUCGAUUGCCUAAAGUAAAGCCAUUGUGUGGUUUUCUGUUAGUAGGAAGGAGAAAGGAAUAACAUGUGAAAAUUCAGGGACAUGCAAAUUCUGUUUGCAUGGCAUAGUUUAGCUAAUACCUCGAUAUAUUCUGAACAAUAGAAGCCCUUUCGAUCGUAAGUUGCAGUUCAAAAAAUAAAAUAACAUUGAAUUUGUCCUUACAAACCAUGUACCGAAUUAAAAUACUAACUGUGCCUUAGUCACUCUCCCCUGCAGGGCUAUGGUUAAAAUGUUGAUCUAUUCUAAGUAAUUUGUCUAUUUAUUAUAGUUCUGUGAUCAGAGUUACAGGCAAAAGAAGAUCUUGUAAGGUCGGGAAAAACUGGAAGAAAAAGGUGAACUGAAAUCAUACCAAGAUUUUUAUGGAAACUGGACUUCAUCUGGAAUCCCAGCCUGUCAACUUAAGGAUCAUUUAGCACCCCAAAUUAUGCAAUCUUCUUCCCCUUCAAUUCUCAGCCAACAGAAGCAGCUAGGGUUACAAAUCCAUUUGUGGCCCCUUCUGCAUACGGGAGUAUUACAAAUCCAUAUUCUAUGUCUGGGUUGUCCCACAUUCAGUCUGGGGAUUUUAAGCAUCAACCUUUAGCUUCUGGUUAUGAAGUUUCUUCAGGUAAUGCAAAUCCUAUAAACAAGUUAGCUGACUGUCCAGUGAAACCCCAGAGAAUGACACCUCAGGAAAAGAUUGAAAAAUUAAGGAGGCGGCAACAAAUUCAGGCAAUGCUUGCCAUUCAGAAACAGCAGCAGCAGCUUGUUCAUCAAAAGUGUUCCCAAGAAAAUCAAAUUCAGCGUGUUGAAGGAGCUGACCUUGAAGUAGAGGAUCUAAGUACACUUGCUUCAUUUGACCCAAACUCACCUAUUGAGCAAGACGAUUCCAAUACAGUCUCUCUAGCGGUUAAUGAUUAUUCAAUGGAGGACACAGUACUCUACAGGCUUCAAGAUAUUAUUUCAAAGGUAUGCUUCACGUACUAUUGCAUUCUUUCCCUGCUAAACAAUUUGUGCUUGGUUACGAUUCCAAACCAAUGUUUUACAACAGUUGGAUGUCAGAAUUAGACUUUGUAUUCGGGAUAGCUUGUUCCGGCUGGCUCAAAGUGCAAUGCAAAGGCAUCAUGCUAGUGAUACUGGCAGUACAAACAAUAGCAGGGACGAACAAGUUGCUGCAAAAGAGGAAAUCAGCAGUCAAAGAAGGUUGGUUAAGGCAAUGCAUUUCUCAUGCUUCUGUUUUCAAAUUUAAUCUAUCCUCUUUUUUUUUUGUAACAUUUUUGCUCUAUGGAAAUGUUAAAUUAGGAUCUUUUAAUGCCAUCACCAUUUUCUGUUUUCCAUUCUCAUUCUAGAAAUAAAUAUUGAAAACGGUAUCCUCUAUUUACAAUGGAGGAAUAGUGACUGAAACAAUUCAAUUAAGGCAGCGCUUGUUCUUAGAAGUAGAAGAAAAUCUAAACAGAAAAUUUUAGGUUCCUCUUUCACUGGAUUUCCUUAAAAACUUGACUGAAUUUGACCUUGUUGAUCAAAUAUGUAGUAGUUCGCUUCCACUGGUUCUGUUAUGAUUGUGAGUGCUGGUCAUCAUGUCUUGAUUUAGUUGAAAGAAGCUUUGGUAUUGUAGGCCAACCUAGGUAGAGGCAGAUAUUAAACUGACAUUUGUAGCUUUACCCUGGUGCAGCAUUCAUGAGUGCAGUGCAGCAAGUAGUCAUGAGGUGACAAUUCAAAUAGCAUAAUAUUUUGUAGAGAUUUUCAUUUAAUUAGAAAAGGAAAUUUAAUUUUUCCAAUAUUAACAAAAUCUAUGCAAGUUUUCUGCAAUGUUGAUUCCAGUGAAUUUGUGCAUAAUCACCUUAAUCCGAAAAGAAGAGCUAAACACACACAUCCAAGUCUAAAUGAGUGGCACAACAUGCAUGAUAAAUUUUACUAGAUUUAACUAAGAGAGAGAAACAAAGAUUGUUCAACAAGUGCAAUAAGUUUAUUCAAAGACAAAUAGAAGGAAAACAAGAUCUGUACAAAUUCACUGGAAUCAUCAAUGCAGAGAACUUGCACAACUUUAGAUAAACAGGGAAAAAUUAAAUUUCCCUUCUAAUUUAAUGAUCAUCUGCAGAUUAAUGAUACAUUACAUUUUAAGCAAGAAAUUUAAGAACUCAAAUCAUCUUCUAAUCAGCUCAUCAAUGUCUAAAUGGGACACUUCCAGCCAAAACCAUAAGCUGUUUUGAUCUGAAACUCGAUUUUUUGUUGUAAGCGACAAUGUGAUUGUUUCUUGUUCCAAUGGGUUUGUUCCUUUACAUCUCGUCCUUCCCAUUUCAAAUCAUUCAAUUUGUUUGCACAAAAUUAUUAAUCAAGUCUUUAUCAAUUUGUUUAGAGUAUGGCAAUCUCAAACUUGCCUGUCAUUUUCCUCAUGGAUUUUAUGAGUAUACUGCAGGGUGGUUAAGAUGCCUGAGGUGGAAACAGAGACCAAUCCCGUAGACCGGACUGUGGCUCAUUUGCUGUUUCAUAGACCGAUGGAUAUUCCUGGGAAGCAUCCUGAUACACCUGAAUCACCUUUUUCAACUAAGCUCCCUUGUGAGCACAAUGUUAAUGGUAAUAAGACAGAUGCUCAUGGAAACAAUUCAACUGCAGCUGUAAGCCAGCAACGUGGAAACCAACAUGGAAACGAAUCAGCCCUCAUGGAAACAAAUCAACUGCAGCAGUCAGCCAGCAACAUGGAAACAAAUCAAAGAGACGUUGGCUAAUUAGAAUCACCAGCAACAAUGGAAACAAACCAACUCUCAUGGUAACAAAACACAAACAGAAAGAGACGUUGGCUUGUUAUGAAAAUAAAUCAACAGCAGCAGCAAUGAAGUUUAUGACAGGAACCAGAAAGAGAAAGAGACGUUGGAUUGUUAUAGAAAUAGAUCAGCUAAGAAUUAGGCAAGUCAAUGUAUCCAAAUUAAGCAACUUGUAAUGUUCUAAAAAACAACAGCUCGUAUAGAAUGGCAAGUAGUAUAUUCACGUUAAUAUUCAAAGAAACAGAGAAACCUUUCUUCCAUUGAAACAUUCUUAUCUUUCUUCAAAUUUCCGCUUGGUAUCAGAGCCUGUGUGAAUAUACAUCUUAGCAGAACCACACAACAUGUGAACUCUGUCACUCAAUGUUGGUAAUUUCAUUACCCUCAAGCUCAGCCCCACAAAUUAUCCACUAUGGAGAGAACAAGCCUUAGCUCUUGCAAAAAGUCAAGACUUGGUUGAUCAUCUCAUCAAUGAAGAUUCAAUCCCAAACAAAUAUAUUGUACCAGAUUCUACUACCACCACAGAUUCUUCACCAAGACUAACAGAAGAAUAUAUUGUCUGGAGGAAGGCAGAUUGACUACUUCGUGGCUGGUUGAUUGGUACUCUUUCAGAACAUACAUUAGGCCUUGCAGUAGGCCUAGACACAGCCUUUGUUGUCUGGAGUGCUCUAAAGAAUGAAUAUGCAGAGGACUCCCAAGAACGAGAAUUCACCCUCAGACAACAAGUCACCUAUUUUCUCAAAGAAGAUAACAGAACCAUUGGAGAACACAUUCGAAUCUUCAAAGGACUAUGCGAUGACCUUGCAGCUAUCGGGAAACCAAUUUCAGAUAAAGAAAAAAUCUUUUGCCUCCUCACAAGUCUCGGCCCUCAAUAUGAAACCUUCACUACCACAAUGCUGAAACCACCAAGACCUUCUUACCCGGAGUUGGUCUCUCAAUUACAGAGCUUAGACCAAAGAAGAAACUGGUUCACCAAUCAGACAAAUAACUCAUCCUCAGCUGGCAUUCUACGGGCAAAAGCACCAGCGCCCUCAACAUCAUUUUUCAGGAAACCAUGGCAGCAGACAAGGCUUUAUAUCUACCGGGAGAGGAUUCCAUGCACAACAACCUAAAGAUAAAACUCAUACUUACACUGCCAGAUCCCUUCAGAUUCAAAACAGAAACGACCUCCUCCAUCUGGAGAGCAUCGCAAUGACUCCUGCAGAACGUGAGCUAUACAGAGAAGAAACCUGCCAGUACUGUGGUGUUCCAGGUCAUAUUGCAAAGAUAUGUUGGUGGGUGCCUAAACGAUCAAAUCAACACGGAGACCUACCACAAGCUUUGGCUGCUCUCACCUUGGACAAUACUAUCACUGAAACGGAAUGGAUCUCUGAUACAGGAGCUUCCAACCACAUGACAGGUAAUCCAGGUAUGUUAAAAAAUAUUCGCAAUCACUAUGGUUCGGACUCUGUUCUUAUUGGUGACGGUUCUUCUAUAUCAAUACAUGGUAUUAGAGAUUCCUCCAUCACAUAGGAAAAUAAAAUACUGCCACUUAAUGAUGUAUUGUUAGUACCCGACUUGAAAAAAAAAUUACUCUCUGUAAGUCAGUUAACAUCUCAAUUUCCUGUUAAUUGUGAAUUCUCUGACGUUGAUUUCUGUAUUAAGGAACGACAGACAGGACAACCCGUGAUCACAGGAUGGCGCAAGGGUGACCUCUAUGCUCUAUCCACUAUGCCUGAGCUCUACUUUUCUAAUCGUUUCAGAUCAGGACCAGCAGAUAUUUGGCAUCAACGCCUAGGACAUCCACAUUUUUCUGCUUUACAAUUAUUGCACAAUAAAAGUUUGAUAGAUGUUAAAGGAACCACAAAAUGUGAACAUGUUUGUGACAGUUGUCAAUUUGGAAAACUUAGUCGAUUACCUUUUUUUCGUUCUGAACAUUCUAGUUCUGGUAUUUUUGAAAAAAUCCAUUGUGAUUUAUGGGGACCUGCUCCUGUUUUAUCAAUAGGAAAGUUCAGAUAUUAUGCGUGUUUAGUAGAUGAUUUUUCUAAAUACACUUGGAUAAUCCCAUUACUACAUAAGUCUGACUUUGCUGAUGCUUAUUUUGCCUUUGAGCAUUAUGUUACUCGACAAUUUAACAAGCAUAUCAAGGUCUUUCACUCUGAUGGAGGGGAGAGUUCAUAAAUUCCAAACUAUCAUCACACUUCCUCUCAACAGGAGUGGUUCAUCAGAUAUAUGUCCUUAUACACCUGAACAAACAGGUAUAGUAGAAAGAAGACAUCGAGUAAUACGAGAACUAGGUAUGACCAUGUAUUUCAUAGUGGUGUUCCUUUAUCUUUAUGGGUUGAAGCUUUCACUACUGCUGUUUAUCUUAUGAAUAGAUUGCCUUCUUCCGCACUUAAAUUUGAAUCUCCAUAUUUCAUGUUACAUGGUAAUCAUCCUACAUACUCAUCUCUUAGAGUCUUUGGGUCUAAAUGCUUUCCCUACACAUGGGAUACAAAACAAAAUAAAUUUGACCCAAAAACAGUUCUAUGCAUUUUUGUAGGAUAUAGUGAUAAACAUAAAGGAUACAAAUGCUUUCACCCUUCUAGUAAAAAAAUGAUUAUUUCUCGUCAUGUAGUCUUCGAUGAGUCAUUUUUUCCUUAUAAACAAAAAAUUCAGAACUACAUCACUCCAUCUCCUGCACAUGUUAUGAGCAUUUUUGAUUCAUGGCUGCCACCUACUAUCUCUAACUCUGCUGCAGAAAUACAACCCCCAAUGUCCACUCCACCAUGCUCAAGCUCAUCACUAAACACUUUACCAUUUUCUCUUAAUUUACCUGAUGUUUAUGCAGAACAACAUGCUAGUGCCGUUGAAAUUGCAGAACACCACAAUGCCGAUGGAUUGGCAGAGCAAGUCACUAUACCAUCUUGUCUCAAUUUACAUGAUGAUGUUAUUACUAAUACAAUUGCAGAGCAGCAGGACAAUGUUGAUGUAGUAGCCGAAACACAACAAGAAGAACACAACCAUGCUGUUGGAGUGGGAGAACACAGCAAUGGCGUUGGAAUGUCAGAAAAAGUAAUGUACCAUCUUCUCUUAAUUUACAUGCUGAUUAUGUUAUCACUAAUACAGUUGCUGAAACAGUAGCCGAUACACAACAGGAAGAACACAACAAUGUUGUUGGAAUGGCAGAGCAGCACCUUAGAACUGAUAAUAUAACUGAAAUACAUUUGGUAGAAUCUGACCAUGAAGAUGAAAUGCAUCGACAACACCUCUCUCACUCACAACCCAAUCCUGCUUCUCUGGAAUCAGACUUGCAGCUUGUUUAUUCUCCACGUGCAACCCCUCCUUCACAUACCAUGGUUACUAGAUCACAAAGAGGCAUCCUUAAGCCUAAUCCAAAAUAUGCCUUAAUAUCCUCUAGGACUUCAGCAACCAUUCCACGUGAGCCUUCUAACUUUCGGUCUGCAUUAGCUCACCCUGGCUGGAAAGCUGUAAUGGACGAGGAACUUGAAGCUCUCCAUAGAAAUCAGACUUGGGAACUUGUCCCUCGCACACCUUGUUGUAACCCAUUUUUGGGUCCCCACAUAUAAAAUAAUAAAAUACAAAAAAAUUUAAAAAAAUAUAUUACAAAAAAAAUAUAACAGUGAAAAAUGCCAGAGCGCCAUAAACAUGCUAAAAACAUUGUUUGAGGAUUUUCAAAAAUAUAAAAAUUAUUUUUUGACAGUAUAUCAUUAACUGAUGAGAGCCCUGAUGAUAAGGAAAAUUCAAUGAAAAAUGCAAAAUCAGAAGUUUAUGGACUCAAUUAAAUUUUAUUGAAGGUUUAAUUGAAUUUAUGGAGAUUUUAAUUGCAAGAAAAAUUGAUUUUGGAGUUAAUUUGGGCUUUAAUUAGGAGAAAUUAAUUUUCUGGGGUCAAAUUAUAAUUUUUGGAAGUUAAUUUGGUCAAAUCAGGGGCUUAAUUGCAUAAAUUAUUGAAGUUUAUGGCCAAUUAGGGACUUAAUUGAAGAAAUCCGAGACCAAGGACUACAUUGUAAAACGCGCGACAAUGGAGGGCCGAAAUUUGAAUCUGAUGCUUUUGCGCCUUUUCCUAUUAAAUGAAACGGCGCGUUUGACCAAAACGGCGCCGUUUCAUUCACUGUAGCAAAAAAAAAAAAAAAAGAAGCCCAAAACAGUGAUGUUUUGACGGCACUGUAGCUCUUCUUCCCCUGGACACACGAGGCAGGGGAAGAAGAUUUUUUCUUCCCCUUUUCGCCUAAUUACUUUCCUUCCUUUUGCUCAAAAAGACGCCGAAACAAGGACACCACUUGCCGACCACUUUCCACGUGUUGGACGGGCGGCAGCACACCGGCCACCACCAUGACGUCCCCCCCCCUGUUUUUCGCCUAUAAAAACAGGGGAGGAAGAGGAAAAAAAAGGACGAAGAGAGAAGGGAGAGAAGAGAAGAAGAGAAGAGAAGAAGAGGGAGAGAGAAGAAGAAGCAGAGAAGAAAAGAAGAAAAACAGAAAGAGAGAGAGAGAGAGAGAGAGAGAAGAACCACCGCCGGCCUCCGCCACCAUCGCCUCCGCUGCCACCAGCAGCACCGCCACGACGCCACCGCAGGUAACCUCUGCCCCGUCUCCUUCUCCUUUGCCUGCCUCCUUUUUUCAUGCAGAACGUGAAUUAAUUCACGUUCUGCACUGAAGAGGCUGGUUACUGUGCUUAUGCACAGUAACCAGCCCAUUUAGUUGGGCCGGUUCGGCCCAGCCCACUGAAUGGGCCGGGUCCGGCCCAUUUCAAUUUUUAUUUUUAUUUUUAUUUUUUAGAAUUUUUACAAUUUUUCCAGCACAUGUUUUUAUCAAUUUUGCUUAAUAUCGGUCUAUAUUUUACAUCGUAAAAAAUAUAAAUUCGGUAUUAAAAUACCCGAUUUUCGGUACUAUUCAUACGGUACUGUUCACACAUGCAAAAAAAAAAAAUCAAAAAUAUUUGUUUCAGCAUUUUAUAAUUUUUCCGCGUAGUUUUUAUGUCAUUUUGAUUAAUAUCGGGCAGUAUUUUACAUCGUAAAAAUAUAAAUCCGGUAUUAAAAUACCCGGUUUUCGGCAAAAACUUCCAAAAAUAAUAAAAAAAUUAAUUAAAAAAAAGAUAAAAAAAUGUUUUUGUGCAUACGGCCAAGUGUCUCAAAUCUAAAAAAUCAUAUCGUAUUUUUCAUAUGUCAAAAAACAAUAUUUUAGCAUGCAUUUUGGCUUUAAUAACCAGUUUAUUAAAGUCAAGAGAACAUUGGCCAAAAUCUCAAAAACAACAAAAUAUUUUAUUUUGUUUGAUUUUAGUAUCAGGGAUUAUGAAUUUAUACGUAAAUCGUAUUCCUGAUAUUAAAAAGAUAUUUUCUUUUGACGACUUCGAAUAGUUAGUUUUUUACCCGAUAAAGAUAAGGAUCUCCUUACAGAGGAGGACUUUUCUUAAACCGUAAACGAACCAACAAUUCAAAAAACCACAACACGAUUUUAGAUUUUAUCAGACAUUAAAACAAUGCAGCCUACCUUAGGUAGGGCGUAGUUGGGGUGCUAAUACCUUCCCUUUACGCAACCAGUCUCCGUACCCGAUCUCUAAAGACCAGUUAAGGUUCCUAGUAACCAGAAUACUAGGUGGCGACUCCUAGUCCAUAUUUUCACUUGUAGAGACAAGAAUUCCUUGUCUCUCCCUAUUUUAUUUUCAAGGAAUAAAUUAUUCCGAUUUUUCCUUGAGGGUGGACGAUCGCCGCGCCGCCGCACACGUGCGACACACCUGUCAUGCAUGUUAUUGGGUCUAAAUGGGUUCUAAAAACAAAACUCAAACCUGAUGGUUCAUUAGACCGCUUGAAAGCUCGAUUAGUAGCAAAGGGGUAUCACCAAGUUGAUGGAUUGGACUAUACUGAGACUUACUCUCCAGUUAUCAAAACAUGAACUAUUCGUAUGGUUCUCUCCAUAGCACUAGUUAACAAAUGGUCCAUACGUCAACUUGACGUGAAAAAUGCCUUCCUGCAUGGUUUUGUUUCAGAAGACAUAUAUAUGGAACAACCUCCAGGAACAACUGAUCCACGGUACCCAUCACAUGUGUGCAAGCUCAAAAAAGCUCUUUAUGGUCUCAAACAAGCACCCCGUGCCUGGUUUGAUCAGUUUAGUAUCUUCCUUCUUAAAUAUGGGUUUUUUUGUAGUCUUGCAGAUCCAUCACUUUUUAUUUUUCACUCUAACUCUGAUACUUUAAUCCUUCUUCUUUAUGUUGAUGAUAUACUCCUCACAAGAUCCUCUGUUCCUCUGGUUACGCACCUGAUUCAAUUGUUGAGCUCAGAAUUUGCAAUGAAAGAUUUAGGACCCAUUCAUCAUUUUCUUGGCAUUGAAAUUACUCACACCUCUGAAGGACUCCAUCUCUCUCAAUCACACUAUGCGAUGACAAUCCUGGAACAAGCUGGUAUGGUGGACUGUAAACCAAUGAGCACACCGCUUGAAGCCAAGACAAAAAUGGCAGCAACUGAUACACUAUUGCAAGAUCCACAAUUUUUUCGUGGGCUUGUUGGUGCUUUACAAUAUCUCACACUCACAAGACCUGAUAUCUCUUACAGUGUCAAUUUUAUCUCUCAAUUCAUGCAUGCUCCAACUGUUAUACAUUUCAAAAUGGUUCAUCGUAUUUUAAGAUAUGUCAAAGGCACAAUUGACACUGGAUUAAAUUUUACUUCCCAUUCUACACUUGAUCUUUGUGCUUUCUCAGAUGCAGAUUGGGGAGGUUGCUCUACAACAAGACACUCCAUAACUGGAUACUGCACAUUCCUUGGUAGCAAUCUCAUUUCCUGGUGUGCAAAGAAACAACCCACUGUCUCUCGUUCCAGCACCGAGGCCGAAUAUAGAGCUAUGGCUAACACAACGGCAGAGCUUACAUGGCUAACCUUCAUUCUACAAGAUCUUCACAUAUCACCUUCUUCACCACCUAUCCUCUACUGUGACAAUCUCAGUGCCUUACACAUGACUGUCAAUCCUGUGUUUCAUGCUCGUAGCAAACACAUUGAAUUGGAUUACCACUUUGUGCGUGAGCGUGUUGCCCUUGGUCUUCUCAUCACUCAGCACAUCUCCACCCAUGAACAAAUAGCUGACAUCUUCACCAAACCCAUGUCCAAAGGUGCAUUGGCUUACUUCAAAGACAAACUAUGCCUCCGACUCCGGCCUAGUUUGAGGGAGGAUGUUAAUGGUAAUAACACAGAUGCUCAUGGAAACAAUUCAACUCCAGCUGUAAGCCAGCAACGUGGAAACCAACAUGGAAACGAAUCAGCCCUCAUGGAAACAAAUCAACUACAGCAGUCAGCCAGCAACAUGGAAACAAAUCAAAGAGACGUUGGCUAAUUAGAAUCACCAGCAACAAUGGAAACAAACCAACUCUCAUGGUAACAAAACACAAACAGAAAGAGACGUUGGCUUGUUAUGAAAAUAAAUCAACAGCAGCAGCAAUGAAGUUUAUGACAGGAACCAGAAAGAGAAAGAGACGUUGGAUUGUUAUAGAAAUAGAUCAGCUAAGAAUUAGGCAAGUCAAUGUAUCCAAAUUAAGCAACUUGUAAUGUUCUAAAAAACAACAGCUCGUAUAGAAUGGCAAGUAGUAUAUUCACGUUAAUAUUCAAAGAAACAGAGAAACCUUUCUUCCAUUGAAACAUUCUUAUCUUUCUUCAAAUUUCCGCUCACAAGACAAUGGGCCUAGCAAAGCUGUCAACGGCAAGCCUGCCUGAGACUCCAAAAAGUAAACCAAACUUUUCGCAAAAGGGGUCUCAACUUUCUAGUCUCUUGACCAAUGCUCAGCCUGUCAGUCAGUGUAAAAGCAAUCCUUGCUUCAACGCUUAAGAGGAUGCAUCAAACAAUGGGCCUGCAGAUGAAGGAGCUAGGGAGGUUAAAGCCUCUCAAUGAAGACAAGGGUAAUUCCUACCUGAAUCUCUUCCAUGCAUGCAUUAUGCUUGCAAUGGUGAUUAUAUCGAUUUACUGGUAAUGCCAAGGUUUUCUUUUAUUGUCAGCUCACUGGAUCAUCACCAAAUGAGGGUCAUGAGGAAUAAACACCAGUAUUGAUGGGGAUUUGUAAAUGUCUUUAGCAGCGUAACUAUCAAGAAGUCGCAUUUGUGCAUUCUGGAAGUAUUAAUGUUGUUAAUAUAGCUACAUAUCUACUACAACAUUGAACUCUUUGCUGUGAGUUCUCGAGAUGAUGACUUUCUGUGCUUUAAUCCUUUCUGUUGAUUGUGCGAAAGGGUGAUGCUCCAAUAAUUAUUAGUAGAUUUGCAAGUGCAUGCUCUCUUGAGUGACACUGGCCACUUUCACUUGAUUCUAAAUUGUGAUUCCAAUACGGAUGAAUAUUAUAUUAUCUCCUCUUUUUGUAUCUGCUUCUUUUAUGAAAGUUAACUUCAAGAAUAACCCUGUGCACCAUAAAAUAAAUUUGACUGGAAAAAGCCUUACCUGCACUCCAAAAUUGUUUUUUAACUUCAGCUUUAUAUGGAAUAAAUUUUUUUUAAUCAAAGUUAAAUAAUAAUAAAAAAAAGAUAAAUUAAAAGUUUUUGGAUUUUGAAUUUUUGAAGAAGGCGAAUGGAUUAGAGAAAGAGAUGGAGAAAAAAAUUUGAAUUUUUGAAGAUGCAGAAAAGGAGAGAACGGAGAUUUUAUAUAAUUAAGGCUUUAAUUUAUAUUUUGAAUCAGUUGCAGAUUUGAUUUUGCCACGUCAACAAUGAAAAAUCCGUUGCAGAUUACUUAAAUAAUUUAAUAUUUUUUUAAUCCUUUUUAGCAAUGGAUUUGCUAUUACUAAAUUCAAAAUCUGAAGCAUGUGAUGAUCCAAAUGUUGGGGAUUCCGCCCGGUGAUGUUCUAAUAUUUGCUCAUUGGAAGCUAAACACACUGACAUAAUAUUUAACGUGGUUCGACAAAUCGCCUACAUCCACGAGAGAUGUUCAUUUUAUUAAAGAUAGAGAAAGGAUAAAAUAAAUACAUGGAGGAGGAGGAUUACAUCCACUCCAACUCAACUCACUGCUCAUACACUCUGCUGCAUAUGGCAGCAGCUCCUCUUUCUCUCUUCUUCUCUUCUCUUCACUCUCUCACGUUAUCCCUCACUCUCUCAUUGCUCUCAAAUAAUUAUUCAUGGUCAACAUGGAGGGGCCAAUAAUGCCUUAAAACAUGCCACUAAUUGUGGCACUAGUGGUGCUUCCACUUGCUUGGUGGUGGGGUAUUGCCAUUAAAUGGCAAUAUCCUAACACCAAAGGUAUUGAAUUUAAUAUUUCACUGAGCAUGUCUUUAUUCGCAGCAGAAUUACAGGAUAGAGGAACAAUAGUAGGAUUUGAAUUUGGAUUCAAAGGAAAGAAGCCAAAGGUAUUGAAAUGACCUUUAAAUUGUUUAAAUUGUCCAGUGAAACCCCAGAGAAUGACACCUCAGGAAAAGAUUGAAAAAUUAAGGAGGCGGCAACAAAUUCAGGCAAUGCUUGCCAUUCAGAAACAGCAGCAGCAGCUCCUAUUAAUCAUUCUCCCUGUCUUGUUUAAACUGUUAUUGUUUUUUUAAGAAGCAAUUUAUGUAACGAAUUUGAACCAAAAUCCAGUGAAAAUUACUUUGUUCUAACCACAAAUGUUAGAAUGAGAAAAGUACAAUACUAAUCAAAUCAACUUUAAAAUUUAAUUAUAGCAAAAAAGAUAUUGAAAUAGAAUGAUGAUUAUUUAUGUUGUAUAUGAAGAGGAAUGAGAGACAAUAGGAAGAAAAUAUAUGUAUUUCAUUCAUCCAAACUUAUGAGCCGCUCACGCUUGUAGAAGGAAAUUUGGAUCAGAAUCCUGCAAAGAAACAAUGGAGGAUUUAGACCAAGAGCAUGAAAAGGAUACGUAAAAUACACAAAUAGCUACGUAAUGAUAUUUGAAAAACCUGUUGGUUUGCAUGCAAAGCAAUCUUGUUUUGUGAAACUAUGGUGCUCCACUCUGCAAUGGGCAAUUGGUGAUACUGACAUGAAAAUUUUAUCCUGUGCAUAUUGUUCUGGCAAGAAGGAAGGCUGACAAACCCUUCAUGAACUGUAAGUGGAAAGUUGGAUUUGGAUCCUGCCUUAAAAAAAGCAUAGAAUUAAUAGUGGAACAUGACAAAUUUUAACUGAAAUUGCCUUUGAUUACUGAAAAGAAAAUAAACUAUUUAGUAGCAAUACCUCAAUAUAUUUAGUAGAAAAUAAACUAUUUAGUAGCAAUACCUCAAUAUAUUUAGUAGAAAAUAAACUAUUUAGUAGCUCCUUUUAACUGCUACUCUUUUGCUCCGCUGAUGUUGGGAAAAUAACUACGUGAGGAAUGUGAGAAAUCUUGGGCCAAUAUUUACCUUUCUCCCUUUCACAACUUUUUCACCCAGCAUAGGACAAUUGUUAAUUACAAGAGAAGAAAGGGAGGAGGGCAACCCUUCUUCUGGCAUGGACUCAAGCAUAGGGCAGCGAAAUAUCACCAAUUCUGUAAGAGAGGUGAGGUGUUGAAGUCCCUUGUAGUCAAGAUAUUUCAGGUGUUCUAGGGAAUAGAUUGUAAGAGAUGUAAGACUUGAAGGCAGAAGCAUCUCUUCAGGGAAGGAUUCAAUAUUUUCGUGGCCACCAAUUGUAAAGUGUGAAAGUGAAGGGAGCGUUUGCAAACCCCAUUGCAUGCGGCCUGCAAUGAGUUUGUUGCAUUUCCAAAUCUCAAGUGAUUGUAAUUUGGAGGGAAAACCCCCUUCUGGACACAACUCAAGUUCUAAACAAUCACUUAUUAGCAAAUGGUUAAGGGAUGGGAGGAGGGAAUGCAUGCUCUCAGGCAACCGCUUCAAGUUUCUGCAAUGUCGUAACGUAAGUUGUGUUAAGACUGGAGCAGGUAAUCCUCCUUUGGGAAAUGAAACUAAUUUAGGGCACUGCUCGAUUUCCAAAGAAUGAAGAGAUUUAAGCUCAUUGAGAGGUCUUUCAUGUGCACAGAGUGAUCCGAGAUCUGGACAGUUAAAGAUAGAAAGAGAAUUUAGCUUGGGGAAAAAGUCCAGUGGGAUGCAUUUGAGAGAAGCUGAUGGAAAUAAGUUAAGCUUAAACAAUACAGUUUACGUAAAGAAAAAGAAACAGAUUUAAGAUGGCAGAGUUGAGUAGAAAGAUCAAUAUAUUUCAUUAACUUCAAAUGCCUAUAGGCUUACAUAGAACUUGAAAUGCAUUAGAACUCUCAACAAACUUGAGAGAUUAUUGGAAUUGAAAUCCUAGACUAAGCAGAAUGUUUCUGCUGCAAAUCCUGAAAGAGAUAAACUAUUACAGAAUUCAAAUAUUAAAAAUUGAUCUUAAUUCUAUCUAUCUAAAGGCAAAAUCUCAUAAUUCUAACACUCCUCCUUGAGACUUGCCUUAGACAAACCAAGUUUCAUCCUUAGAAAUUCCAGUCUUGAUCUAGGAAGAGCUUUAGUUAUUAUAUCAGCAAGUUGAACAUCUGUUGGACAGUAGUGUAGCUUUAUAAGCUUGUUCUUCUCAACUUCUCUUAUAGAAUGAAACUUCACAUUGAUGUGCUUGGUUCUGCCAUGUUGAACCGGAUUUAGAGCAAUAGCAAUGGCAGAUUUAUUGUCACAAUGAAUCUCAGUUUGUGAGCUUUGUUCUUGACCCAAAUCAGCAAGCAAUUUGUUCAACCAAAUUGCUUGAUUUGCAGCAGCUGCCAUGGAGAUAUACUCUGCUUCAACUGUUGAUUGUGCCACCACCUCCUGCUUCUUUGCAUUCCAACAGAUUGCACCUGAACCAAUAUUAAAAACAUAUCCAGAGGUGCUCUUCAUGUCAUCAACACUCCCUGCCCAGUCACUGUCUGCAUAACCAAUCAGAUUUACUCCUCCUGUCUUCAAGUACCAGAUGCCAAGAUCAGUUGUUCCUCUGAUGUACUUCAACACUCUUUUAGCAAUUCCCAUGUGAAUGUUGCUAGGUGAGCUCAUAAACCUUGACAGCAAACCAGCUGGAAACAUUAAGUCAGGUCUAGUUGCUGUCAAGUAUAGCAAACUGCCCACUAGGCUUCUAAAUCCAGAGGGAUCUUCAAGUUUCUCACCAUCAUUCUUUGAAACUUUCUCAUUUUGUGCUAAAGGAGUUGCUACUUCUUUGCAUGACUCAAGCUUGAACUUCUUGAGUAUAUCAACAACAUACUUCCUUUGUGAAACAAAAAUACCCGAACUACAUUGAUGUAUUUCCAUUCCAAGAAAGUAGUUCAUAAUGCCAAGAUCAGACAUUUCAAAAACAUCUUGCAUUUCAGUUUUGAACUCUUCCAGCAACUUUGCAUUGCUUCCAGUAACUAGCAUGUCAUCUACAUAGAGUGAUAUCACCAGCUGCAAACCAUCUUCAUCUUGUUUCAGAUAUAGGGUAGCUUCAUUUUCACUUCUUUUGAAUCCUAGUUGAAUCAAAUGAGUAUCAAUCCUGCUGUACCAAGCCCUUGGUGCUUGCUUCAAACCAUAAAGAGCUUUGUGUAGCUUGUAAACUUUGUGUUCAUCACCAAUAACAACAAAGCCUUCUGGUUGCUGAACAUAAAUUUCCUCAAGUAGUAUUCCAUUUAGAAAAGCAGACUUCACAUCUAAAUGAUAAACUUUCCAUCCUUUUUGUCCCGCAAGAGCAAGUAGGAGUCUUAUAGUGUCAUGCCUAGCUACUGGUGCGAAAGUAUCUCCAUAAUCCACUCCAGCAACUUGAGCAAAACCUUUAACAACCAAUCUAGCCUUGUGUUUGAAGAUUGAACCAUCUGGAUUGAAUUUGGUUCUGAAAACCCACUUCACUCCAAUUGCCUUUUUAUCUCUAUGAAUUUCAGUCAAUCUCCAAGUCCCAUUUCUUUCAAUGGAAUCAAUUUCUGAUUUCAUUGCUUCAAUCCAAGCUGGAUCUCCUGCAGCUUCAGAGUAAUUUGUAGGCUCAGCAUGUACAAGGUUACAUCUUUCAUACACAUCAGACAAUUGUCUAACCUUUAGUACUGUUGUAUCUGAAGUUGCUUCAAUGGCUUGUUGAUCUUCAUCAUCAAUACUUUGUACUGGUGAUUCAAAGGCAGCUGUGAUAGUCUGUUGAACUUCUUUUAAGUCCCAAUUCCAGCAGGCAUUUUCAUCAAAUUGCACAUCUCUGCUGACCUGAAUUUUGGCUGAAUUCAGAUUGAAAACUCUGUAACCUUUUGAUUCUGUUGCAUAUCCCACAAGAAUCCCUUUUUCUGCUCUAGCAUCCAGUUUUCCUCUUUUGGCAGAUGGAACAUGAAAAUAGCACAAUGAUCCAAACACUUUUAAAUGUUUGGCAGUAGGCCGGACUCCAGACCAUGCCUCCAAUGGUGUUUUGUUUUGAACAGACUUGGUUGGAAGUCUAUUAAGCAAGUAUACUGAAGUAUUUACUGCUUCAGCCCAUAGAAACCUUGGCAACUUCUUUUCAAACAAUAUACAUCUGGACAUCUCCAUCACUGUUCUAUUCUUCCUUUCAGAAACUCCAUUCUGCUGUGGAGAGUAAGGAGUCGUCAGCUGGUGCACAAUUCCAGCUUCUGAACAAAAGGCAUUAAACUUCUUCGAAAUAUACUCUCCACCAUUAUCAGUUCUCAACACUUUGAUCUUCUGACCACUUUGAGUUUCAGCCAUGCUUUUGAAGUUUUUGAACAUAGAUAAAGCUUGUGACUUGUUUUUCAGAAAAUAAACCCAAGUCAUUCUGCUGUAGUCAUCAAUGAAUAAUAUAAAAUACACAUUAUUAUUCAAAGAAGCUGUGCUCAUAGGUCCACAUAUGUCUGAGUGAACCAGCUCCAGCAUGUGUGUUGCCCUUUUGGAUAUACCUUUAGGAAAUGGUUGUCGAUGCUGCUUUCCCAGUUCACAACUUCCACAUGUAUGAGCAGUAACAUGUAUUGCAGACAUGUUUUCUACCAUUCCAGUAUCAUAGCAACUUUAAUGAAUUAAGAUUGUAAUGACCGAAUCUUUUGUGCCAAAGAAUGCUUUCAUCAAUCUUUGCACUAAACACAUGUCCAUUAACAGCAUCAAGCUUCAAAUAGAAGCUAUUACCAUCCAUUUUGAUUUUUGCUAUCUCUGAAUUAUGUGUAUCAGUGAUAAAGCAAAAUUUCUCUUUAAAAGAGACUUCAUAACCAUUCUUGAGCAUUUGUGCAACACUAAGGAGAUUCUGAUCUAGUUCAGGAAUGUAAAGAACAUUUGUGAUGGUUUUAAUACCUCUAUUUGUGCUGACUGCAACAGUUCCUUUCCCCUUAGCUUGCACAAUAUCUCCAUUUCCCAGCUUAAUCUUCGGUUGAACUGAUCUGUCAAUAGAGGAGAAAAUUGACAGAAAUUUGGACAUGUGACUUGUGCAGCCACUGUCUAUAAGCCAUGUAUUCAGUUCAGAGGUAUUGCUAGCUUGUGUUGCCAUAAACAAAUGCUCCUCCUCAUCUUUGCUUUCUUCAGAAACAUUUGCUUGUUGUUGUAUUUGUUGCUGAGGUUGCUUCUUCUUGAUUCUGCAAUAUUUCUCACUGUGACCGAGAUUAUUACAGAAUAAACAUUGAAGAGAAGGUUUCCCCUUAAACCAGCAAUCUUUCUCAGUAUGGUUAGUUCUUCUGCAAUAAGAACAUGGUGAGAAAGUCUGUCUUUUUGAAGGUAUACUUGAUUUCCUUUUAGCAUACUUGACAGGUUUGUUUCUUGGUAGAUUACCAGCACUCCUUUCCCUGUUGUUUGCUUGGAAAGCCCCUUCAACUGCCUCAUCAUCUCUCAUAUGAACUCUUUGCUCCUGAAUAUGAAGUUUGCUAAUUAACUCAGCAAUAGUCAGACUUUGCAGAUCGCAAGAUUCUUCUAUUGCUGAGAUUUUAGCUUCAAACUUUUGAGGAACAGACAUCAUAAGUUUUUCUACUACCUUAUGAUCUUCAAAUGUGUUUCCAAGAAGCCUCAUUUGAUUUACAACAUCCAUUAAUCUGCCAGAAUAAUCUUUGACAGAUUCAUUGUCUUUCAUCUUCAUCAACUCAAAUUCCCUCUUAAAUGCAAGAAGUUUAACUGCUUUGACUCUGCUGCUGCCUUCAAAUUCAACUUGAAGCUUAUCCCAUACCUGUUUUGGUGUUUCCAGAUUCAUAUUUUUUGAAAAUAUGAUCUGCAAGACCAGAAUGAAGACAGGUAAUGGCUUUGUCCUUCUUGAGUUUUUCUUCUUCAUGUGCUUUCAUUUGAGCAAUUGUAGGAUUUGCAUUCAAUGGUGGAGGAUCAGAAUCGGUUGCCACAACAUUCCAUAAGCCAUGAGAUCUUAGAUAAAAUCUCAUUUUGACAGCCCAAAUAUGAUAGAGUUCUCCACUAAACAUUGGAAUUGCAGAUACAAUAUUGUUUGAAGAAGACAUUGAUAAAAACCAGAAAGAAAAUAACUCUCAAGUGUUUCGCUCACUCUCUCUGUGUUUUCCUCACCUUCUCUUAUUGUUAUCACUCAAAAGAAAGAAAAAAAUGUUUGCCCCACAGCCCGUAGGAUCUAUAUGCUCUGAUACCACUGAUGGAAAUAAGUUAAACUUAAACAAUACAGUUUACGUAAAGAAAAAGAAACAGAUUUAAGAUGGCAGAGUUGAGUAGAAAGAUCAAUAUAUUUCAUUAACUUCAAAUGCCUAUAUAUAGGCUUACAUAGAACUUGAAAUGCAUUAGAACUCUCAAUAAACUUGAGAGAUUAUUGGAAUUGAAAUCCUAGACUAAGCAGAAUGUUUCUACUGCAAAUCCUGAAAGAGAUAAACUGUUACAGAAUUCAAAUAUUAAAAACUGAUCUUAAUUCUAUCUAUCUAAAGGAAAAAUCUCAUAAUUCUAACAGCCACGCCGUCGAUUGCAAUAUCUCCUAUAUCAGUGGGUGAAAAAACCAUUUGCUCGAUUUCCUUGAGUAAGGAGUCUUGGAAGUUGAAUCGAGAAACAUAGAGAGAGUGCAACCCUGAAAGUAAAUCUAAUUCCCUCCAGCCCAGUGUACGAGAAGCAUCGCACAAGUAAAUUGAAUUGAUGAUUGGACACCUAGAAAGUGGAGUCGCGAGCUGCUCACAUCCUCCAAUUGAAAGUGUUGUUAAAUGUGGAAGGUGGUGACCAGGUAGAGCCUUUGUAAGGUUGGGGCAAUUACUGAUGAAAAGAUCCCGAAGAAGAGGGAAGGCUUCCCGGCUGCCUUCGUCUGAAAUCCACUCCGCCACUCUGGCAUCCUUUCAAAAAAUAAUGUUUUGAGGGAUUCAAAUGGCUUCUUCAUAGCAGUACAGCUCCCAUAGAACUCAGAGCCCACAGUCACAACUUUAUCGAAUGCUUCAAUUGAGAGAUACUCUAAAGAAGCUAAUUGCCCGAGCGGUGGUAAGGAGGUGUAGUUUGUACAUCUACGGAGCUUCAAGGACACUAUAUUUGAGAAAGAGGACUCUCCUGCCCACUCUGGAAACCUUAUACCUCCAUAACCAUCAAUCUGAAGAUCCUUCACAUUUCUAUUUGGCUCUAAUUUCUCAAGUGUGCUUGUUAUGUGUUGUGGGUCAUGAGUGUCACCAUCCCAUGUAAACCUCAGCUCAUCAAUGUGCUUUCUACCUUUCAAAUUUGCCUCAACAGCAUCCUGAGCAUCCACCACAUUUUGAAGGUUCCCAAUAUGAAGUUCUUGUUGGCAUGAGUUGUACAAACCGAGAGACAAUAGGAAACUAUAGCUGUAAUAGUCACGUUUAUCUUCUAUUUUUAUGUAAAUCCCGAUUGUCAUGGGAUCGUAAUAGUUUCCUUUCCAAACACAACUAGGAAAGCUGUACAUUGUGAUGUAUAUAUCCCCUGCUUCUUGAAUAAGAAAAUAAGAAAGAAUUCUGCAGAAACCCUACUCAAACUAACAUGGUAUCAGAGCAUAGAUCCUAAAUUAAUCUAUUGCUACAACGAAAGUUGCUGGAACAAAUAGCAACAUACGACCAUGGAGAGAAUAGAAGGAAUGGAAGCAGCACCCGUAGAACUAGAGCAACCAAAUACGGCUGCAAAUCUUGAAGAAUUAUGGCAAGAAUGACUCAAGCCAUAAACCAGAAUCAAACACAGACUCCAACAGUAAUGCAUGAUAUUACUGCAACACAGAUUGGUAUCAAACUCGAUGGUACCAAUUAUGCUUUAUGGUCCCAAAUUGUUGAGAUGUUCAUCUCCGGAAAAGACAAGUUGGGAUAUAUAAAUGGUGAUCUUCCACAACCAGAACCGAAUGACCCUUCGUUUUAGGAGGUGGAGGACAGAAAACUCAGUGGUAAAAGGAUGGUUAAUUGGAUCGAUGAACCCAUCCUUGGUCAGCAACUUCAUCCGAUUCCCUACAGCUAAACAGGUAUGGGAUUCAAUUGCUGUAACUUACUUUGAUGGGACUGAUACAUCUCAGGUGUAUGAUCUAAAGAGGCAAGUAAAUAGAAUGAAACAAUCAGGGGAACCAAUUGAAAAAUACUACAAUGAUCUCCAAGGCUUAUGGAGGGAGAUUGACUUUCGUCGUCCAAACCCGAUGGUUUGUGUUCAUGAUAUACAAAAAUACAACACUCUCUUGCAAGAGGAUCGGGUGUACACCUUUCUCGAUGGAUUAGAUGACAGGCUUGAUAAAAUCAGGAGUGAUGUGUUGCAACUGAAACCAUUUCCAACUGUAGAACAGGCGUAUGCCCAUAUCCGGAGGGAAGACAUAAGGCAGGCUGUGAUGCUGUCCAACAGAGGAAAUAUUCCAGAUGCUGCUGCAAUGAUCUCUAGAGGUAUGAGAACGGGUUCACAAAACAAAUUUACAUUGCAGGUAGCCAAGACUGGAAACUCCUCUUCACACGGGGGGAAAUUUAAUUCUGAAAAAACUAAGGGCCAUGUGGAGGGAGGAUGCUCCCACUAUGGGAACUUGAAACACACCCGUGAGACAUGUUUUAAAUUACAUGGCUACCCCGAAUGGUGGACAGAACUCAAGGCACGAAAACAAAAAGAAGCUGCUGGUGGAAUUGGAAGAGCAUCCAUGGUUAAUUCAGCCCCCAAGAAUCCAGAAGCCACCCUUUCACUCGUCCCACUUGUUGAAUCAAAGGAGGACAUGGCAACCUCUCUUGGUAAUCCAGGUAACAAUUCCAGUAAUGACAGCAGUGCCUUACUUAUGUCUAACCCAGGCAAGAAUGAAGAUUGGAUAGUGGAUUCAGGAGCUACUGAUCAUAUGAUGUUUUGUCAAGAUGAUCUUGUGGAAAUUACAGAGCCAAGGCGAAAUAAUAUAUUCAAUGCCAAUGGGGUUAUGUAUCCGGUUACAGGAGCUGGAACCGUAGAUUUAUCAUCUUCAAUCUCCUUGGCUAACACUCUUUUAGUUCCCUCUCUUUCCAGUAAAUUAUUAUCAGUGGGACAAGUCACCGAAGAACUCAAUUGCUUAGUGCUAAUGUAUCCAACAUUUUGUCUUUUUCAGGAUAUUCUCACGAAAAAGAUUAUUGGGCGUGGUACUAAAAGAGAGGGGUUAUACUACAUGGACGACUUCAGUUUCGACAAAGUCAAUACCAUGAGUCGCACAUCUAGCGCACAUGAAGAACAGAUUUGGUUAUGGCAUGCUCGGUUGGGGCACCCUUCAUUUAGCUACAUGAAACAUUUAUUUCCGCAGUUAUUUUCAACUUUGAGUUACUCAAAUUUCAGAUGUGAAACAUGCAUAUUGGCCAAGAGUCACCGUGUACCUUUUCCAACUAGCAUGAAUAAAAGUGAUAUUCCAUUUACUCUAAUUCACUCUGAUGUUUGGGGACCUUCCCCUAUUACAACUAUCUCGGGUAUACGAUGGUUUGUGACUUUUGUAGAUGAUUGUACGCGGAUGACUUGGCUAUAUUUGUUGAAACGCAAGGAUGAAGUAUUUGGUGUAUUUCGAGCAUUUUCAUGCUAUGAUUCAGAACCAAUAUUCAGCAAAGGUCCGUAUUCUUCGGACGGACAAUGGGGGAGAGUAUAUGAAUCGCGAUUUUCAUGAAUAUUUCCAAAGAACUGGUAGUCAGACGCCACAUGAGUCAUCGUGUAGUCAGACGCCACAACAAAAUAGAGUAGCCGAAAGGAAGAAUCGACACAUCCUAGAGACUGCACGAGCCUUGUUGAUUGGAUCAAAUACACCUAGUCGUCAUUGGGAUGACGUUGUUGCUUCGGCUGUGUAUCUAAUGAACCGUAUGCCCUCUAAGGUUUUAGAUUUUGACACCCCAUUACAGUUUUUGUCAAAACAUGUCACUCUGCCAUCUUUACUUCUCAUCAAGCCACGUAUAUUUGGAUGUGUUGCCUUUGUUCAUUUGCAUAAAAAUCAAAGGACCAAGCUGGAACCGUGUGCCAUUCGGUGCAUAUUUUUGGGGUAUGGUACUAACAAGAAAGGGUAUCACUGCUAUGACCCGAAUAAAAAUCGGGUGUACAUAACAAUGGAUGUCAUAUUUGUAGAAUUGGACAAGUUCUAUUCACCCCAUAUAUCAACUUCUUCUCUUCAGCAGGAGACUUGGGAUGAAGAGUAGAAGUGAUGGACGGGAAAAAUUGAAGAAACUAUGGUGACAACAGCUCCUACUGUAGUGACAGUGGCACCAUCACAGGAGGAGGAAACCACGGUAGCAGCCCUUACCGUGGUGACAGUGGCGCCAUCACAGGAGGAGACAGAAGCAGCUGUUAUACAAAUGGAUGAAAAUAUGAUGACAGUGGAUGCUGCUAGAUAUAUAGAGGAUAUAUGUCAUCCUCCACAGGAAUUGUCUGCAUGUUACAAAGGGCAUUGUAUGGGCUGAAACAAUCACCGCGUGCAUGGUUUGGUCGCUUUAGCAUGGCUAUGAGAAAGUAUGGUUUUCAACAAAGCAACUCAGAUCAUACUCUCUUCCUAAAACGACGACAAGGGAAAAUAACUGCCUUGAUAAUCUAUGUCGACGACAUGAUAAUCACAUGAGAUGAUUCAGAAGAAAUCUAUAGACUAGAGAAACAUUUGGCCACGGAAUUUGAAAUGAAGAACUUGGGUGGACUCAAAUAUUUUCUUGGAAUAGAAGUUGCUAGAUCAAAACAGGGCAUCUUUCUAUCACAACGAAAAUAUGUACUUGAUCUACUGGCAGAAGUUGGAAUGCUCGACUGCAAACCGGCAGAUACUCCAACAAUUCAGAAUCAGAAACUUGGGGAGUAUCCUGAUCAAACCCCAACCGAUAAAGAGAGGUAUCAACGACUGGUGGGUAAGCUAAUUUAUUUAUCUCAUACUCGUCCAGAUAUUUCAUAUGCGGUGAGCAUGGUCAGUCAAUUUAUGCAUUGCCCCAGUAAAGAUCACAUGGAUAUGGUUGUUCGGAUUCUUCAAUACUUGAAAUCAGCUCCAGGAAAGGGGAUUAUGUUCUCUAAGAAUGAUCACUUAGAUGUUGAAGGCUAUACAGAUGCAGACUGGGCAGGAAACUUGGUCGACAGAAAAUCCACAUCAGGUUACUUCACAUUUGUUGGAGGCAACUUGGUUACGUGGAGGAGUAAGAAACAAAAGGUGGUAGCUCUAUCAAGUGCGGAAGCCGAGUUUAGAGGUAUGGCAAAGGGGCUUUGCGAGCUUCUGUGGCUCAGACGCCUGCUCUCAGAAAUUGGCUUUGCACCCAAUUCUGAAAUGAAUUUAUAUUGCGACAAUAAAGCCGCGAUAGAAAUAUCUCAGAAUCCAAUCCAACAUGAUAGAACGAAGCACAUUGAGAUAGACCGGCAUUUUAUUAAACAGAAUCUUGAAGAAAAGGUAAUUCGCUUUCCGUUCGUCAGAUCAGAGGACCAACUUGCGGACAUGCUUACAAAAGCCGUCUCAAACAAAAACUUUCACAGCUCACUUGACAAGCUGGGUAUCAAAGACAUGUCUACACCAACUUGAGGAGGAGUGUUGGCAUGAGCUGUACAAACCGAGAGACAAUAGGAAACUAUAGCUGUAAUAGUCACGUUUAUCUUCUAUUUUUAUGUAAAUCUCGAUUGUCAUGGGAUCGUAAUAGUUUCCUUUCCAAACACAACUAGGAAAGCUGUACAUUGUGAUGUAUAUAUCCCCUGCUUCUUGAAUAAGAAAAUAAGAAAGAAUUCUGCAGAAACCUACUCAAACUAACAGUUCUCCCCGUAGAUGUCGUAGCUUUCCCAAUUCUUUAAUGCUAGUCUCACUCUGUCUUCCCACGAGAAAGUCAGUCAACGUUUGGAGCUUUGCCAGUUGACCUAUAUGUGGUGGCAUCUCUUUCAAAAGCGUGUAUUUGAUGUUAAGAUACCGCAAGUUGAUUAACCUUUCCAGAGAUGCAGUCAACCUUUCGAUUCCUGUUCUUUGAAGAUUCAGAUGUCGUAAAUACUUCAAAUUUCCAAGAUCAGGUAGACUAGCAAGUUGUUUGCAAUAUUCCAAGAUCAACGUUUGCAAAUUGAGAAGAGUACUCGCUUCUUCAGGCAACGUUACUAAAUCUGACCGAGAAAGAUUCAAAUACCGUAAAUGCUUCAACUUGCUAGUUGAACAAAACUUCAUAGUUGCAUCUCUACAACCAGUCAUGAAUAGCACUCGUAGGCGCCCAAGUGUUGACUGAAAGAUCUCAUUAUAAAAUUCGGGAGGACAGAUCCAAUUGUGUGGAUAAGUUUGGAAUGUGCGUAGAAGCUGAGCUUCACGGAUGUUUUCUAAUUUCUUGCUGAAAGAACAAUCUUCAGUAUGUGGCGUACCUGCUACGAGCCUACGAGUGAUAAAUGUCGGGUCCUUCUAGUCGCCUUGGAAUAAUUAUUUGGGCCGAUGCAAAAUUGACCGGACACAUGUGUAGCCAAGUCAUGCAUGAGAUCGUGCAUCACAAAUGAUGAGGGAGAGGCACUUGAUUGCUGGAAAAACGACCUUGACAAGAGAUCAUCAAAGCACUCAGCACCUGCCUUUUCCAUCUCAUCAUCUACAGAGUGGACUAAGAAGCAUAGUUUUGAAACCCGACCCGGUCAUUGACCCGGUCGACCUUCUGGGUCACGGGUCAGGUGGGUUGACCCGGGUUAACCCGGGUCAACCCAAAAAAACCUAUAUAUAAAAAAAACACAUAACUAAUUACAAUAUAACACUUACUUAAACCAAAUUUAAAUUAUAAACCAACAAUAUAAAUUUAAUUCAAUAUCCAAAAUACAAACUAAAUAUAAAUUAUAAAAUAUUUAAAACAAAACAUCCAACCAAAUAAAUUCCAAAAUAUUUAUAUGAGAGGAGGGUGUUGUUAAAGGAGGAGAGCAUGUUUAUUUAUUUAUUUAUUAUUUUUUUAAAAGGAAUAAAGCAUAAUCUCUUUCAAACAAGGAGAAGGCACGAAUAAAGCUAAAGCAUUUAGCUCUGCUUGAAGUUGAAUGGCUAGAGGGCUAAACUAAUGACUUCCUUCAUGGCUUAUGACUACAGCCUCCAGGAACAAUCACUUACAUGUGCAUGUUUUUUGAAUGAGAUUAUAACAUUGGUUUUUUUAUAUUAACAAUCGCUUAUUCUUUACUAUCCUUCAUUAUGUUUUUUUCUUAAAUCUUAUUCAAUCAUUUUAUUACAUGUGCAUGUUUUUAUUAUCAUAUAAUUAUUUGUUCUAAUUAUUUUUUAUUAUUAUUAAAUAGAGGAAAUAUUAUACUAGCAUAUUAUUUAGUUUCAAUGGGAUAUAAAUUAUUAAUUUUGUUAUAAAAAAUGCCUGAUAUCUAAUUAAAUAAGAAAAAUUGAAUAACUCCUCAAGUCACGAGAUUAUAUAUCCUAAUAUGCAUCUAUCUCUCAGUCUCUCAAUUUUAUUUUUAAUUUUGUAAGCAAUUUUAUAUAUUGGCAAGUGUAAUUAUCAACUAUUUUUGUUUCACAGUUAAAAUAUUUUUUUAUGAUAAAAAUAUAAUUAACAAUGCCUAAGGAUUUGUAUUUAUUUUUUUGGGCGUUACAGGAACGUGGAUACGUUAACUAGUGAAUAGUCUAUUUAAGAUGGAUCCAAGUGAUGAGAGAUUUAAUUUUCAUAUAUGAAAACCCAUAAAAAUAACAUGACUAUUAAAUACUAACAAUAAGAAAGGUUUGAGAUAGAUAUGCAAUACACUCACGGGACAUUUUAACAAGAGAGUGUUUAGUGUCCCGAUCCAAGUCAAUCAGUAUGCUCGCCAUUGUUAGCCUGAAAAUUGAGUUCGAAUCAGAAUAGUUGAACGGACGACAGGGAGAAACUUUUGUCCACGGUUCAAUCAAAAGAUGCUGUGGAGAACAUAGAGAUUUUGGGCUGCCUGUUCUUGAUGCGACUCUAAUUCAUGGGAUUUGCUGGUUAGAGAAAAGGGUAAAAAGCACAACCAUAUCCACAAUCCAUGACUGGAACAUACCUGGUACGAGUGGGGAGUUGCGUUUUUGGACUGAAUGGCAGGCACCGCUUCUUUUCCUGCUUCUGGGUCUCGACCUCUGUAUAUAUGGCACUGAUUCUGCUCACCUUGUUGGCUUCUGCUACACCCUGUUCUUCGUUCUUCGUCUGUCUUCGCUCUUCGGUGCUAAGUAUGUUUUUAGAGUCAUUAAACGGCGUCGUUUAAUGACAGGGAGAGUAAAAAAAAAAGUGGCCGGGUCGACCGGGUUUGACCGGGCCAAUUCCCAAGCGGGUUUUGGCCUUCACCCGGACCGGUUCCGUGCCCGGGUCGGCCGGGUCCCGGGUCGACCCGCCGGUCCGGUCCGGGUUUAAAAACUAUGUUAAGAAGCCCUCUGCCAUCCACAGGAGCACCAACUCAUCCUUUUGAAAUGAAUAAUCUUUUGGAAAUAUGGCACAAUAAGCAAAACAUUGCUUCACAUGUGGCAAGAGAUAAAGAUAACUUAAUCUCAAAGCUGGGAGGAUAUCGUCAUUGGGUAAAUCCCAUAGAUUGCUUUUCAAUAUCUUCUCCCACUCCUCGACAUCUCUUUUGGUGCGUAGCAGACCACCGAGUGUUAUUGCAGCUAGAGGAAGGCCUUCACACUUUCUCGCUAUUGCUCUACCAAUUUCUUGCAACUCUUCAUAAGCUUUGGGAUUUUCACCUCGAAUGCAUGGGUGGCAAACACGGCCCAGCAGCUGUCUUCCGUCAAUUCUUUUAGAUAAUGAGUUGGAACAGUUCUCAUGACUGUUGCUACACCUUCAUUCCGUGUUGUGACAAGAAUCUUACUCCCUUGUGCUCCGCACUUCAGGGGGGUAAGCAAAUUGUCCCACUCAGCAUAAUCUUCCUUCCAAACGUCAUCUAAAACAAGCAAGAAUUUCUUUCCCCGCAAUCUCUCCUUCAACUGAAGCUGGAGGGGAUCCAGGUUAUCAAAAUCAGGCUUUGAACCGAACCCCUCAAGGAUAACCUUGGUUAACUUCGAAACACUGAAAUCUUCAGAAACACAAACCCAAGCUUUGAGACCGAACCGCUCUUGUACUCUGCUGUGAUUGUAUACAAGCUGAGCGAGCGUGGUUUUACCAACCCCGCCCAUUCCCACUAUGGGAACGACACCUAGGUUUUGUCCAUUUGCAUCAUCUGAUAGAAGCAACUGCAGUAUUGCUUCCUUGUCAUCAUCUCUGUCGCACGUGUGCGGCGGCGCGGCGAUCAUCCACCCUCAAGGAAAAAUCGGAAUAAUUUAUUCCUGGAAAAUAGGGGAGAGACAAGGAAUUCUUGUCUCUACAUGUGAAAAUAUGGACUGGGAGUCGCCACCUAGUAUUCUGGUUACUAGGAACCUUAACUGGUCUUUAGAGAUCGGGUACGGAGACUGGUUGCGUAAAAGGAAGGUAUUAGCACCCCAACUACGCCCUACCUAAGAUAGGCUGCAUUGUUUUAAUGUCUGAUAAAAUCUAAAAUCAUGUUGUGGUUUUUUUGAAUUGUUGGUUCGUUUAUGGUUUAAGAAAAGUCCUCCUCUGUAAGGAGAUCCUUAUCUUUAUCGGGUAAAAAAACUAACUAUUCGAAGUCGUCAAAAGAAAAUAUCUUUUUUUUUUUUUAUCAGGAAUACGAUUUACGUAUAAAUUCAUAAUCUCUGAUACUAAGAUCAAACAAAAUAAAAUAUUUUGUUGUUUUUGAGAUUUUGGCCAAUGUUCUCUUGACUUUAAUAAACUGGUUAUUAAAGCCAAAAUGCAUGCUAAAAUUUUUUUUUUUUUUGACAUAUGCAAAAUACGAUAUGAUUUUUUAGAUUUGAGACACUUGGCCGUAUGCACAAAAACAUUUUUUUUUUAAUCUUUUUUUAAUUUUAUUUAUUUAUUUUUGGAAGUUUUUGCCGAAAAACGGGUCUUUUAAUACCGGAUUUAUAUUUUUACGAUGUAAAAAUAUUGCCCGAUAUUAAUCAAAAUGGCAUAAAAAAAACUACGCGGAAAAAUUAUAAAAUGCUGAAACAAAUAUUUUUGAAUUUUUUUUUUUAUGCUGUGUGAACAGUACCGUAUGAAUAGUGACGUGUGAACAGUACCGCGGGACGAAAACCGGGUAUUUUAAUACCGAAUUUAUAUUUUUACGAUGUAAAAUACAGACCGAUAUUAAGCAAAAUUGAUAAAAAAAUAUGCCGGAAAAAUUGUAAAAAAAAAUAAAAAUGAAAUGGGCCGGGUCCGGCCCAUACAGUGGGCUGGGCCAACCGGCCCAAACUAAAUGGGCUGGUUACUGUGCAUAAGCACAGUAACCAGCCUCUCAGCAGUUGCAGAACGUGAAUUAAUUCACGUUCUGCAUGAAAAUAAAGAGAGGGCAGCAGCAAAGGAGAAGGAGACGGGGCAAGGGUUACCUGCGGUGGCGUCGAGGCGGUGCUGCUGGUGGCGCGGAGGCGAUGGUGGCGGAGGCACGUGGCCGGCGGUUCUUCUCUUCUCUCUCCUCUGUUUUUCUUCUUUUCUUCUGCUUCUUUUUUUUCUUCUUCUCUCUUCUCUCUCUUCUCUUCUCUCUCUUCUCUCCUCUUCUCUCUCCCUCUUCCUCUGUUUUUUCUCCUCUUCCUCUCCCCUGUUUUUAUAGGCGAAAAACAGGGGACGUCAUGGUGGUGGCCUGUUGGCCGCCCGUCCACUAUCCAAGUGGAAAGUUGGCAAGUGGCCUUUCGGCGUCUUUUUGAGCAAAAGAGGGAAAGUAAUUAGGCGAAAAGGGGAAGAAAAAAAUCUUCUUCUUCCCCUGCCUCGUGUGUCCAGGGGAAGAAGAAGAGCUACAGUGCCGUCAAAACGGCACCGUUUUGGGCUUCUGUUUUUUUUUUUUUUUUUUUUUUUUUUGCAACAGUGAAUGAAACGGCGCCGUUUUGGUCAAAACGCGCCGUUUCAUUUAAAAGGAAAAGGCGCCAAAAAUCAGAUUCAAAUUUCGGCCCUCCAUUUGCGCGCGUUUUACAAUUUAGUCCUUGGUCUCGGAUUUCUUCAAUUAAGUCCCUAAUUGGCCAUAAACUUCAAUAUUUAUGCAAUUAAGCCCCUGAUUUGACCAAAUUAACUUCCAAAAAUUAUAAUUUGACCCCAGAAAAUUAAUUUCUCCUAAUUAAAGCCCAAAUUAACUCCAAAAUCAAUUUUUCUUGCAAUUAAAAUCUCCAUAAAUUCAAUUAAACCUUCAAUAAAAUUUAAUUGAGUCCAUAAACUUCUGAUUUUGCAUUUUUCUUCCACAAAUUGAAUUUUCUUUAUCAUCGGGGCUCUCAUCAGUUAAUGAUAUACUGUCAAAAAAUAAUUUUUAUAUUUUUAAAAAUCCUCAAAUAAUUUUUUUAGCAUGUUUAUGGCCCUCUGGUAUUUUUCACUGUUAUAUUUUUUUGUAAUAUAUUUUUUUUUUGAAUUUUUUUGUAUUUUAUUAUUUUAUAUGUGGGGACCCAAAAAUGGGUUACAACAAUCUCUACCAUAAACACCACGUUCAUCCACCAGAGAAGUUGUUCGUCUUUUAGGCGAUGAUGGUUCUUUUCCAGUGCGGUUGAUCAAACCAAGGGCAUCCUUUUGUUUUACUAAGUAAUCUAGACUCUCCUGGAGGCCUCUUGAUUUUUCUUCUAUCUCUCUCAACCCCAUUAUUUCAAGUGGUUUAAUGAAGGUUUGAGCUUCAGCUUCCAACUCCUGCCGUAGAGCUUCAUAAGCAAUCUCAUCCAAGAAGUCGUCGGCUUCAUAGACAGCGUCUUUAUACUCGGCCAGCCAAUCCCGCACAGCUUUAUUUGUUAUCUGCUUCUCCUCAGCAUCGUCAAGCAGCCCACCGCCAGAUAUCAUUGUUGUCUUCAACCUCUUCAGCGGCCUAUCGUCAAACAAAAAUCUGGGAUUCAGCGUUUACUAGAAACUUCUUCAACAAUCUUUUGAAUUAAUUUUGAUUCAUGCCUGUGCAUAGAAAAAGAAAGUCAUCACUCAUGGAUGAAAGAUAAUCUUUUGAAUUUCAUGCAAAUUUAAAAUACAAAACGUAAUAAGAGUAAAAGUUAUAAGCAUUUGCUAUCGAUAUAGGGAAAGAAAAGAAGUACCCAUUUGCGAUACUGUGAGGAUCCAGCCCAGAUAAAUUUGCAGCCUCCACAAGAGCUUUUCUCCACUUUUGGACCUUCUCCAUUUCUUCCUUAAAACGUUCUUCAUGUCUAUAUCAAAGGCUUCAGCAAAACUCCCCGUCUGUUUUCUAAUAUCAGAAGGAUCGAUAUCAUAGAAAACAGGUAGAACAAUCUGGCCAGUUGUGUGUCUGCAAUCAAGAAUCUUUUCAAGUUCAUCAAGACACCAAGUGGAGGAAGCAUAGCCCUUAGAGAAAACCACUAUAGAAAUCAUGGAUUCUUGAAUUGCUUUGAGGAGUUGCAAGGAGAUUUCUUCACCUCUACGAAGUUCGUCGUCAUCUCGAAAUGCAUGGAUUCUUGCAUGGUGUAAAGCAGUGUAAAGAUGAUCCGUAAAAUUUUUGCGAGUAUCUUCACCUCUAAAACUUAGAAAUACAUAGUAACCCCAACCAGGUCUAGACAAAGAAGAAGAAGAAGAAGACGCCAUGAACAUCUAGUAAGGGUUGCUGGCAGUGGCGGAGCCACGUAGGAGCAAAAGGAGGCAAUUGCCCUCUUAAUUUUUUUAAAAAAAUAUUUGACCCAUACUGACCCAUCAAGGAUAAGAGAAAGACGAAAAAUCUAAAGUAUUUUUACUGCACAUAUUUGAAUGCAAUUUCUUUGGAAUUAGAGGAACCUGAUACGGAGUACAUUAGAAUAUUAAUAUAAUAAUAUGGUGAGGGGUUGAUAUUGUUGACUUGUGUCUUAAUAUAAUAAAUAAUAGAUAUAUAUAUAAUAUAUAUGCAACACCCCAGCUUAUUUCCCCAAACUUUUCCUUUUUCUUUUUUUUUUCCCGCUAACUAUUCAAGAGCUUUUUUACUCUUUUUUAGUUGCUCUCUUCCUUAUACAAUUUUUUUUUUCUCAGUUAGGCAACUUUAGGUAACAAAUUUUCAUUUUUUUUAUUCAUUUUAUUAUUUAAUUUUAGUUUUAUUUUUUAUAAUUAGUUAUUGAAAAUGUUAGGGUUUAUAAUAAUUUAGAGGUUUUGAUAUAUAUAAUAUUUUGAAUCAAUUAAAGAUAAAUAGUAGUGGAUUAGACUGCAAGAUUUUGAACAAUAGGUAUUUAUUUGAUUGUUUUGAACUAAUUAAAGGUUAUAUCAUUUCUAAUUGAAUUGAUUAUGAUAUGGAACUAAACUUUUUCAUGAGAUGAACAAUCAAACAUUCAAAUUGUUAUCAACAAGUAAAGAUUGAUAUUUACAAAAUUAAAAUUGUUUUAGCUUGAGAUUGGUCCUUUUUAUGAUGUUAAUUUCCUUUUUAUGAUUAAAUAAUUCAUAUUUUAUUUGUUUUUUUUUCUCUUUUUUGUUUUCGUCAGGCAAUUUGUGUUUUGCUGGAGAAGAAUUAACACGUGCGUACAAGCUUGAUUUUAAUCAGUGCAUGAUGGUUUUUUCUUAAAAAAGAAAAGAAAAAAACAUUUUUUUUUGUUUUUAAAAAUAAUUUAUCAUGAUAAAUUUAGACUAUCAAUCCUGAUCCAUAUCCAUGCAUUAUAUAUAGCAUGCUACAUGGUAAUGAGGUGUGAAAUGGAUUUUGAUGAAUUAAUGUGUAUUUUACUAUGAAUUUUAUAUGAAAAGUUUACAAUUAUUAUGUAACUCAACUGAAUUUUGUUAUUAUGAAAACCCAAAGAAAACAAUUAUAAUGUAAGUUUUUUUUAUUUUAAAAGUAUUUUUUUAAAUUAAUUUUGCUUUAUAUGAGUUAAUAUAUUUGUUUCAAAUUAAUUUCUAAUGCAAGUCUAUAUAAUAUAAUAUUUAUUAAUAAUUUAUCCCCUCAUUUAUAAAAUUCUGGCUCCUACCACUGGUUGCUGGCUUGCUGCAGGUAGGAGAGAGAGGAUCGAGGGGCAGUAAACUGUCACCUUCCCUCUUUCUUUUGAAGAGCCCAAUAUUUAAGUAUUGCUUUACAUAUGGAUGUUCGGUAAAACAAAAUUAAAAAAUUAUAUUUUUAAAUUAUUUUAAUAUUUAUAUGUAAAAAAUAAUUUUUAAAAAAUAAAAAAUAUUAUUUUAAUAUAUUUUUAAAUAAAAAAUAUUUAAAAAAAGCUACUAUAUUUUUAAAUAAAAAAACCUAGCACAUCUCUUUUAAUAUAGUUAAUCUCUAGUUUUCAUACAAUUAAAUGAGAUCAAAAUUGUUAAGGUCCUUUCACUUUCAUAACCUCUCUGCAUUUGGCUAUAUAUAUUCAAAGGUUUAAGCCGAAAUGAAUUCUAUUAGUAAAUUUGUAUCGAAUUACUUGAUUGUAUUAUGAAUUAACAUGUUUGGUAUCGAUCAAUGUCAAUAGAAAGAAUUGGGUUGCGGGUGCUAGGAAAAUGGAGCUAGGCAUGUUGGAAUAACUUGCUUUAUUUGCCAAGAGAUCCCAUCGUCUAAAAAGUGGGUUUCAUUGGAAUAACUUUUAUUAUAUAUGCCAAUCUUUCUUUUCACGUGAUGUGCUCAUGAUGCAGAAGAACACUUCACUUCAUGUCUUCUCUCCUCUUCUCUUAUCACUUUUCAUUGACAAAUAAAUUAUAAAUUUGUUGAUGACCAUUGCUAUGAAUAUUAUAAAAAACAAAGAAUUGUGGAGCAAAUUACAAUAGAAAAAAUCAUUAUAUUAGAAAUUAAGUACAGGUUAAAUUGCGAAAACAAAAAUAUUCGUAAUCAGUAUUAAGUAUACUAAUUGUUUGAUUUGAAUAAUAAGAUGCAAUCCAAUAGAAUUAGGUCUGAUUGGUUUUAUCUUUCACAUGUGGAAAUAACCUUUUUUUAAAUAUAAAUGGAUUAUUUUAUUCCAAAUUAAACCUCUUUAUAAAUGUAAUUAUUAAACUUCAACUAUUAAUGAUUUUUUAAAUAAAAUAUAGUUAAGAAAACAUUUUUAAAACAUGUUCAACAAUCAAAUGUGUUUGUUUUUUUAGCGGCUUUUGCUUUUAACACAAAUAACAAAAACAAGAUAUUUGGUUACAUAUGAAUCAUAGUUUUGUGAUUGUUAGACCCAUUACAAUUUACGGUCCAACCAUAAGCUACAAAUUUAGUAUUUUCUCAUCCACCGACAACUUCACCAAAAAACAAUUUAAGUUAUUUUACAAUUACUAAGGUACCCAAUCAUCUUUCUCAUCCUCUCCACCUUCACUUUUAAAAUAUUACAACAUCAGGUCAUCAACUUUCAUCAUAAUUUUAAUAAAAUAUCUUUUAUUAAACAACAUUUUUAAUUAUAAUUAUAAUUAAAUAUUUAUUAAAAUUAAAAUCAACUAUCAUUAAUUUUUAGAACUGAUGAUUCUAGUCAUGAACUCAGGGCUAAUCUCAUAAAAAUCAAACUAUUAGAAAUAACAAAGCAAUACUAAAAAAAUAAUAAAAAUAUAAUAUCAACUUAAAAAAAAACCAAGUAAACUUGAACGAAUUUAUUAAACCUGGUUUAACUCUAAAACUUGCAACCCGUGUAAUACUAGGCUCAGGAUCAAUAAAAAAAAAUUUCUAAAGCAAAAAAUAGAGAUACAAUUUUAUAUAUAUAAAAAAAAAACCUAAGGAUGAAAUUGAAAAAAUAAAUAACAAUCAAAAGAAUAAAAAUCAAAUUUGAAAGAUUAAAAAAUCAUGGGAUGAAAUUAAAAAAGAGAGUAAUUUGAUAGAUUUUCUUAAGAAUUUUCUUAAUUUGAAAACAAUUUGUAAAUUAAAAAAACAUAGAGGAUUAAAAGGUUUAAUGGUUAAAAGAAAGUUUUAUCACAAUCAUGGUAAACAGUAAUUUCUUUAAGAGAUUUAGUUUUUUUAUUAAAUUUAAUUAAUAAAAAUACGGUACCAUUCUCUUUAACCAUGCCUUUGAUUUUAGAUUAAAAAAAAACAAUAACUAUAAUUAUAAGAGAAGAAAUAUUUUCUUAAAAAUUAAGAGAAAUGAGGAAAUUAAUUUGUUAAUGUAUUUAAAUAAGAUCAUAUAUUCUCUUACAAAUUAGAAAUAAUGAAUCUAGUUUACAUAGUACUUUCUUGACAAAAAAUCAAAGCAAUAUGAAUGCUUGUAUAUACGAAUUACAUACAUAAAAAAUAAAGAAAACAAAAUAAAAUCAUUUCACACCAUGCCAGAGUCACAUUUUUAAUACCAAUGUUUCUCACUCUUAAAAUUUUUACUCUCAAUAUAAUUUUAGUCGGUGUAAAAAAAAAAAAAAACAGAGCAAUACCAUGAGUCGACUCAACCCGACGCCUUGAAGGAAGCCGUGACCGAGUUCAUUUCCACCCUUAUUAUUGUCUUUGCCAAUGAAGGGUCCGGCAUGGCCUUCGCUAAGGUCACCGACAGUGCUGCCAACAUACGCGCUAGACUCAUCGUUGCAGCCAUCGCCCAUGCUUUCUCCCUUUUUGUUUUUGUUUCUGUUGGUGUCAACAUCUCUAAAAAGUAUUGGUUUUUGGCAGCAGCAACCAAAAACCCAGUUCCAAAAAACGACCCCAGCUGCAAGAUUCAUCCUUUUUCCCCAUCAUCCCCGCAUGCUAGAACAUUCCAAAAUCCCAUCAGCCUCAAAAACACAACUGUUUUUCUUUUCUUUAAAAAUAAAAAACUAAAGAAAAGAGACGCAACUUGCUCGUAGAGUUAGGCCAAUCACAAAAAAAAAUAUCCCAUCUCCUCAUUUUACUUGCUAAAGAAGAAUUCAGGAAAGGAAAGAAAAGAGAUAUCAAAUGACAAUAAUAGCAAACAGCCCUCUGUUCCUUUCUACCAGCCUUGCAAAAGUAGUUUACAAGGGGACCAACAACUCCAUCGCUGGAAGUAAUUUUCACCACCUGCCCCUUCUGCAGUCCAUAGUAUCGCACAAUGGCAUCCGAUUCUAGCAAUCUUCGGCUGUAGAACAUGCAUGGUAAUGUUCACCAGCAGGUCAGUGAUCUGAAUGCAAAUCAAACCGUGAAGUGAUUGUCGAAAGCUUAAAUGGGUAACCUUUCUAAAUAUAAGCUACAAGGACAAUAUGAUACAUAAAGAUAAAAUGAUAAUUUAUACACAUUUCCAUUAGCUUUGAUGGAGAAAGAGCAUUCAAAAAGAUCACCGCUAGUAUCACAGACAUGAUCAAAAAGUGACUAGCAUGACCUCUUGUGGCUAGAAAUUAGCAUCGUUCUUUAAAAUGUCUGGCCACCCAAAGUUCUUUCUAAUUGUCUUACAACAAAUCUGCAGUAUGAAAAUUUAUUUAGACAACAGGGGGGUGUACUUGAAAAACCUCCACUUUGAAUGGAAACUUCUCCGGCUCUUUCUUGGCAAAGUAGUUCAUUUUGCUUUGCAAAAUCAGUAUUGUCAAAGAACCAUCUCAAUUCAAUAGCUUAAGCUAUUAGGUGAGGUCCCAGGAUAUGAUUUAUAUUAUUCUCUAACACACCCUCUCAAGUGAAAGCUCUUUGGGCUUGAAACUUGCACAGACCCACAUUACCUUGUGCUUAUUUUUUUUAUCAAAUAAAUGGGGAUAGUGAGAUUCGAACUCGUGACCGCUUGAUCGUCAAGGCUCUGAUACCAUGUCAAAAAACCAUCUCAACUCAAUAGCUUAAGCUAUUAUGUGAAUUUCUAGAAUAUGAUUUAUAUUAUUCUUUAACAAGUAUCAACCCUUGUAUACUCUCUUUGCUAAGAAUUUGACCAUAUACAGCCCUGAUAUUUGCUGUUCUAAUUUCAUCAGUUCCCAUGAAGAUGACCAGGUUCUGCAGACCAAGUUAAAAAAAAUAAAAUUAUGACUAGGAUUUCCAUACAAAUUUCCAUAUAAUUUUUAUUAAGAAAUAUAGACCGGUAAAGAGGUGAAUGAGCCUAUCUCAUAUCUUACCAUUAAAACAUAAUUUGCUCCUACUCGACCCAUACCUAUCACCCUAAACCCAUAUCCAUACCUGCCUAUGUAAUAACCAGCCCAUGUCGAAAAAAAAAUAGCUUUUCAGUAAUGUUCAUUUUAGUCCAUGAGUUUUUAAAACGUUUUUUAGUCAUAUAUUUUUUCUAAGAAAACAUUUUAUUUGUUAGAAUUUUUUUUCAAUUUUUUUUACAAUAAAAAAUGCAGACAUUUAGUUUCAAAUUAUUGGUUUGGAAUGCAUCCAACAAAGUUAAUGUUUUAACAUGUAAUUAAGAUAUACUCAAAAUUAUUUUAAAAGUAAUUUAAUUUAAAAUUAUAUAUUUAAGAAAACUAAAUAGAAGAUGAGCUUCACUUUCAAGCUAUAUAAACUUAUUAAAUUAACCAAAAUUUAUUGUAAAUUAAAUUAAAUAUCUCAAGAAAAAAUAGCUAUUAAGAUAUAGUAAAAGCAUUGUCACAGUUGUUUUGUAAUAUUGACAGGAGUAUCUGAUUUUGAAAAUGACCAAAGGAUAAAACAAAGGAAGCAUCUGACUAUGAAAACAGAGUCGAAGGAUUGCAGUCAGCUUCGAUGACCGGAGAACAGACAACGGCAGGAACCAACGAUGCCAAAACCCAAACGAUACAAGGGAUGGGGGGACAACAUUUCUAUUAAAUCAAGAGCCAAAAAGCAGCAGCACCGUGGAACACCAAAAGACUAAAAGGCAGCAACAAAGCCAUAGAACACCAAAAGGCUUGAAGAUCAAAUUACAAAUAUUGUAGGCAAGCAGUUUCACGUCCAAUACAAGCAGUUUCAUUUCUAUGAAAUUGCUCUCGCACACCAUUCUUUUCUUCAGCUACAAUUAUUUAUCUGCUGCUAUUAUAGAUGAACAUCAGACAAUCCUCACUAUUGCUCUACCAAUUUCUUGUAACUCUUCAUCAGCGUUGGCAUUUGUAGCUUUACCCUGGCCAUGCAAGUUUUCUUCAUUGUUAACUCCAGUGAAUUUGUGCAUAAUCACCUUCAUUGGGUGCAAAUCUUGUUUUCCGUUACAUUUGUCUUCCACACUUGUUGAGACAUCUCUCUCUCUAGUGGCUAAAUCUAGCAAAAUUUCGUAUGUUGCGCUGCUUAUUUAUGCAAGCUCCUUGUUAAACUUAACUACAGUGCAAGUUUAUGUUUUAUUCCUCUUUGAAUUUAGGAUUUGUAGUUUUCUCCGCAAAAAAAAAAAAAACCCAGUAAUACUGGUAUCACACCUGUAUUGUUUCCUAUACUCUCACCCAGGGAGAUGAAGGCCGCCACAACCUUACAUAGCUUUCCAUCUUUCUGAAAUUUGCCGUAAAAUUUCCUGAUCAACUUUACAUUGAUUUAUGUAAAUUGCCUGCUUGAACUUCGACUCUUGAAUACAAAAGCACAAAAGAAAUUGAAAAGGAGAGCUAAACACACACAUCCAAGUAUAAAUGAGUGGCACAACACAAAUGAUAAAUUUUGCUAGAUUUAACUAAGAGAGAGAGAGACAAAGAUUGUUCAACAAGUGCAAUAAGUUUAUUCAAGGACAAAUAGAAGGAAAACAAGAUCUGUACAAAUUCACCAGAAUCAUCAAUGCAGAGAACUUGCACAACUUUAGAUAAACAGGGCAAAAUCAUUAAGUGCCUGCUCUCUUGAGUGACAUUGGCAACUUUCACUUGCUUCUGAAUUUUGAUUCCAAAACACGGAUGCUUCCUUGUUAUGAACUAUGGUUAUGUUCACUUGCUUCUGAAGGCUUGGGUUGUGGGUUUCUCAUGUCAAUUGAAGCAAUUCCAAGUAAAUCCAAAGAGCAUUGCAGUGGCACAAAAGCCGGCUUGUGGUUGCUGAUUUAUUUGCUGAUAAUCCGUAACAAGCAAUGGAUUUUCGUUGCUGAUUUUUCAAUUAUCAGCUUCUUUUUUAUUUAAUUUUUUGUUUUUAAUAAUUCAUAUCACUUGUUUUAGAAGCCAGUAACCCUUUAAUUGCUAAGCCGGUCAUCUAAUUUAAGAACUUAGCCAAUAGCCAUUCCACUUCUUCUUCCUCUUUCCUUCGUAGAUCCAAACGAACAUAAUUUAUUACAUCUGAAAUCUCAUGGAAAAAUUUAAUUAAUUUAUUUAUGAAACAAGCACGAAAUCCAAAUAUCCCUCUCUCAGAUCAAUGGUUUACGAAUGGUCCGUAAAGAUUUAAAUCCCUAUUUUUCCUUUGAAAUUCCGUAUCUGAUGAAAGAAUUUGCUUUGCUUCUUAAUAAUUUUACCAAAAUGAUCUCUCUGUAUGUAUGCAAGUUAACUAGAGAGCGCAAAUGGCGGAUUAUAUGAAAAUGAUCAAUUAUUUGUCCUGAACAACAGUCUCCACAAUGGAAGGUGUCACGGGGUCUUUUUUUCACUCAAAUUUUCAACCCAAUGCGAAGAAAAUUUGUAUUUCAACAUCCAACAAAUAAAAACAUACAACUUUCUAGAACAAUAUCUGUAUUUCAUUAAUCCAAACUUAUGAGCCGCCCUUGCUUGUAGAGGAAAUUUGGAUCAGAAUGCUGCAAAGAAACAAUGGAGGAUUUAGACCAAGAGCAUGAAAAGGAUAUGUAAAAAUCACAAAUAGCUACGUAAUGAUAUUUGAAAAACAAUCUUGUUUUGUGAAAAUGGGCAAUUGGUAAUACUGACAUGAAAAUGCAAAGAAUUAAUAAUGGUGGAGAAAUACAGAGUAACUGAGAAAGAACAUCAAAUGGAAAAGCUCACAAUGAGUCAUAGCUGAGGGAGCAAGCAGAUCAAUUUUAUCCUGUGCAUAUCGUUCUGGCAAGAAGGAAGGGUGACAGAGCCUUCAUGAACUGUAAGUAGAAAGAUGGAUUUGGAUCCUGCCAAAAAUAAACAUAGAAUUAAUAGUGGAACAUGACAAAUUUUAACUGAAAUUGCCUUUGAUUACUGAAAAGAAAAUAAACUAUUUAGGAGCAAUACCUCAAAAAAUAUGUUGGACGAUUGAAAGAAAAGCUACUUUUUUGCCCCGCUAAUACUUAGGACACAUGCGAAUUUCAAGAAAAGAAAGGGAGGAGGGCAACUCUUCUUCUGGCAUUGACUCAAGCAUUGGGCAGUUACUUAUUUUCAAUUCUCUAAGAGAGGUGAGGUGUUGAAGCCCCUUGUAGUCAAGAGAUUUCAGGUGUUCUAGGGAAGAGAUUUCAAGAGAUGUAAGACUUGAGGGCAGCAGCAUCUCUUCAGGGAAGGAUUCAACAUUUUCGUCCCUACCAAUUUCAAAGUGUGAAAGAGAAGGGAGAUUUUGCAAGCCCCAUUGCAUGCGGCCUGCAAUGAGUUUGUUGCAAUUACGAAUCACAAGUGAUUGUAAUGUGGAGGGAAAACCCCCUUCUAGACACAACUCAACUUCUGAACAACCAUAUAUUGCCAAAUGGAAAAGGGAUGGGAGGAGGGAAUGCAUACUCUCAGGCAACUGCUUCAGGUUGCUGCAAUCAUCCAACACAAGUCGUGUCAAGACUGGAGCAGGUAACCCUCCUUUGGGAAAUGAAACUAAUUUAGGGCACGUUUCGAUUAACAAAGAAUGGAGAGAGGUGAGAUCAUUGAGAGGUCUUUCAUGUGCACAUAGUGUUUCGAGAACUGGACAGUCAGAGAUAGAAAGACAUUUUAACUGGGGGACCAAGUCCAGGGCGACGCCUUUGAGAGAAGCGCAGCCGUAGAUUCUAAUUUCCCCUAAAUCAGAGGGUGAACAACCCAUUUGAUCAAUUUCCUCGUGUAGGGACUCCAGGGAGUGGAAUCCAGAAACAUCGAGCGAGUGCAACCUAGGAAACCUAGGAAGUGGAGUCGCGAGCUGCCUACAUCCCUCAAUUCUAAGUCUUGUUACACGUGGAAGGUUGUGACCAGGUAGGGCCUUUGUAAGGUUGGAGCAUCUCUUGAUUGAAAGAAACUCAAGAAGAGGGAAGGCUUCCCGGCUGCCUUCGUCUGAAAUCCACUCGCGCCACUUUGGCAUUUUUGUAAAAGAUAAUAUUUUGAGGGAUUCAAAUGGCUUCUUCAUAAUAGUACAAUUCCCAUAGAACCCGGAGUCCACAGUCUCAACUUUAUCGAAUGCUUCAAUUGAGAGACGCUCUAAAGAAGCUAAUUGCCCGAGCGGUGGUAAGGAGGUGCAGUUUGUACAUCUACUGAGCUUCAAGGACACUAUAUUUGAGAAAGAGGACUCUCCUACCCACUCCGGAAACCUUACACCUCCAUAACCAUCAAUCUCAAGAUCCUUCACAUUUCUGUUUGGCUCUAAUUUCUCAAGUGUAACAAACUCAAGAUCCUUCACAUUUCUGUUUGGCUCUAAUUUCUCAAGUGUGCUUGUUACGUGUUGCGGGUCAUGAGUGUCACCAUCCCAUGUAAACCUCAGCUUAUCAAGGUGCUUUUUACCUUUCAAAUUUGCCUCACCAGCAUCCCGAGCAUCCACCACAUUUUGAAGGUUCCUAAUAUGAAGUUCUCCCCGUAGAUGUCGUAGCUUUCCCAAUUCUUUAAUGCUAGUCUCACUCUGUCUUCCCACGAAAAAGGCAGUCAACGUUUGGAGCUUUGUCAGUUGACCCACAUGUGGUGGCAUCUCUUUCAAAGGCGUGCCUUUGAUGUUAAGAUACCGCAAGUUGAUUAACCUUUCCAGAGAUUCAGGCAACCUUUCGAUUCUUGUUCCUUCAAGAUUCAGAUGUCGUAAAUGCUUCAAAUUUCCAAGAUCAGGUAGACUAGCAAGUUGUUGGCAAUAUUUCAAGAUCAACGUUUGCAAAUUGAGAAGAGCACUCACUUCUUCAGGCAACGUUACUAAAUCUGACCGAGAGAGAUCCAAAUACCGCAAAUGCUUCAACUUGCUAGUUGAAC
This 139130-nucleotide long non-coding RNA is filed under the name Populus tremula. RNAcentral's name for it is "long non-coding RNA (PTRE_LNC001918)". The record is from RNAcentral. Lineage: Eukaryota; Viridiplantae; Streptophyta; Magnoliopsida; Malpighiales; Salicaceae.